Molecule: long non-coding RNA, 94205 nt
Filed under: Cucumis sativus (cucumber)
Lineage: Eukaryota; Viridiplantae; Streptophyta; Magnoliopsida; Cucurbitales; Cucurbitaceae
Description: long non-coding RNA (CSAT_LNC000004)
Rfam family: Bacterial large subunit ribosomal RNA (bases 68516-68961)
Source: RNAcentral
GGAGUGGGUCACGGGGAAGAGGAGUUAGGCUGGAAGAGGGAGGCAAGCCGCGCUGCGAGAGCCGCUUUAUUGGCUCUUUCCGUCUCCCUUUCCGUUCUUGCUCCAGAGGCAGGAAUGCUCGGAAGUUGUUGAGGCUCCAAGUAUAGGAUGCACCAUCCGGUGUGAUUUCAGAGGCGGUAGGAGAAUAUGCUGAUCGGGCUAGGCCCAGUUCGCUUUCUUUAAUUAGACUAUCAAGUCAACCUCUGAAAGUACAAAAGCAGAAUCACAUAGAAUUCAGAAGGCGCACUCGCGCGAUGGAGAGAAGAAAAGAAGGUCAGGCUGAAUUAAUUGAGAGUUGCGUGAGGCGCAAUGUUCUAAUGGAUAGUCCGGAGGACUGGAUCUUGUUUUUGAGAUCAUUCUUUUUCAAUAUUCUUUUCACCUUUUUCUUUUUGAGCCGUGCAGGUAGGAAGGAAUAGAGUCAAGGGCUGACCAGCCAAUCCUUAUCUCUUUAGCAUAAGACAAGCUAAGCCGCUUCCAUCCCUUGCUUCCUACCUCUCUUCCAUAGAAAAUGAUAUCCAAUCCCAAUCAAGCACUGGUUACCGAAUUAAUUCCGCCUAAGAAAAGAUCAAUGAACAUCCAUAAAUAAAUAGGAGAGGAGUAAAGAAGAGACCGUGGAGAUCAGAUUAGGCACAUCAUCAUUUCAUGAUAUCUUAAUGAUCUCUUUCAUUCUCUGAAGUAGACAGUCAAUUCUCUAUUUCAAGUAUAAGGGAGGGGAGCUGGGCAAUCCUUGUCAAUAUCAUCACACAUUCUAACUCGCCGCUCUUCCUGAAUAGGAAUAACUACUAAAAGAAAGCCUAUCCUUCUAAAUUCUCAAAUAUGAUGACUCAAUUGCAAUAUUCUUUGCCCCAUCAAAGAAAGGUCCAGGGUCCGGAGUCCGCAGGAUUUAUCCGUAGGACUAUCCAUUAGAUUAGAAGGAGGCGCAAUUCAAUAUGCGACUUUGAACCUUGGUAUUUUUUAGGUGAAGAAGGCCUAUUUUGGCUUAGUCAAAGUUGCUUGGGCUAAGAAUAGGUUUCAUUCUCAAUGAAUUAACUCACAUCACAAAGCAUGAAAGAAAAGACAAACUCAAAUCAUAAUAGAAGAACUCUGAAUAUCGGUAGUUGUGUGGCGAAGAAUGAAGAUCGGAUUCUUUUCUUUUCCUGACUUUCGAAGGCCAGCGCCCAAGAAGCCUUUACUAAGGCUGGUAAAGGUCUGGCAGAGUAGAAAGCGAUGGAUAAGAAGCUGAAAGUCAGACUUUCCAUUUUCUAUCUACACAGUACUAUAACGUAGAAUCAAUACUGAAUUCAGAAGCAAGAUACUGAAAGUGCGAAUUCGAUCUUGAAGUAAAUAAAUAGAGAUUACUUACGAUCUACCCGAUCUGAUCGAAGAAGUGCAACUUCAGCUCCAACAAGAGAAAGGACAGCGAGCUGGAAUUUCUUCCUGAACCCACUAGGACACCCACUACCCCUUGUUCAUUGAGGCGGUCAAUCUGGCCCGGCCGAAUCUGAUCUUUUUUCUUGGGCUGCUCGGGUCCUAUCAAGUUUUUGAUGACGUUCAAACUAGCUUCCAGCAAUAGCUUUGACAUUGUUGAAAGCGCUGAAAAUGAGAGGACUCAAAUUCUUUGACCCUCAGAAGAAAUUGAAGGAAUGAAAGCAUUAACAAAGGCGGACGACCACGCUUAGAGGGUUUGUAUGAUUUUCAUCAAUAUUCCAAUACCGCGUAGUGGGGAUUGAAAAGAUUAUGAGAAAUAUCCGGGGCUGAUCAGCCUUUAUUAGGGGAAUGCACUUUCAGAAGUGCUUUCUUCUGUCUUGAUUAAUGAAAAGAAAGGCGUAGCCGAUCUCCUUUAAAGAGGAGAAUGAGAAAGAUCGAUUGGUAAGAAAGAGAGUAUUAACGCCUUCCUUUAUAUGUCCAUGUCCAGGAAGAAAAGAGAAAUGUUCACACACACAUGGCUUCAAACCCCCCGUAUUAAACAAGCCCAUUUGGCUACGAUCUCGCUCGCAAGAUGAACCGAAAAUCUGAGCAAUAUUCUUUGCACCGUCCGGAGGACUGGCACAAAAGUCAAGAAAAGAAGCUCAUUAACGAGAAUGAAAGAAUCAUUAUGAUUUCAUAACUCGAAUUCAAGAAGAAUUAUGAAUCUGCUAGAUUUCAGAUGAAUCCGCGGAGGGAAAUGCUAGGUUUUGGGCCUAUAAAGUAGCAAGAAAAGACAAAAAAUCAGUCAAAAUUGAUCUAUUUUCGUUAGAUAAGAAAAGUCGAAAAAGUCCUAUUUAGAAGCAAAAAAGCCGGGAAAACGCAAUGAAAGAAGAACUCCUAGGACAGGGAAAAGAAAUGAACAGAGUUUGAUUAUGGUUUCUGGUCCGGAGAAAUACGGGUCUAUUCUUUGAUCCUUCUAAUGGAUAGUCCUCCUUCCCUCCAUAUGGAUGGUCCUACGGAUAAAUCACCUGGACCUUUCUUUGGCCCUGCGGACUCCGGACUCCGGACUACUUCGGUUAAUUACGGAUGGUCCUACGGAUAAAUCCUCCGGACUCCGGAUAAAUCCUGCGGACUGCGGACGUAGGACGUAGGACUUCUUCUUCUUUAAAAAGAAGGGUCCAGGUUUCAUAAGACUCCUUCUACGCGGUCUCGCAAUAUUCUUUGCACCGCACCGUGGGGGAGGGGGAAAGCAAAGAACUAAAAAGAAAGGUCCAGAUGCGCAAUGAAAUAUGCGUGGAGUGCAAGUCAUUCAUUCUAUUAAAGACUUCUGCAGACGUUAGGCUCAAUGCAAUAUGAGUUGCGAAGCGUAAAGUUUGAACCUUGAAUCAUUUAUCAGAUGUGGAAACUCAUCCCAGGAAAUCCAUAAAUCAGCCAAUUUGCCUUGGAAAAGAUAGGGGAAGUAAUUCAGCCACCUGAAACUGCAACUGAAGAAAGAGAAUGAACCGCCUAUCCUUUCAACCUACUGAAGAAAGAGAAAGAUCUGAAUACCUGUCCUAGCCCCCUGAGCCAACUCUGAUCCUCGAGCGGCUUCUAACCUCUAGCAGAAUAUUGCACCUUCUUUUCCUUCUCGGGCCUAUGCUCUAUCCUACUACAUACAAUAAGUCAGAGUCGACUAGGUUCAAAGAAUUUUGAGCUCCGGCCUCUCGUGAGAGAUGGAAUUCCAUGAUAGGCUUUUACCUUGUGAGGCGGUCGUCGAGCUUGCAAUAUCUUUUUCAAAUAGAAGAACUCACUUCUUCGCACCUCUCGACAGCUUAUCGCACCUUCUUUUCUCGUGGCUUUGUUCUCCUUCUUUUCUCGGUAAGAAGCGGGGAUCCCCAUUUCAAGUUCAAGGUAAAGCGGACGAACUCGCCAUGAAAAGAAGUACUCUUUCUUUUCUGACAGAAAGAAGAAAGAAUGGGAAAUAAGUGUCAAUGCUUGUACAAGUAAAUUAAUAAGCUCUUCCCAUGGAAAUCAAGAACAAGAGCGCUUCAACUUCAACCGCCUCAGCUAUAUUAGUUCCAUUAAUCAGUCCUUCGGACCUGUCUUAUUACCUCGUACUCUGGUCGUCUAACCUGCCUCUGGAGCAAGAACUACUCUUUCAGAAAGUAUCGGACCUCCUUCUUUUCUUUUUGCCUCCAUAGAAUAGAAAAAGAGUGAGCCACUACGCGGAAGGAAAGGAAGCAUGCACUAUAAAGUAGGGCGUCUUGGAAUUCGAAGUUGAACCAACGAGGACAAACUACUCUUUCAAAGGAAUCUGGGGUUCGCGGGGCUAGUUACUAGGUAUUCGGGCUUUAAGGGAGUCUAUGAAAAUAGGAACAGCUCUCCCAGGAGCAUCAGUAGUUGCUUUAGUUCUAGCUUCGUUGCUUAGUUUCGUUCCCAAUAGCGAGGCGUAUUUCUUAUUUACUGGUCGGAUAAAAUCCAAAUCCCAGGAAAUUGACUUUUCAGAAAGGCCAUUUGCACAAGCGCAAGAACAGCUGAAGUGGCCUCAUCCGGGAAGCUAGGCCCAAUAUCACCUCCUGCAGACCUCUUCUUUUGUACACAAGCAGAAUCUCCAUACAAGGCCCACUCGCGGAGAAGAAAUUCUUCUUUUUCCUCUUUCCUAGGCUAAGUCCUUAGUUUCGAACUGCAGUUCUAGGGGUUUCACAUCCAUGGUGAAGCGAAUGAGAUAGGCUUAUUGAAAGUGGUUUAUUUCCUUUGAUUGACCGCCCUCUAGAGACCUGUGAUUAGGCUUUGCCUUGGCCUGACGAUCUCAUCUCAUUAAAGAGCAUACCGAUCCUCCACACCUAGGAGUGGGUAUGCGCGGAGGACCUCAACAAAUAGAAGGUUAUGAACACGGGUAAAGUAUGCCCAUUUCUCUUGGUCAGUCACCUCGUCGUAGGGAUCUCGCUCAUUAGGAAAGCAGUUGACUGGACGCUUUCCCGAGCUAAUGUGCGGGAAUUCUUCUAAAUCUAGUUCCGGGGAGAAGGCUAGGCGCAAAGAAUAUUGCGAGGACGGAGGACGGGGGAGCCGAAGGCGGAAAGAAUAUUGCCCAUAUUAACCUGUCAUCUUCUGACUUUCCUUUCCGUAGGUUAUUUUUGUUCAUUCCACGAAAACUUUUGAAUAGCUUUUAAUAUAAUCAAAACCGAAGGCUGAAUUCAUUGAGUUGCCGUAGGUCGUCAAUAGGGGAAGGUCUUGUCUUCUUCUUCUCUUCUUUGAAAUAGUCUUUGUCAUCAUAAAAACCUUACCGUAGCUUCUAAUCUCUCGCACUCCUGUUAAGUCUCUCUUCUUCGAACCCGUAGGCGUAGUAGGAUAGGCUUUCCUUCCGCUCCGCUCCGUAGGUUCGUUCCUUCUCCGCGGUUAGAAUAAGGAAAGAGAGUUGUAGAACGAGAGGGGAAGGGACUAAGCCGCUAUCCUGGAAAGGUUAUCAGUUCCCUAGUUUGGUUAGGAAAGAAAGUGAAAUAUUCUUUGAACCUUCUAGAGUCAGAAAAUGAGUCACUCAACACGGGUUCGGAGCUCCUCAGACUCCAAGUUUUAGUAUGAGAAGAGAGUUCAGAGUUCCAACAAGAGGAGAAAGAGGAAGAAAUUCAAAGUUCAGGGGUCGGGUAUGCAAGCCGCUCCACGGGCCAUUAGUAGUAGAAAGAGCUGCUGCGGCAGAAGAAGUCUCUCGGGUAGCAAGGUUCGUAGGAAUUGUUUAAAUAACUCUUUUUUCUAUAAGAAAGGCGCAAAGAAUAUUGCGAGACCGCGAAAGAAAGAAGAAGAUAUUCUAAGAUAUAAGUAGAUAAGAAAGCCCUUGUUCAUUGACUUCUAUCGAUUCCCGGUAUAUGAGAAGAGUUGGAUAGGCGCAGGUCUCAGUUAAGAGGCCGCUAGCCCUGAGGAAGAAAUACUCGUCCCAGUAGUUGAAGUUGCUGCUUUAGUUGCAGCAGAGAAGUGAGUCUUCAUUCUUUUAGACGAACCGCAAAAGAAAGCGGAAAUCUUCCAGUCCGGAGUCCGCAGUCCGCAGGAUUUAUCCGGAGGACCAUCAAAGAAAGGUCCAGGUGAUUUAUCCGUAGGACCAUCCAUAUGGAGGGAAGCAGUCCGCAGGAUUUAUCCGUAGGACCAUCCGUAAUUAACCGAAGUAGGACUAUCCGUAAUUAACCGAAGUAGUCCGGAGGACUUUCCGUAAUUAACCGAACUUUGCGCCUGUGAAAAGUCAAGAAAAGAAAAGAAGCUCAUUAACGAGAAUUGAAAAGUCAAGAAAAAUGAUUCUUGAAUAACCUUGUUUUGACGGAGUUCAUUCCAUGAUUUUGCUAGGUUUUGGGCGAGACUGGUCCGGAGUCCGGAGGAUUUAUCCGUAGGACCAUCCGUAAUUAACCGAAGUAGCAAGAAAUAGUAGCCACUUUUCAUGAAAAAUCAGUCAUUUUUCGACAAUUUUCGUGAAAUAUCAAGAUGAGAUUUAGUCCUAUUUAGAAGCAAAAAAAAAGCCGGGAAAUAGCAAGGCAUUGUCCUAGGACAGAAAUGACAUGUUCAAACUUUUCUAAUGGAUAGUCCGGAGGACGGAUACUGAGAGGUCUAUUCUGGAUUCCGCUCCGGUUAUGAAAGAAUAAUUAUUCUUGAAUUCGAGUGAAUGAGCUUCUUUUCUUUUCUUUUUUUCUUGACUUUUCACAGGCGCAAAGAAUAUUGCCGCAUCUUUUCAAAUUCAGAGCGGACUAGAAAUCCAUUAUUUUGAUAACUUCUUUAUCAAGCUUAACCUUUGUAAUAGAUUGAAUAGUCCUCCGUCUCUUUGUAUUUGUCGUCCUUUUUCUUUAUCAAGCUUAAGAGCCUCCGCUCUGCUUCUUUGCUCCUACGGAGGCGGAGUGAGACUGAGACUGAAUAGGAGAAAGUUCAGUCCUUGAAUAUGAAAGGAAUAAAAAGGAGCAAUCCGGACGCUUUCUUUUCUAUUCAAGUUAUUCAUAAAGAUACUUCCUUUAUCUUUUUUAUUCCCCCUAGUAGGAUAGUCCGAUCUCUCUUUCUUCCUUUUUUUGAAUCUCUUACCUUGAAGCCUCUUAUGACUUUCAAACCUUUCAUCCGCGUAGUGCUUUCUUUAUUGAAACUGAAAGAGGAGAAAGCCUACACUUGAACUCUUUAUUUUGAGCCUUCCCCAAGCUUUGAAUGUGUCCCAUCUGCGCGCACCCUUCUUUUCAUGGAAAUAAUGGACUUCCGCUUGCCCGGAUGAAGAGAAAGAAGCCUUAUCAUUCCCGAAUGAGGCAUCACACAGCAAAAAGAAGAGGUCUAGCGCCCCACUCCGCGGUCACCAGUGAUGCUUUGAGUUAUUUCACGGGUUUACCCACCGGUAAAGAAAGAAUCAAAAGUCCCCACUUUACGAGUGAAAAUGCACAAUGGACUAGGCCCUGGGCGAGAAGGAAGUUUGGUGAAAGGCUGGAGACUCUACUCUAUUUACGUCUUUUAUCUUUCAUCACAUUGCUUCGUACUUUGGGUUGAAGGACGGAAGUCUUCUCACUUUACACACCCGGAAAUACCAUCCCCCCACUACGCGGAAAGACUCCUCUUCCGUCACGGAGGAUCUUUCUCAUAGUACGGAUGCUAAGAGUUUAAGGAUACUUCCUUACUUAAUCCCUUUAUCUGAGACCAAGGGCUUUCUUCUCCUUCCCCGCUCCGUGGGCUUAGUACUCACCGAAGGAAGAGCAGUUCCGAAGCCUCUUCUGCAAGAGAUGAAACUGCUACGGAUGACUCUCGCUUCUUCUCUCUUGCACUCAAGACUCCUUGGAAGUCCCGCUAUGAUAGUAAUCUUUGUUCUAGUCUUUCUUAAUGAGGGUCAAAGAAUGAUCGAGGCUUUCUCAAAUUCUUUGAGCCCCGACUUCGAUCUAUUUAUUUAUGGAUGUGAAUUGAAAAAUCAAGGUCAUCUGAAACCUUCUUUUUGAUGAGCCUCAGGCGCAAAGAACUAAAAAGAAAGGUCCAGAUGCGCCAUAAGACAGGUCCGAAGGACUCUCCAUCAGGGAGGAUGGAAUAUGAAAGGAUAGGUUGCCAUUGGCCGAGUAUAAAGAUAGGAAAGGUCUUCUCAUCACCCCAUGAAAAUCAAUCGGAAAUCUUCUCUUCUUCAAAUUCUUUGAUCCUUGUUCAUCGCUCAGAUACGGUCGUCAAGGUUGAUUUCAGAAAGAAGGAGUCCUCCUACGGAGCCAUCCCAAUCUCUCUAAUAGAGCGAGAAGGAUUCCACCCUUCCCGGAACCCGGCAAGUUGGUCGGUCGAUAGGUAGAGGAGCUCUCAAUUGGUUAUGAGCGGACGCCCAGUGGGCACCUCAUGCUGUAUGCUACGGCGUCUACCUGUAUCAAGUCAAUAUUCUUUGACCCUCACCUUCUUGGCUCCGGCUCCGUCAACUGCCCCAGCGAGAGAAAGCGGUCCCCUCUCAAUCAUAAAAAGGGAUCAGACUGAUUCGGCUCAUUUUCGAUGAUGGAAAUAAUCAGAUAUUCCAUAUAAGUAGUAAUUCAGAAGUGCUCAAGAUUAUUGAAUAAUAAGAUAUGAAGAAAUGAAAGUGCCUCAUAAGAUCUUUCGACUUUUAUAUAGUCUUUACAAUCAUCAAAAUGGAGUGGGCAGUCGCUUCUCAAUUGAAUCGGAUUUGAAGAUCACUGAAAAAGGCGUGGGAAACCAGGUUCAAAGAAUUUGAGAGAAGGUGAAAGUCCGAGAAAUAAUCAAAGCCCACGGAGCGCUUAUUCUUUCGGAAGAUUUUUUGUCCCUGAAUCUUAUUGAUCCAUAUGGAUAAAGAAGUCACCUGGACUUUGAAAAUAUGAUGAAUAGUCACCUGGAGUGGAGCAUCUCCAUUGGCGAGGACUCUUUGGACGGAGUAAGCCCACGUAGCGGUGCCAUAAGACAGGUCCGAAGGCGGAAUGAAAUAUGCGGGGGAGCCGAAGGACUAUCCAUAUUAACCUGUCAUCUUGAGCCUUAAUUAAUUUGAUUGACACAGUUUGCACGUAAAGAUUUUCAAGGAGUCAAUUAAGAAAUAAAUAAGGCCGACGGCCAGAUCGCACAUACCAAUUACGGAGUGAAAUCCCAGAAAAUGCUAGGUUUUGACAUAGGGAAGUAGUCCUUUCAGGAAAGCCCUUGUUCAUUGAUUGAUUUUAUGACUGAAAUCUGCGAAUGAAAGAAUAAUUCACUCAUUAACGAUAAUGAAAGCAGACUCAAAUUCUUUGAGCCUCUCCUUCUUAUAAGUCAGAGUUGCUUCGCACCAUACGGUCUCGAACCCUCUCCUAUGCCUAAAUUAGUUCACGCAAUAUUCUUUGCGCCUCAAAUUCUUUGAGCCUUGUUCAUUGUCAAUAUUCAUUGAUUUGUGCUAGAUUGAAGAUGAAUCUGCUAGAUUGAAGACGGAGUGAAAUACAUGAUUUUGCAAGGUUUUGCCCAUAGGAAGUAGCAAGAAAUCAUGAAAAAUCAGUCAUUUUCUCUCUAUUUUCGUUAAAUAUCAAUCUUCGAUUUACUAUGAUUUAGAAGCAAAAAAGCCGGGAAAUAGCAAGGCAUUGUCCUAGGACAGAAAUGACAUGUUCAAACUUAUAGUUUCUGGUCCUAAAAUAUAUCCCAGAUACCUGUUAAGCUUAUAGGGAAAAGAAAUGCCAAUAAAAAGACUGAGAGUGUGUGGUCCGGAUAAGAUAAGCGGAUCAGCCUAUCUUCCUUGUCUUCCCUUUUCUUAUCCAUUUCUUUCUUCUCGUUCAGCAUUUUAUGCAUGUUCAUAAACACUGAAAGAAGGGAUGACGCAUCCAUCUGCAACUACUGCUUUUUCUGGGUUUGGAAAAGUGCGGAGCAUAAGAAAAGAUGAGAUCUUGGGAUAAUCAUCCACGUCGUCAGUGGGUAGUUUCUGAAAUACAAGACAAGGUUUUUCAUACUAAGCCAACGGAGAUCCCUUUCGGUCAAAUGACCUUUCUUCCUUAAUCGUUGAUUGAGAGAGGGCGGAAAAUGUCCAUUUUCACAUCACGAACCCCUUGUUCAUUGAGGCGGUGGAGUCCUUAAACCGGGAACAUUCAUAUGGAUAAAAAUCAGUCAGAAGGACGGGGGAUAGGCUUUCAGAUAAGAUAAUAUCAAAUCUUCCACUAGAAGAGUGAAGGAGCUACUUAUUGUCAUAAGAUAAGACGAAGAAAGCCUACGGUAGCUUUAGGAAGAAGAGGGGCCCAGUCACAGAGGAAAAGAAGCAUCGGGUCCUGCUGUCCCUAGCUAGUUGAGUAGUAGAUUAUGUAGGGUAAGAAUAAUCAGUCUGAGGAUAGGUAUGAAUAACCUAGAACUCAGAAUGGCACGGACCGAUACACGCGAGACCAAAAGGAUAGAAGGCCGCCGGACAGAGUGUCAUGGAGAGGCGGGACCCGUAGGAGGACGGCUUACCCCGGAAGCCCAGACGAAUAUAGGCAGGGGCCUUCUCUAAAUCAAAUGAACGGGAAUCUGCAGCUCGCGACCGCUCCGCUUCUUUGCUGAAGUUUCGGAAGGGAUCGACACCGUAUUGGAAUCAAUAGACUUUCUAUAGGUUAGAAGUUAGCGCCCUAAGGCGGCGAGACUGAAGAGGUUCGUUUUCAGACUUCCCUGUGAAAAGCAUAUCCUUUCUGAUCCUUAUCCACCGAUAAAACAGUCUAAUCUUUACAAAACAAGAAUAUCCCUGUCCGGAGUCCGCAGGGCCAAAGAAAGGUCCAGGUGAUUUAUCCGUAGGACCAUCCGUAAUUAACAGAAGUAGGACUAUCCGUAAUUAACCGAAGUCGGACUUUCCGUAAUUAACCGAACCUGGCUAUUUUUUUCCCUUCUAUAUAUUCUUUGCGCCCCUUGUUCAUUGAUUUCAUGCGCUUCGCUUCGCGCCUUCGAAUAUGAAUUCAUCGUCCUUACCCAGCCUCCAGCUUCUUAUUUGACGGAGGACUUGUUUAUCCAUAAAAAAUGAGCCUUUUCUCACUGAAUUUAUGAAAAUGGGUAAAUAACUACUCCACAAAGUAUAAUAAGCAAAAGUCCAAUUACGCUGAUUUUUCUUUCAUUCUUUCAUCUCCUGAGCAAUAUUCUUUGGGCCUUCGUAGCUUAAUAAUGGCCUCAAAAAAAAGACUUCAGGAUAAGGAGGGGAGGCAUAAUAUAAGGAUAAGACGCCAGAGAACCUACCGCCCCGUGGGAAACCCCCACUCCGCGGAAGAAAGCAGGUUCCAUAAGACAGGGAUAUUGUGCUCCGUCCUCCUACGCAGGUUAAUAUGUAAUACUUAGUCGUAGUCUGAAAAUCUUCCGCCUGAAAUUCAUGUUAUAGGGCUUCCGAUAAUAGAAAACCUUCUCCAACCCUAAUAAAUACUGAAUAAGACGAGAGCGUCCUACGUAGCUUAAUAUAAUAAGACCAGUCUGCAAUAAGAAGCCAGAAGACUCCUAAUUUAAUAUGGAUUUCUUAGUCCUCCGUCAAAUAAGAAGCUGGAGGCUGGGUUUCGGUCAACUUUUCGCAUUCGAAUCGUGUGUAAUUUGCUUUCAUCGAUUAUUCUUUUUGUGGUUUGAACGAGUAUAAUGGAAGAAGGAAAGAAGACCUCAUUCGCCCUUUCUUUCCUUUUCUCUUUGGCGGUCAAUAUCAGAUCCUGAGUUUACUUAUCAGCAGCUCAACUUUUUCGACUGAGUUUGUAAGGUCAAGAAUAAGUAGAGAGUUGCGAAAGGGCUAAGGGUCGGCAGACAAGUACCUUCGGUAUUCCCAGUUUCAUCGCUUUCAUCCGUAAAAAAAGAAUAAGCUUGGGAACGAAGAUCCUGCGCGAGACACCAAUCUGCUAUUUCUGCUAUUUAAGAGUUAGAAUCAAGGAGAGUCAAAAGGGAAUGAAUGAGACUAGGCUUUGCCGGGUUGGACCAUCAUCCCUUGAAUCUCGAGAUAAAGAAAGCCACUUACGGAAAGAGUGAAAGAAGGCAUGAAGAUGUUAGCAAUGAGGUUAAACUAAGCCACCGUCAACACCAGGCACUAGGACAAGAACUGAUUAAAGAAGAAGAGCUCCUCAAUUCCAUCCUCGUCAUCUCCUCUUUUGACUUCUGUAGCAUCCUAAACGGGGAGAUCUGCCCUCUCGUCUGCCUACGAUACUGGGAAGGCGUACUGGGAGCCUCUAAGGAGGCGCAUAUAUGGUUCUCGUUCUCGAUCAACGGAGAUUAUUGGAAAUCGAGUUUCAAGCCUUAUUAUGAGCUUACCUAUCUACUUAUCUAGCAACUUUUCCUGCAAGAACGAGAGCUGAAAGAGAAAGAACUCUUUCAACCACAGCGACUGGAACAAGACAAGAGGCCCAACUCAAUCAUCAUAGUUCGCCGCGCGCUUGGUCUCUGCUCCGAUCCCGCCUCGUUCUUGACUCGGCUCUUCCACUUACAGGAAGAAUCCUUCUCCGCGGUUCUGACUUGAUAGAAGGAUAGGCAGAAUUCCUUUAAGUAGGUUCCAAGUCUUCCGAUUCCGAAACAAAGUAGUUUCAACUACAAAAGAAAAAGAAGAGAAAAGAAAGUCUCGGUCAAUGAAGUGGAAUCAUUGAAAAAAGAGAAAAGAAAGAUCCAGCCGGUCCUCUCAAAUUCUUUGAGUCUUCAAAGUCAGAGCUAUCCAAAACGCAAUAUUCUUUGCACCUUCGGAGCUUUAAGAUGAACCGAAACGUAAUGAAACUCAAUCGCAUAUUUCAUUGCGCCUCUCAUCAAUCAAAUUUCAUUGAUCCUAACCUAAAUAAAGGCAAUAUUCUUUGCGCCUAAAGGACCUCUUUGAGCGCUCCCGCUCCGUGGGAAGAAAGAAAGGUCCAGGUGACUAUCCAUUAGAACGUUUAGUGGAAUAAGACUUAAAGUAGGGCGCAGUUGAGGAGUGCUCAGAUUUUCGGUUCAUUUUUCCCACUCCAUAAGACAGGGAUAUUGUAAGGAGGAUCAAAGAAUUAUCUCGGAGUUUUCUACCUUUCCAUAAAGAAGUUCAGGAUCGAGAACGAAGCAUAACAUCCUGAGUCAGCUCGAGUCGGGGAGGAAGCAAUAGCUCGCCCAAAGGAAUAAGGAGUUGCUGUGGUUCUGAAAUCGGCAGGGGAAUGAGAUCUUUCCGUGGAAGAUUUGCUGGAGAAGUUGAUAGACCCGAUUGACCUUCUUUAGUAGUAGGAGUGGUAGGGUCAGAUAGGCUAGUUUCUCGGGAUGCUCUUGAAUGAGAUCUUUCAUUCUCAGUUGCUGCUUCAAGGGAAAGAGAUCUUUCUUCAGUGGCUUCGGAAGUAGAACCCUUAGAUCUCGACGAUACCUCUUGAAAAAAGUUCUUGCAGAAGUUUAGAUCGAUCGGCCUUGUUCAUUGACUUUCCCAAGGCAAAAGGCUUUGAAAAAGAGUCUAUUAACUCUGGAUCGGUACCCGACCGGGAAUUCGAACUCAAAGCAAGAUCAAGACUUUAGGAGAGGCGGAGGAGGCGCAUAUUGCGGAGAGGCAUCCCUUUCUCUCGCUAACCCUAGACCGCGGAGUGGGGUCUUAUUCCUUAUGCAGUUUUACCGGUAACAUUAGGCAGUCUCCGCUCCGAGAAGAGUAUUCAUGAUCCGUUAAGGAAGAAGAAAGAGUAAGCCAGGCCCCGGGCCUAGUUGAAUGAAUCAGAUUUAGGAGGGAUUCACUCUUUACUAGGUUUGAGAAUAGCCCUUGUUCAUUGAGGCGGUCCGCCGCUCAAAAAAGAGAGGUUACCGCUCGACUUAGACUGAAGAGGAUAGGAGAAAAGCAAGAAAAGACGGGGACCCACCCAGAGUCCGCUGGAUGAUUGACCGGAACAAGCGUUGGGACGAAAAGGGGGAGAGGUUAGUGCUAUCGUAAUGGAUAUUGAUCUCUCAUGCUGGUAUUUCCUGAUCUGUCUCGAUAUUCCUUCCGAUCCGGUGUGGACUGGGAAGUGCCGAAGAAGGAGAGAGCUGCUCAGUUCUGAGAUCGGAAGUCCUCUCUCUCCUCUGUCUCAGUACUCCUAUUUGAAAAUUCCCCCUGUAUUCAAGUUAUCCGGAGCAUUGAAUGAGUAUAUCUCUUCCAUAACCUCCUUCUCUGUACUGUAGCAAAGGAGAUAAUAGGGGCGAAUACAACUGAAGUAGGGAACCCCACUCGGGGGAGGAAAGGAAGAAAUAGUAGCUCUCCUCUUUUCAAAAACAAAGAAAGCUAGACCAGGACGAGGAUCAGAAAGUCCCUUGAAUCGCCCAGGAUAUCGGAGCAAGAAUCAGACUUCUCCCUUUCGUCGGUAGGUGAAAAGAAUAUUUCACUCUCUCUCUUUCCCCUUUGAAUAGGACGACUAGCGAACUAACUAAGCGGAUAUAAGAAUAAGGGAGGGGUGCGCGGGGAAUAAGCCAGAGUUAGAGGCAGAUGUCUUCUUCCAUCCGUAAAGGAUCAGUUGAUGAAGCAAGAAGAAAAGAAGAAAGCUAGGGAUAGAGAAAGUGAAAGUACAAAGACCCCAAACAAGGCGCAAAGAAUGAGAAUUUUCCCUAUAAGCUUCACUCUUUGUCUUCUUUCUCCGGAGCGGAAUAAAGAAUAGACCCGUAUUUCUCCGGACCAGAAACUAGAAGUUUGAACAAACUAUGUGAAUUGACAGGCCUAGGCUUGAUUCUUUCAUUGCUAUUUCCCGGCUUUUUUGCUUCUAAAUAGGACUUUUUUGAAGAUUGAUAUUUAACGAAAAUAGAGUGAAAAAGAAGGCAUUUGACUUGAAAAGUUGCGUUCCGUAUAGGCCCAAAACCUAGCAAAAUCAUUGAUUUCCCUCCGUCAAAAAGAGAGUAUGGAACUGCCCAUAUUAAGCAAAGAUGUCUGAAAUCUAGCACAAAGAUGCACAUUUUGCAUUCCCAUUUUGAGCUUCUUUCAUUAUCGUUAAUGAGUUAAUUAUUCUUUCAUUAUCGGUUAAUGAGCUGAUUUUCUUUUCCGCAAUAUUCUUUGCACCUUCGGACGGUCGUCUUGACCCUGAUUUCCAUAUUACUAGAUUCGGAGCAUUUAGCAUUAUGAAAUAAAUCAAGAUAAGACUCUUUCGCUUAGAAUAGGUUCCUUGGCCGGCCGCCUCAAACUAGAACAAAUAAGUAGGGUUACGGAAGUCAAUCGGGGAAGAGUAGGACUCUCACCUCGAACUCUUAUCUUUCGGUGUCCGAGCGGUAUGAAUACGAUUAUUGACUGCUACAUUCUUAAUCUCUUUCGUAAUCAGUCUCUGCCAUUCUCAUCUGAGGGAAGGAUUGGGACCAGAGUGCUUGAAUGAAGAUUUCGGUUUUCUUCCCCGUUUCAGAAGCAAGGUAAAGCGUCACAGGGUUCCAAGAUUCCCUAAUGGAUAGUCCUUCGGACCUGUCUUAUGGCACCGCGGAGUGGUCCGGAGGCGCAAUUCAAUAUGCGACUUUGCGCCUUCCUAUCCAAAAAAGAAGGUUACCCAGUUGAGUAUGAGUAGAGGGACGUCUUUCAGGGAGCAAAAGUACUGAAAUUCAGGAAGUCUAAUGGAUAGGACUGAGGCGCAAUGAAAUAUGCCUUGAAUGAUUGUAAGGAGCUUGAUUUUUCAUUGAGGCGCAAGGCUUAGGCCGAGACUUCGUGUCUUGAGGUUUAAGCCGGCCGACCUCAAGGCUUUCGCCGACUAGUUGCCUUUCUUUCCUUCUCUCACCUAUUCUUCUCAUCCUUCUCUCACGGGUCUUUCGAGUGCUUUCCUUGUCCCUUAUUUCUGUCUGCUUGGUUUUUCUCUUCUCGCAUGGGAGGGGGGGUUGUCUGAUGUCGGGUAGCUUAGAGGACCGAUGGUUGACGUCUUUCAACUCCGAUCGUGCUACUUCUUUUACGAAUGGACCGCCUCUUCUUUUCUUAUGUAUCAUUCCUAUGAUUAGAUCGCCCUAGACUGCUAACAUCUAACCCGGCGGCUUUCUUUCCUUUAAAGUCUUGAGAGGAAAAGGCUCGAUUCAACCCAGCGACUCCACAGGUUAAGCUUGAGAAAGUCCUUACAAGAUCCAGUCAAUUAAUUACAAUAUCCCGCUACGUGGGCCAUAGAUCUUUGCACCCUGUUCAUUUCUUUCUUUUUUUCACGCGGGAAGAGAGUGCGCGCUGGUCUUUAGCCUUCUCCCCUCUUUUAGAUAUUAUGUCCUUAUUUAGAAUAAGAUUCUGACACCAACAUAGAUCAAUUUGAUUCCAAUCCUAUAUUGAUAGAUAGGGCCCCACAGAGAGGUCCUUAAGGAUAUUGUGGGGAGAGGGCUUCCUCUCUUUCUUCUCGCUUCCUCUUCUGGGCCUAACCCUCGGACCACCUAUCCAGAUUCCCCUUUCAGCCGAGACAGCGGAUCCAGAAAGCAAGGUUUGCCUCCUGAGGCCUUCCUUUCAAAAGGAAGAUAAUAGAUGAGGCGCAAUGAAAUAUGCGAGAAUGAAGAUCUCUUUUAUACUUAAGAUCUCAGUCUCCCUCUCUUUCUCUCCCGCUCUUGAUAUUUCUCAUAAUCUUUUCUUUGUCAAUAUUCUUUUCACCUUGUUCAUUGAGGCGGCGGUCGCACCUGCGAAAGUGCAUUAUUUAAGUUGAUAUGAGAAAGAUCUCAUUUCUGAAUAAUAAGAUUUCAUAACUAGUCGAUAAGAAUUUCAUCUUCUCUUUCUUUUCUCGAUCUGGAAAUUCAUAAAUAAGUAGAAAGCGUCAAUUCAAAGAAUCUUUUUUCUCUUUCUCUUUAUUAUAAAUAACCCACCGGUAGGUCUCGCAACCGCUCCGUGGGUUCUCUGACUUAGCGCUCCUACUUGAGUGCCUUCUAUCUCCCGCCUAUGGAUCUCCUUAUGAUAUGAUUCAUCCCCUAGUACGCGCACUAGUCCUCCGAUUUCUACGUCCCGAUCCCGUGGUGGGUCCGGGCUCCUAGGCUGAAAUUCUUUAUCACUAUCUUGGAGAUUCUCAAUCUCUAUUUGAUUCCGAACUCACGGAAGGGAUUAGUCUUUCGCUUCCCUUGCGAAGAUGGGCACAACUUCGCCCCUCCCUCUCUUUCUUAUGUAUGCGGUCUCCCCACUUCGCCCCUAAACAAUGAAAUACCAUACCGCCUAAAAAGAAAGCGGAAAACGCAACUCCGCAGGUCAAAUUCUCUAAUGGAUAGGCCUUCGUUUUUGCUCUCUCCCUACCUUUCAGUUUCUAGUCGGACUCUGACUCUUCAAGGACAGCGUCAACAGCAAGGACGGGGACUGCAACUUCAUCAACUUACCGCGUAGUGGGCCGAUGAAAGGACCUAGCCUAGCCCCCUUCUGCCUUCCCUUAACGGGAUACCGACCGCGUAGUGGGCCUUCCCACCUGAUUCACGAAAGAAGGACCUGGAAUCAAGCACUUCUGAAACCGAUGCGACAAGGGCGUCAACACCAGGGACGCCACGCAACUGAUCUGAGACUUCUUUCUUUCACUUCCCUGCCAAUCGAAGGGAUCCUCAUUCAUUCUCUAAGGCGGUUCUUGAGUCGUAUGCCUCUGUCUCUUGAUCGGAAACUUUCCAUGGGUCAAAGCGCCCAUCCAAGCUAAGGGAGAGGUGAAAAGAAGAUUUUUCUCUUGUUGGAUAGGCGAACCACCUACUAGUCAGAUUCAAGCCUACCGUAGGAGGAAAGGAAAGGCAUCAAGAAUAUCCCUGUCUUAUGGCACCUGACUGAACUUUCUCCUAUGAAAGAGAGUUUCUACAGUCACUGAAAGAAGCAACUGAAAGAAAGAACCGACUCUCACGGACCCAAGAAUCCUUCGUGCGCUCUUGGGCGGCCUCUUAUUAAGCUCUUCCUUCCUCAACGCGGGUGGGUUCUUCUACUACUUCUGCAUUCAUUCCUCAACACAGGUAAGUAACUUCGAUCCCUUCUUGCUGCUCCGCCGCGCCUAUGGGAAAUUCUCUCUUGGUCGAGCUGGAUGGUGCUUUGUUCUCGCUGCUAGGUUCUAGCAGCUCUUUCUUCUGCCUCUUCUUGAGUAUUUGUACAAAACGGAUGUGUUAAGAAAAUGCACACACUUAUAUGGAUAUAAAGAAGUCCCGCUAUUUAAUUGAAAGUUCCCUUCUAUAUAUUCUUUGCGCCCCUUGUUCAUUGAUUUCAUGCGCUUCUCAACUCAUAUUAGAUCUCGCCUCUCCCUAUGUAUGGUCGUCCGGUUUAGAGUCCUUCGGACGGAGUGCAAGGAUGAUGAAAGAAGAUUAAGACUUCGUACUUCUUCCCUUGUUUCAUGAGACUGGGACUCAUCCGUCUCUUCUUCCUCCCCCUCAACCGAGACUUCCCACUCACUUCAAGAUCUCAUUCUCACUCUUCUAAAGAAAAGAAAUAGAAAAGCCUACAUCUCGCCUAUGGAAAGGGUCGUAUUCAGACCUAUCCUUGCUGAGGCAGCUGAGCUCAUAAGCCGAUUCUGACUUUUGAUGUGAGACAGCUACUCAUGAAAGAAGACUGAUAACCGCCUCCCUGAACAAGGUGAAAAGAAGAUUGAAUCCGUGGGUUUGGAAGAAUUGAAUUUGGUCUUCCCUUUCUUAAGAGAGAAUGAAUAGUUCGUCCUACCGCGGAGUGGGGGGCCCAUUCAACUGAGACUUCUGCCGAUGAGGCUUUUUCAACUUCCACAGAGAAUGCUACCUUGUAAAUACCCUUCCACGAGACAAGGUGGAGAUUCCAGUCGUCGAGCCAUUUCUUCUUGCAACUGGAAGAACCUCUCAUGACUCUCUCUCUUUCAUACUCUUUCUCAUUCCACUGCUGCCCUAGCCCCGUCAAUGAACAAGGGUGGGGGCUAGUUCUAAGGGGAAAGCUUCUCCUGUCAACUCGGGAUAGACCCACAAACACAAAAGAGAAAAAAGAAUUACCAGACGGUGUCCAUUUUCACAUGAAAAGGAGAUUCGGCAUUCGGAAUUAGAUGCAUUGGCAGUCGAGCUGAAAUCUUCUUUGAACCUAGCCUUUCCAGUCAGAGAAUAAGACCUCUGUAGCAUCCGCAACUGAUCAUACUCAUUCCACUUAUGAAGACUGAUGACUAUAGUCAAUGCCCACUACGCGGGGAAAGGGGUGUCCGAUCCGGCCCUAUAUAAGAGGCUCCUAAAGGAGGAGCAACUGCGCUCUUCCCAGAAGGGAAGGAGACUGGACGAGAUAGACGCAGAGCUUCUUAUUGGGCUACCGGAGGAGCACGGCCACUACGGAGGAUGAUUCGUCAUCCUCAGAUUUCAGACGAUUCCCGCAUUUAUCAGACUAAGAGGUCAAGCCUCUACCGAUGCCAUUCCCGGGCAAAAGCUUGCUCGCCUAUAUUCCCCUUUCCCCGGUGGUUAACUUACCAUAAAAGGAUUAGUUGCUUAACUUACUCUUUUCCCUCGUAAAUCCGGAAACUCUCCUGCCGGCGAUUACGUGCUUCGGUUCUCUCCGAUCCGACCCCUUGGCGGGGAAUAGCCGGUCCGACCCGACCCGAAAGUCUAAGGUUUUCCUCCGUCUCAAUCCCCCGUCACCUGUCCGGAGGAUUUAUCCGUAGGACUAUCCAUUAGAAGCAGGAUUUAUCCGUAGUCCGGACCCUGGACCUUUCUUUGGCACUAGCAAAAUCAUGUAUUUCACUCAAGGUUAUGAAAUCAUAAUUCUUCUUUCAUUAUCGUUAAUGAGCUUCUUUUCUUUUUCUUUUUUAGUUCACUUCCACGCAAUAUUCUUUGCUCCUCAAAUUCAAAGAGCCGGAGGCUCCCUCCUUUGGAGUAGUCCUUUAUCAAGCUUAACCUGUGGUCUAAUCAAUUUCUUAAGAAUCUUUGCUCCUCAAAAGAAAGAAUGUCCAUCUGAGUCAGAAACCGCAUCUUUGCAACCUUUGGGAUCAUGACUCCCAGGCAAUAUCAAUAUUCUGCUUUCUUCCUUUCACAAGGGGGUCCGCUAUCAAGUCAGAACCUUUCACUUUCCGAUUUCAAUGAAGAAUUCAAUCUUCUUCUUUUUUCCUAUUGAUCUCGUAUUCAUACUUCUAGGGGAAGAAGGAGCUAGCUACUAAUCCGACCAGCCGCACCCAAGGCAUCCUCCUAACUCAGACUUGAAGAAAGUAUUCGUCACACCGCUCGGCAUCGCUUCGCGCUUCCAAAGAAAAUGGACUAGAAUAUGGACUAUAAUACAGGGCGCGGGGGGAUUGAAUAAAGGGAUUUUCAGAAGGGGAAGUGGGAACCCCAUAUCCUCUACCCGACCCGAAUGCUUGGACUCCCACGUAGCGGUCAAAACUUCCAUUUUUGGAUGAGAAGGCUGGAUGAAAUUCAGUCGAGUGAGGCUGAAUUCAUAUUCGAAAGGACUGCCCUUUUUCUCUUUUAUCAAGACUACUUUAUCCUAUGCGGCUCGAAGCCCACGGAGCGGGAAGAAGCAUAAGAAGUCAUCCGCGGUCAAAAGUCGAAAAGGAGAAUUACCGCGUAGUGGGUGAGUCAACUUCUCUAGAAGACUCGCACCGCGGGAAAAUGAGUGAUCCUUUGCUUGAUCUUUCUCAGAAUGAACUUCAGACGAGAGGUGAAAACGAAAGUCAAGGACUUAGCGAAGAACUCCUGUCCUCGAGAAGAGGAUAAAAAAGGGUAAAGACUACCCCACAGAGGGGUAGGGUCCGGCCACCAUUUCCGGAGAAUUAGUGGAUUGGUAAAUCCCUUUACGAGCCCCAAAUGUGAACAUGGCUUCGGCAGUCCUUAGUCUUUCGGAAGAGAAAGAAGGCUAGGGAAGAUCUCUUUAGUUGGAUUGAGUGAGGGAAGAGGAAUAGGUUGAUCAGAAAAUGAAGUUCUUUAAGCCCCUGCCCUGGCUUUUUUUUUCUCUUGCUUGCAUUAUAGAUCGAUCGGUAUUCCCACUCCAUCCACCCAUCUCCUUUCUUAGACUUCUACUUUCAGGAUUCGGAGGGAAUGAAAAGAUUCUCCUCCGUAGCCCUUUCCAGUAGUGCCCCGAGAAGCCGGUCACCGGUAGGCUAAGAACUCUACGAGUUGAAAGACUUUCAUGCCACCGGAUGAUUUAGUGUGCAAAUGGGUUCAAGAAAACUCUUUCACUGAAAUUGGGGGCCCAGUAUACCGCGGAGUGGGAUUCAUUCGAAAGAAGGAAGGGUACGACCUGGUGGGGAGUGGGACGGAGCUCAUCUCCUUUAGUUGGGUCCGCUGGAAAGGUUGCAGUUGCUUUUCUUCUUUCAGUGGCAGGAGCAGGAUGAGCGGAGAAAAGAAUGAACUCAUGAAGAGAAGAGAGAAAGCCGAUCCACUAUCGGGUCUUUUCAUUCCUAUGCAUUCAGAUAGAAAGAACCCUUGAUCUUUCCGACUAGUCUUCUUCAGAAAUGGAAUCCGCCCUUUAUUAGUGAGAAUGCAGAAAAUCCAAGGGCCCACUUGCGCUCCCUCGCUCGAUAGGCUUUCGCUCCGUCUUCCUCUGUAUCAGAUCUCUCUCUUAAGAUAUAAAUAAGUCUAAGGCUAAGAAUAAGUUCUCUUAAUCUCGCUCCGCGGUCAAAGAAAAUUGAGAAAAAUCAUAAGUUCAGACUUCGGAAGAUCUUCAUCUCUUUCGAAAAGCCAGGGCAAGCCCUGGGUCUGGCAGAGUAUCAACCGAUGGUUAAGAAGGUUAGACUUUCCAUGAACUAUCUACACCCGUCACCUGGACCAUAUGAAUUAGGCGAAGGACUGAUUUAUCAAGCUGAACUUUUGAUUCUAAUUCUCGGUUUUCAGUAGAAAGUUUGAAUUCUAAUAUUCAGUAAUUGCUUUUAGUCAUGAACGAGGCUCCAUAAGACAGGGAUAUUGUAAGGUGCGAGGAUACCUUACUUAAUUAAGAGAAAGAGGAUGAAGUACAGGAAGACUGAUGACUUCUUCUUUCAUCCUGAUCCUUUUUCGGUAGCAGGAAUUCUUAUCAGUUAUCUUUCCUCAGUCACUGUAAUGGGACUAGCCCACUCAUCCUAGUACUCAUCUGAUGAUGGAAUUUCCGAUUCGGAGUUCUAUUUUGAUUCCGGAUUAGGAUGAAGAAGGUUGUCUUUCGCGGACCUUAUAUCUCUUCUGUCGUACGUUAUCGUUCUCAGCGCUUCCUCUUCCUCUUUUAGUCGAGCCACGCUAGACCUUCCCUUUCUUUUCUCUUUCCACUUCUAAUCCUGAAUAUCUUCCUUAUCAAUGAUCUUUGCUCCUCCUUCUAGGAAAACUAUGGAAGUAAAGAUAUGGAGUUCUUUUUAUAUAUAGAAGUUUAGAUCACCAAAGGGAAGCAUGCAAAGUCAAACUAUUAUUUUGAACUUCAAGAAGAAUGAGAAGUCGAGAAAGAUCUAAUACUCACUUCCCAGUCGGUUCUCAUAUGAAUUCAGCCUUUUCUUAUGUGAUUUUCCCGGUAAGAGAAAGAGGAAGCCAUUAGUGACCAACUGCCAUUGAAUGAAUCAGAUUUCGGGUUCCGUAGCUGCUGAUAUAUAUGGAGGCAGUGGCUCUUCUUCCAGUUGGACGCGCUAUCACUCAGAAUUAGUACGGUCUUGAAAUCGAGGAUCUUGAACGAGAAGAUAAAGAGACCGAUCUCCAUCAUACCCGGUGGCUCGUGGCUCAGUUCUUUCUUCCAUUAAGAAAGGGAAUUACCAGUGGAAAGUACUCGGUCUUCAUCUGUUGAUACAGACAUAAUAUCUCAGAAUUCCUUGAAUUAUCUCUUUUGAUUAUCCGUUGAGGCAGAAGCAAGAAAGAAAGAGUCAUGAGAAGGAGCUGAGUCAAGUUAAGUCGGAGCAGCUAUCCCUAGAAGCAAGGUAACUGAAAGAAAAAGCGAGAUCAAUCGUCGUUCCGGAUCGAAAGAGAAAGAUCCAGCUUUCAUAGUGGCUCGACUUUCUAUUAAGUAAGAGAAAGCGCCUAGGUUAUGAGAAUAAGCGUCAGACAGAGUCCGCUAGAUCCGUGGAAGAAGGCAGAGCGGGAUCGAUCCGAGAGGAGAAAGGAAAGAGUGAGUUUACGAACGAGAGGAAGCGAGUCUCAUUCAGAAGAGGAGGUACCAGCCCUUUCCUUUCCAUUUCAGAAGAGGUCGUAUUCAUUCUAUCUAAUAGUGGAAAAAAUACAAGAAAAGAAGAGUGGAAUUAUAACAUAAGAGGCUCAAAGAAUUUGAGAAAGAGGUUAAAGACAUAAUAUCUCAAGAGGAAAGCCACUAAACCUAAAAAUAAUACGGAAAGCCUAGCCUUCUCCGCCGCAAGAAUGAAAUGGAAUAAAUCAGUCCAAGAAAUUCAAAGUGGAAGGCUGAAUAGGGAAUAGGGGAGGACUAGUUUGAAAGAAAGGAUAUAAGAGGAAGGAAUUGAAUUUUGAUGCAAAACAAAAGAAAAGGAGUGUUAACAAAAAAAGCCUUACUAGAGAGAAAGCCUUCUAAUGGAUAGGACUCCGGACUGGAAGAUUUCCGCUUGAUUUUAAGGUUUAGGAGAGGCUGAAUGAAUUGAGUGAAAGAUUAUACAUUUUUAGCUUCUUAAUCAGUUCAUUAACGAGAAUUCAAGAAUAAUUCAGAUUUCAUAACCUUGUUUUUACGGAGGGAAAUACAUGAUUUUGCUAGGUUUUGGGCCUAUAAAGUAGCAAGAAAUCAAGUAAAAUGCCUUCUUUUUUCUCUAUUUUCGUUAGAUAAGAAAAGUCGAAAAAGUCCUAUUUAGAAGCAAAAAAGCCGGGAAAUAGCAAGGCAUUGUCCUAUUUGAUUUUCGAAAUUCACAUAGUUUGUGAAAACUUCUAGUUUCUGGUCCGGAGAAAUACGGGUCUAUUCUUUAUUUCACUCCGUCUGCAAUCUCAAAAUCAAUGAAGGAGUACAAUGAACAUCAUAAUGAUUCUUGAAUUCGAGUUAAUGAGUGAAUUAUUCUUUUCUUUUCUUGACUUUUCCGCCAUAAGACAGGUCCUCCGGACGGUGCAAAGAAUAUUGCUCAGAUUUUCGGUUCUCAAAUUUCAUUGAUCCAUUAGAAUGUUCGCAGCUUAAUAUGUGGGAAGGAGGAGUCUUAUUCCUUGCCAAAGGGAAAGGGAUUCGAAAUCUCAAUCUGUAUUUAUUUCAAGUGGUUUUGUUUUCAUAUAUGGGCGAUCGAGUUUACCUUUUACUGGGUCAUUAAUGCAUCAAUGGAGUCAAUUCUUUCUUCUGUUUUUUUAGAAGUAGGUCGGCCUUGAUGUAUAUAUAGAAUACUUCAGUUCCCACCUCCGUGUGUAUUGCGUCUUUGCUUCAAUCCGGGUCAACGAAGUCAACUUCCUUUCCUUACCUUAAGCCGAAGGAACCCGUACCUUUGCCGCUGGUGCUACUUCAAUGGAUUAUGGGUAAAUGUUAACGUUAGUCUCUAAAAUAAUAGGAAGGGCUUCCGGGAUUAUUCAGUUCUAAGGGGAUCUGCCUUUGCUUGUGUCUCCACCUGUGCCCGCCUAAAAAAUAAGCUUGAGAAAUGAUGGGUCGGUUGUGGGAGGUAGGGAUCCGUCCCACGUAGCGGUUGGAAUGCCGCGAAUUUUGUGGUACCUCUAGGGCUGGCUGCUCUCGACCCGAGAGGUAAACGAAUGCUCUGCGAAUUGCUAUCUAAACCCUAGUAAGUUCCUGCUGCCUUUCUUUACCUGCUGAUAGGUUCUCAACGGAGACUAGUCCUUUUGCUCUUGUCUCUGCCACAGCUGCCUCUGCUGGUUCGUUUGGAUGCUCCAACGUCUGCUUCAACCGGCGUAUACAAGAUCAAUUGAAAUUGAAAAAGACUGAAAAUGGAAUUUCAAUUGCCGAAACCCCAUGCCAAGAUUUCAUUCAAGGCCGUCCAGCGAAUGCUCGUUCUGUUGUCAUACAGAAUCGGAAGCCCCUUCUCGAUCUCAUAAGGCUGAUCCGUCGGAAAGAAGACAGAACGAACUGGAUCGGAGAAAGAAAAUCGAAAUCGUCAAAUAUUAGAAUAGCGAAUAGUUCUUACAAUAUCCCUGUCUUAUGGAGCCUAACGGAGAGGUCCAGAUGAAAAAUAGCAUUUUACAGUGAUUUCAAAUCCAGAGGUUUCCCGUACUCGAAAAUCUCUUCCCUCUUUCGGGGUUACCUACUUGAGGGCUUAUAAAUGGCUUUGGCACAAAGAACCUCUCCAACGAGAGAGAUAAUAAUCUUCAUCUUUUGUAAAAGAAAGAAUCAAGUCCACCGGGAGACAUUCAUACAUAAACCGCUCUACCGUAGUUGUUCUUGGCCGCCCCAUUGUUGUGUAGUUUAGUUGAAUUUGACAUCUGCUACGACCCGCUUGUUCAAUUAUUGAUAUCUCUCAACCUGUCGCUGAAGUCACCCAUGCGCUCGAACGACCUUUAAUGGAAUGGGUACUCGAGACCGCCUCACCCUAAACAGACACUGGUGGAAUCAACCCUAAGGCACCCCUUUACUGAUUGGUCGAAGAUCGGUGACUGCAAGAAAAGGGCCUAGCUAAGGCGCCAACUAUUUAGUCAUAUUCAUGCCCUUCUCCCAAGAGUGGAAGAAAAGGCUACCGACUUGGCCUACUUUGACUACGCUAUUCUUCCCAUUUCGAAAGAAGCAGAAGGGGAACCCCUAGAACCUGGCAAAGUCGACAACAGAUUCAAUAGCUGGGGUGGGGAUCUUGCUAAGAAUUCAACUCCUAACCAACAAUCAUAUAACCGGGGAUCCUCUCCUCCCUUCUGGCCAUUGAAAGCAUGAACAUUGUUCUUAGGAUUCGUUCAAAAAAAAGAGCAUUUCCCUAAUCUAAUGCCAUGCCCUGAGUCCUAAUCUCCUAAUGCCCGUACUCCAAGAGCUAAAUGGCAUCGCAAUAUUCUUUGCGCCUUGCUUUCGAAAUCUUCUGAUCGCCAUUCUCUUCUUUACAGUCGAGCGUCUGAGAACCUUGCUAUUCCGAGCCUUAGGUCAAUCCCUUCUUGAGCAACCGAUGAAAUACCAGCUUCUUCGAGAACAGUAAGAAGAGUAAGAGCUGAUUAGUUAGCUGCCAAAGGACUCUUCCUCGUCAAUUACAUUGCCUUCUGUAAGAGCUAUUGAUCAUGUCUGCUAGUCUUCUGUUUACAGGAAAGGAAGUUGAAAGAGGCAUGGUACGAGAGGAAAGCCUCACGGCCAAUUCAGCUAAGUGUCAAAGACCGUUGACAGCUACUGCUAGUCGCAAACCUUCUCUUCUGAAAGAACCUAUUUGCCCACUGACUUUCAGCUCUGUAAAAGAAGCCCUUCCCCUAUUGAGUGCCACUUCGAUAAUUCUUUGAUCCUCUUCCUAUUCAUGCAAGAACAGCACAUUCUAUGCCAUCUUCCUUAUAUUCUUAACCGCAGACAAGGCCUGUAAUUCAUCUGCUGCCCAGACCAGCUACUCCUGUAAGCAAGGUUCGCAAGAUAGUUUGUCCUGUCCAUCCUUUUCUACAUCUAUCGCUGAACCAACUGACAAGAUAGGCCGGCUGGAAAAGUUCCCCAAGGCCCGCCCCCUGAGUGAUCAGCUAAGUCAAACUCCAAGAUCUUUGGAGCUAACAGCCGUACUAGGAACCCUAUCUGACUGAAAUGUAUAUAUAUAACGUUUCGUUCGUGCACCUUUUGAAUUCAAGGUAUAGCUCAAUCUAAUUGAAAGAACCCUUACCGCUCCGUGGGGGUCUCGCUCAAUAACAUUUCAGAUUUCUUUAAGGGAAAGCGAAAUGAGAUUGAACCCACCCGCAAUGAAGGUAUCGCAAAAUCAGAAAUUCAAGAUCGGCUCUCUUACAUUGAGUGAAACCCAGUGACGCGGGAUCGGCUCGAUGUCCUUGAGUCUUGACCUUUCAUUCAUCUUCUUCUCUUAUCAAAUUUCUCAAAUUUCUCUCGUCUUUGCACCUCUCUCCAAAUUUGUCUGUGCAAUCAGAAAACCCACUUGGCUCAAUAACCGGAGAUGAAAUAGUGAGGGUUAGGUUUAUUAGCUAAAAUGAAGAAAAUGCAUAUGGCUGGCAUCAACUUUUUGAUGAAAAUCAGUCAUUGGCAGAAAUAGCUAUUUUAGUCAUUUUAUAACAAAAAAGACGGGGUUUCUGUCAACUGAUCGAGGUAGAUAAAGACAGGUUUCCAUUUGCUUAACACAUUUCAUUCUCUUCUUCGGUUUGUGGUAAAGCUCUUUCUUUUUAUCGGUCAAUUCUUCCCUCUUCUUUUCAAUUUCAACUCCGAUCCCGAUCCCGAAAGGUCAAGCUGCAAAGCCCCUUUCCGCUGUCGCUGCGCUCCUUGACUUAACCUUUUUUCUUUCACCUCGUAACUGGGUUGAACCUCAGUCAAUUACAUCGACCCUCUCCUUGACUUAAGCUGCUGCAACGGCCAUCAACGGCAACAAGUGGCGUCAUCGGAUGAAGACUUCUGCUUUAGGUGAUUCGGGAGCGGAUGCGUCUCUAUCUUUGGAUUCUGAGUCGGAUACUUCCUUCAUAUGAAGCUACUUCCCCGGUCUUUGCGUAUGCGUCUGUCGAUCCGUCUUCGGAUUCGGCUUGGAUCUUAGACUUCUCUUUCUCUAGUGGCAGCUGCUUCUUCAGAUUAGAAUCGGAUUAUUCUUCUUCUCUUCAAGAGUUGAAGUUGAACAGGCGCACUCACUGAAGGAAGCCUUCCGACCCGGAAGAGGCCUAUGGAGCUGGUUCGGAUUGGGAAAGAGCGGGCACCGAUCCUCUCUUUUAACCCUCGAAAGAGCGAUUGCCGGGAAUAGCAGGACAAAGACUCUCUUUUUCAUAUCUUGUUCAAUGGUCUUCGGCCUCCAACUAUCUUUCUUUCUUUAGCUAAGGACAAGCCAAGCUAGAAGUUAGAAUCGAAUUGAAUAAAGUAAUGGUCGAGAUCGAUAUCGCCGGGCUAGUGCGGCUCGAGGAGAAGAUAGGCAGCUCGACUCCUCGAGGAAAGGGCUAAAAAGGCUUGACUGAAAGGGAAAGGGGUAGGGGUUGGAAAAUGGGAUUCUGGUGAAAGCGCUAGAAAGAGGAAAUCAAGGAUUGUCCACCAUCAAGUAUCUAGUUGCAGGGGGGGGAGUUUCACCGACUAGUAUAUAUUCUGAGAAUUCUGGUCGAAGAAAGAGCCAAGCCGUUAUUAGUGGCUUCAAAACGGGAUAUCGCUGCUUCAAAGGAAGGCAAGGCAGACCGAACUACAAGAGCAUUUGGCAACUAUCGCUAGAAAGAAGAAGGCAAAGUCAAAAGGUCAGUUACUCGACUCGCUACAAGAGCUCCACCAACUAAACUAGCAUGUAAUGUUGCCGGGAGGCCUGAAAAAAGAAAGCGCUUUUUUCUUUGGGUGGCACAGCAUGGGAUUGCCUUAGUUGAGUCUCUCGGACGGGAAGAAAGGGAUUCCGUUCCAUUUCCUUUUUUAAGGAAAAGAGGCCGUAGCCCGAUCUCAACUGGUUACCAGACGCGUGACUGAGUUCUCGGUUUUGGCAGUUCUGGGCAUUGGUUCACGACUGCGCUUUCCAAGGUAGUUCAGAAGGGCACCCGCGCAUUCUUUUCAUUCAACUGGGCCUCGUGAAUGGGAGCUUAUCUCAUUCCUCCAAGUCUUGGCGCGACUCAGCUCCCACAUCCCAGGCGUGUUUUUGACCCCAUUCUCGCCGUUCUCAGGCAACCCCGCUCACCAGAACGAGUUAUAGGCCUCGGACUUUAGCAAAGGAAGCUAAAGUGAGUAAGAGAUGCUAUUCUUAUAACUUCUAAAAGGAUUCCUUGUCUUCGACCUCCCCUCUGAAAAAGCGUUCUCAAAUUCUUUGAUCCUUUCUUUCCCAUCCCAAUAGCUUGAAGUGGAAGCAUGAUAGCCGAUGUGCUCAAAGAAAGAGAGAAAUAUUCUUUCAUAAUAGAUCCGUGAUCGGUAUCAACAAAAAGAGUCUCACAUGCAUCUCUUUAUUCACUAGUCUUCCUAGCCAAGAGAGACCUCGAGAUAUUCCAUACAUACGGAAAGCAUGCCGCGUAGUGGAGCAAUUGCUUAGCUCGUCAGGCUCAAGACCCCCACGUAGCGGUUAGAGGUGGAAAUCCUGUCUCCGCAACAUCCUUCUAUUUGUCUCACAUUCAUCAACCCUUGUGGGGAGAGACGAGGUUCUCCUAACAAUGGACCUCGUCUCAACGAGUUCUUUCUUGAAGGGAAGCAGUACUUAAGCAAGAGGGGUCUCACGGUGGAUCGGAGAAGAUACUCCCUUGUAUUCUUAUUCUUAGUCGAAGCUAUGCAUGAGUGGAUCUCUUCUCUUGAUGAGGAAGCAAAGAAGCAGAGCGGUAUAAGCAAUUCCUCUUCUUAAUAGACCGAGAUAAAAGAGGUUUCAUUCCACUAGAUUGAAUGCAUCCUUCAUCUUCAUAGACCUUACCGCUACGUGGGGGGAAAGAAAGAGAGAAUGAAGGUGAAAUUCAAUUCACCUUUGUGCCUUAAAUUAAAUAGCAUACACAGGAAUGAAACCCGUUGAUUGCUCCGACAGCAUAUGUAUCCAUAGCCUGGCAGGCGCACACAUGGGAAGACUGGAAUUAGCCGAUGAUCUGACCUGAUGGAAUAUUAGAGUGGAACCUACCUCCUCAUCUUAGGAGUGGGCAUACCGCGCGAGAGGGCAAUAGCGAAGGGAGCGGCGUACCAAGACAAGAAAAAGAAAAAGCACAAGAUGGAUAAGCUUGCCUCAAACUGCCAUUAGUGUACUAUAUAGAUAGACGGCUAGGGGUCAUUGAACCCACCAUAGACAACUUUCCUGUCCCGUAAUCCGACAGAAAGAAUAUCUACUAAUGGAAAUUGUGCGCUCUGUCCUUCUUUCUUUUAUGGGGUGGUUUAUCUGAGGCCGACUUCUGAGUUAUUCAGGGAAAAGCAGCGAGACCGUUUUGAAGCUUUACGAGGUUAUCAUACGACUUCCCACGGAGUGGUCUGAAUAUCUGAUACUUAGUUUGGGCUUCCUUUUCUCAAUCGUCCAUUCGUCAAUCUCUAGUGGGGACGCCUCCCUCUAAGAAUUCUUUGAUCGCUAAGUCGACCAAUUCCUCUACUCGGACUAGACCGAAGCAGCGGAUUCGCUACCUAAAUUUAAGGCGGAAGACGUAGCCUGGUUCAUAAUUUUUGAUUGAUACUAGAAUUUCAUUGUGUAUACAGUAAAUAAAGGAAUAAGAGGUUCGAACUCAACUUUCUAGUUGGCACAGCUCCCAUCGCUUGAACUUCAAGUUCAACUUCCUUCCUUUUUCGGUAUGAGGGCUCAGUCAGACUUGGGCAUGAGAAGAGUGUCAGCCAAGUUCGUUGGCAUUACAUGCCUUAGCGCAGGAAGAGAUGCCUUGCCCUGCGUGGUCUUCCUUUAUUCAUGCGGCGGAAGCUAGCGACAAAAGAUAAGGCCAGCACAGUAGAUGUCUGGACGGGCGUCAAAGAGACUUAGUCAAGGAUUCUCCCAGGUUGGGGCGCUCGCUAUGCGGACGGAUGCUGAGCCUGAAUUUCCUCUCCAGCCUGAUCCAGAGUCAUCUGUCUCAGUUGAGUUCAUUGUUCAGACCGCCUGAAUCUCAUUUCAAAUUCUUCCUCUCAAGUAAGAAAUUCUCUCCACUUCCACGCUUAGACGAUAGGCUACUGCUUAGCCGCUUUUUUGCUCUACUCGCAGGACUUUUUCUUGCCUCCUCACCUUGGAAAUGAGUCCACAUCUGCUAGCAGUUUUCGAAAAUUCUGAUGAAAGAAUAUGGGACUGCUCUCUUACAUGUCCACCAAGCGCGCCAAGCUAAGAAGAAAAUCAUACCCACGGCAAAUCCAUGAAAAGGAUUCUGCACUCCCUCGCGUAGUAGGAUAGGCUUUCUUCCCCUAUCUCUUCUUAUGGCGGCUUUCCCACGGGGCGGUAGGUUCAGAUAUAAGAAGAUAUAAGGAAUAAUCAAGCUCUUCUUCUUCUUUCUUCUCUUUUUUAUUUACUUAGCCAUUCUUUGAUUUGAAUUGAGUUCUCGUAUUAGUAUUAUCUUUGAAGGAGAGAUGGAAGGAGACCUACGGGCCGGAUUUACCGCGUAGUGGGUUAGUAGGGCUCAAGGGAAUUCUCUUGAAACUAGGCUCGGAGAGGAGAAAGCCUACCCUCCAAAUGAAUAGACGAAAGAAGAAAAGGAAAGCGAUGAAUAAGAAAGAAAAUGGAGUGAAAGGAUCCGGAUCAUUCUUCUUCCUCCUCCCCUCCUGAAAGGGAUGAGUUCGGGCCGCCACCAGGCCUUGAUUCUGGCUUAUGAGCUCGGCUUGCCUCCCGUCGAUCGUAGAUAAGGUGAUCGGACUCCGUGAUGAAUCCUUCCACUCGUGAACUCGGGAAAGCCUAUCAACCAAGUCAUCAAGAUCAAGCCUAGCCUGAAUGAACAAAGGUUCCAGGGAAAGCCAUUACACUCCUAAACAAACCUCUGACUUGGGAGACUCCUAAACCUCGUCUGCUCGGGAAAGGGCUUCCUUUCUUCUUCUUUUCUUCUAUGAAUCAAAUACCUUCCCAUUCAAAUAGUGAGAUGAUAGUAAUCCAACUCCAACUCUUGAGAUAAUUCUUUGAUCCUUUACUUUCUCUUACAAGAGCUAAAACUCUCCCGUAGGUCUGCACUUGCACUCCUCUCUCUCGACUGAUAUAACUCCUUACUCUUCCCCUUCUACUAAUCAGAUAGUUCAAUCAUAAUUCAGUAAAGAUGCGAAUGAAAUAAGAAGAGAUAAUCAGAUUUCAGGGGUUUAUCCUUCUCUUUCAGUGUCUCAUGAAAGAAUUCCGAAAAGAAAUUCCUCUUUAGAUAUUAUGAUAUAUCUUUUUCUGGAGUCCGGAUUGCUCCUGCGUCUUUCUUUACCUUUCAUCCUUAAGUUUCUCUGACUUGAAGUAGGUUUAGGAGUGAAAGGCCUUUCUAUUUGCGUGACGUAGAUCGAUAGUGAAUUAACGACUUAUCAAGAAGAGCGGACUCGCCUCAACCUUUGUUCAUUGAUUCAGUCCUUAUAUUCACCUUUUAUUUGCCGCCUGAAUUCUGUGGAAUCUUUGACUUAGUGGAUAAAAAAGGUCAGUCUUCCGCUUAUUAUGAGAUUUCUUUGCACUCGACCUAAUACCUUUCCUGCCGGUCUUUCCGUUGAGAAAGACGCUUUUCAAAGAGUUUGGAGAUGAGGGCUGAUGUUCUUUCAGGUAUCUCUCUUUUUUCCUAAUGCCUUCUUUCUUCAUUGAUUGACUUCCCAAGAACUCUUACGUGAAAACUUCUUGCUCACCCGCGCGCUGGGCUUCUCCCUUUGCCUUUGUAGAUAAGCGAUGAGCCGACUUUCCAGUUCUUCGUCUUGACACACCUAUAUUAUUAAUUAAGAAAUCAGUCGUACUCGCCGAUCCAAUGCUAUUCAACGGAAAGAGAGACCUCCUUCCCGCUACGUGGGGAAAAACAAAGGUCUAGAUUUACUGACUCAACUCGGGAAAGAUCUCAAUGUGUAGACGGGCGGUCUAAAGAAGGUAAGAGAUUCCAUUCCACCUGUGCCUGAGGCCUCGUCUUUCUCUCCGAGUUCGAGAUCCUCUUUCUUAGUGUGAUUUCUGACUUUCUCUGGAUUCUAUAAGAUAGAAAAGGCCUUAGGCAACUCAGACGAUCGAAGGCAAGAAGAACUCAAGACAGCCGACUCGAACCACUCCUGGCCGGCCGUGCUUAUGUCUCUCAUGAUCGUUCCGAGAUUCUAUAUGAUAGGGGAAGAACUCAAAAAAGACCUUACCCGCCGAUAUGCCUCGUCUCUCCUCGUACGGGUACAGAGGAUCACCGUCGGCCUGAACCAUACCAUACAAUGAGAGGAGGGAAAGUUCAUUCUUUUUUCAUGUGUAUUUGCCGGGUUGUCCACCGCGGAGUGGGUCUUGGAUCUGGUCACAAUUCAAGCAUAAUCGUAGCCUCUCCGCCCUAAACCAACUCCAUUCCUUAACUCCUCUGGCUUGUCUUCAGGUUAGAGAGACGGGGAUAAAGAAAAGUCUCGUGAAAGGAUCUCAUUCUUCCCGCUGAUGGUCUGAAUUGUCCUUGGAUAGAAAGAAAAGGAAUAAAGAAAGGUGCGUCUUUCCCAUUCAUUUUUGGAUGAAAAAGAUUUCAUGGAAAACAAUUAGGGCGGGAUCAGAAGCCUAGGCUUGACUUCUUAUGGUAGGCUUUCCUGGAGAUAGUUGAUCUUUUCUUUUUCUUUCGAUCAUUCUUUCUCAUAUUCAUUCACCCGCGUAGUGGGGAGCAGCAAAGGUUAAUAUGGAUUUCUGAGGACUGAGGAUCAUCAAAAACAAGGUUGAAGAUGACUCGUCAGAGGACUCUACCCUAUUUAGAGCGCAGAUAAGUUGUUUUCUCAUCAUAACCUUCCCUUCGAUAAAAAGACAAAAGAACCGAUACGAUAUUUCCGAAAAAGGCUGAUAAGCCUUUCUCAAAUGUGAAGUUGGCUUUCUUUUUAGUUUGCAUGAGGGAUGUCUUCGCUUCCUUCAUAUUCUACAUCCGUUUCACUUCGAACCACCCUGAUGUGCGUGGGUGGUUCUUCAGCCACGUUCACUAGUAUUCUCUCUUAGUUGUCUCUUAGAUUAGAUGAGACGCCUUCGUCUUAGGCCUGCGGAUGAAAGCUGACUUCACGCUUUCCCCCCAGCCCCUCGGGGGAGGAGAGGAAGACGGAGUUUGACCUUUCAGGAUAAGCCUUUCUAAAAUGGUAACUACAACCAAUAUGCACCGAAACGGGUAAAAUAGUCCUCACAUUCAAACUCUCGCGCGGUUCGGAGGUCAAUUCGACUAGGACCCUUCUUUUCCCUAUGAGAUUCAUAACGGAGGAUACCGGAAAGGGAAGACAGACUAGGGAAUUCGUAAUCGUCAGAAAGUAGGGCUGAGGAUAUUCUUUCGGAGUAGCGGAAGCGUAGCGUAGCGGACAGCCUGAAACUACUUUGACUUCCUCCUGUCUUUCUCAGGAGCGGAAUCAAGAAUAGACCUCUCAGUAUCCGGAAAAGAAACUCAAACUAGAAGUCUUCAUUGAUUUUCCCUAGAUUUUUCUAAUGGACCAGUUGCUAUUUCCCGGCUUUUUUGCUUCUAAAUAGGACUUUUUUGAAGAUUGAUAUUUAACGAAAAUAGAGUGAAAAAGAAGGAAUUUUCAUGAUUUCUUGCUACUUCCCUAUGGGCAAAACCUAGCAUUUCCCUCCGUCUUCAAUCUAGCAGAUUCAUUUUGAGUACAAUGAACAAGGUGAUGAAAUCAGAAUUCUUCUUUCAUUCGAGUUAAUGAGUGAAUUAUUCUUUUCUUUACUACAAGUCUUCUUCUUAUGAAAUAUGAUUCAAAUAAGAGAUAGUCCGAAGGCUCAAAGAAGAUUGAGAUAGCUAACGAGUUUUUUGACUGAUUUUUCAUGACUGCCAGCCAUACCCAAAACAAACCUUGCAAAAGAGGUCUUUCCCGCUCCCUUCCCUUGACUGGGAAAUGGUAGUAAGCUCCGGUGGUCGGAAGUCUGAUUGAAUGAGUCACUGACGAAGAAGGAGAGAUAGGGAUCGGACACAUCUCAUGCGGCGGACUCCUUCCCCUGCUUUUAUCGUAGUUCCUACUGAUCGAUUCAUCAAGAGUACUGUCCUAGACUGAGUUAGAGGAUAGAAAAAAAUACCUAUAACGGAGACUGAAGACUAAACUGAAGCAGACACAACUGGACCUCUGCGCCUCAACGACCUCGGACUCUUUUGCUUAUUCUUCCCGGUGGGUUGGGUUCAGAACGUCGUGAGACUCUCGUCUAAUUCUCUGUCUGAGACUGGAUCGCAUAUGUUCUCACUCAUUUUCCCCUCUAGCUAGAGAUCGCAAGAUCGAAGAAGGCGGAUGACUAUUUAUAGGUGGCCUAAUGUAUCAGCUGAUGGGUCCCGCUUUAGCAACUCAUCUAUUCUCAGUCUCGUUCGUCAAGAAACAAGAGAAAGCGAUCUAGCCGACGGGUAAUCUUUCUGAGCCAGCUACCUAAAAAGAGAUAUGUCCCCAGUUCAAAGCACAAGGCUAUUAGUAAAGCGCAUGAAAGAGCAUAGCAAGCACGGAUUGAUCAUAGCACUUCUUAUUCCACAAGAGAUCGAAGAGGGAGAUCUUCCCCCUUUGAAACUGGGACUGAGGACGAUAUGGUAAGCCAGUCCUAUUCAUCCAUUUCUGAAAGCGGGUACCGAUCCAAGCAGCUUUCCCUGAAAAUAAUAAGUACGAAAAGAAUGGGCGGAAGGAAGUAUGUUUAUGAAUAAGGGUUAGCGAGAAUAGGUUCAAAGACAAAGCUGCUACACCGGCGUCAUGAAUCAGAGGAGGAUAGCAUUGAAUAGGAAUCCCCCCUCGUCGCCCCGUUCUUCUUUAAUCAGUGGUCUCGGAAGUAGUUGUUUUAGUUCGAGUUGCAAGACAAGUGGCUAUAUCCCCAGAAAGAAGGAUUAAUUCAAUGGGAUUGGAACCUGACUUGAUUCUACGGUUUCCCUUAAAGGGAUUUGACGUUCUUUCUUCUUGUCUUUUUCAUAUGACACCAAAGGAAGAAAACGAGAAGAAAAAAAGCUUUGUAGAGAGAACUCCACUCCUCCUACUAAAUAGGGUUCGAAGAAGAUCGACUGUUAAGGAGUGCAAAAUUAGAGCGACUGAUACCUCAAGAGGAGGAGGCAAAGAAAAGGAAGAAGACUCAAAAGUCUGAACUAAAAUCAAGCUCCUUCUCAAUCCGGACUAUCCAUUAUCAGGGCUUAACGGACGGAUAAAAACAAGUCCUUCGCCUAAUUCUCGCAAUAUUCUUUGCGCCUGGACCAAAGGUUAAUAUGGAUAGUCCUACGGAUAAGAAUCCUGGACCUUUCUUUGGCACUGCGGACCACUAUUUAAUGAAUAUGGGGAUCUGGACGGAGUGCGAGAGAAAGAAGCGAAGCGAUCGUGCAGUGCAAGUGCUGGAGCCGUCCUUCUUAACUGCAAAGACUGAUUCCAUGCAUAUGUAUUUUCCUGCUCGCUUCAUCAGCUCCGUUAGUGUAAAGGGCGUAGACCCGCUUCCUAAACCUAGUUGGGUCAACUUAUGUGUAGAGCCGAAAAUCUUUCUAAUCUUCGAUAGCAUAAAGGUGCGCACCUGCUCAACUAGAUCUCUUAAGAAUCCCCACUGAUAGAAUGAGGAGGGGCAAUUGCUUUAUUCAAAGUGAUAGCGGAUGCUGGGGAAACCAUUAGGAAUGCUCAACCCCACCGGGCUUGGGCCCAUAUCCUUUGCUCAAUGGACGCGAGGCUAGUUCCUACUUCCAGCUGGAUUGCAACUACUGAUCUCAUUCUUUUAUACGUGCAUAACCCUCGUGGAACUCUUUCACUGAUAGCCUCAUUCCGGCAAGUUAGAAAGAAGCUAAUGCUAACCAUCAUCAGCCGGAAAGACCCGAUAAAGCCACGAUAAAAGGAAUUGGACAGCUUUCAAUAUUCUUUGAACCGCUCCGUGGGCCCUAGCAUUUCAUUCUUCUUUCCCUCGGCUGAACAAUUACCGCUCCGUGGGCUUCCAAAAUCCCGGCUGCGCUAAAAGCACCUCACGGCCCUAUGCCUUUCAGUCUGAUCUCUUAAUUGGCCUAAUGUAGGCACAGAGAGCAAGAUGGAUGCGGCUGAUCAUUCUAUGCCUCAAGCUCCUGACCAAGGUGAAGAUAUUAGCUUCCAAGCUUUGUCAGCCCGGAAAAGUGAGAAAAUUUCUUAUUCAGAUGACCAGCUCGAGGGCAAGGGAAGAGCCGAAGCCCGCUCUCUCGAUGAUAUCAAGGCUGAGUUUCAGAGAGUUCUUCCGAUCCGUCCGGAUCCCCAUAUGAAUUAGGCGGAGGACUGAUUUAUGGAACAUAGACCUUUUUUUUAGUAGGCUCGUUAGAAAGAGAAAAGAUCAAAAUCUCAAUCGCAUAUUUCAUUGCGCCUCUUCUUACUGGUGUGAUGAUAAGUAUACCAAAGGUCAUAAGUGCAAGAGCUCUCAAUUGUAUAUGUUAAUGAUUCAAAUAAAGGUGCAAAGAGCGCGGGUUAUUCAAAUUUCAGGAUCAGGACUGGUAAGACUCCUUCGGAGCGGUCUUAAUACUCCUAACUACGGCGCAAAGAAUAUUGCGAGGACGGAGGCUCAAAGAAUCCCCCUACGCGGUUCAAAGAAUAUUUCAUGAAUGAGUGAAAGAAGAAAUUCAGCAAUGGAUAGUCCGGAGGUGCAAAGAAUAUUGCAGAGCGGGAAGAAUGGAUAUAUAUUGUAGAGCGGGAGAGAGAAGUCGUCUCCGUUUAGAAUAAAAUAAGAGGAUAGGGCGGGCCCUUGAAGAAUGAUCUUGCUGCUGCCCACGGUUUUGAAUUACUUUACUCUUUUUGAAUCCAGUCAAUGAACAAAGUCUGUUCCUACGGCAAGGAAUGCUCCAAAGGAGGGAGGCAACGAAAUUGAAUCCAGCCUCUGUCUGAAGCCCAAAAGGAAUGCGGGGGAGUCAGAAAGAAGAAAGCCUACGUCACGAAAUUGAAUCCAGCCUUCGUCUGCAAUAAGAAGCCUCCUCAAAAUACUCCUUCGUAAAAGAAGAAGCCGGAGGCAUUUGUAUUGACUCGGUUUUAGUGGAAUCUUUUCUACAUUGAUACGUGGGUCCUCCUUAUCAUUGAUUUGAGUCUGAUUCAGUAUUUCUUAGGUAUUUAUUAGCUCAAAUUCUCAAAAUGCAAGGUUUUCGCCUUCCUGAAAGGGGAUUUCUCAAUCUGAAAAGAGCCUUUCUUCUUUUCUUAGAUAAAUGCGCUUCGCUUCUCGAAAAUGAAUUCAGCCUCAGCCCUAAUUAUCGAAUAUUGCCUUCCACUUGAGGGAUAUUCUUGGAUUUCAGACUCCUCCUAUUUUACCUGGACUGAUUUAUGGAACUUAAGCUCGGAUCGAAACUGAAAGCUAGACAGAAAGAUCUCUCGCAACCCGUUCGAGAAAUGGGAGAGAGAUAAGUUUUAGCAGUUUCCCACCCAACCCAGUUGAAUAGAAAGUGCUUAGGUCGCUGUGGAAGAAAGAGAAGGAGCCUCAUCCAUCUUUUCUCGGGAUUGGAGUUUGAACAUUCUUGAAAAGAAAGAUUUCUUGUCCUAAUCGACUAGGCUAGGUUUCGUAAGGCUGGCCGUCGGCCUUAACCUUUUUGGAUUCUAAUCUCAAGUCUUUGAACCCCAUCAAUGGAAUAUAUAGAAAAAAAAGCGGAAAGAGAGGGAAAGAGAUCAAUGAAUAAGGAUGCGAGAGGGAUCAGGAAGAAGAAAUCUAGGGCAUGCGCACUCGGGUCUUUCCUUCCCGCUACGUGGGCUUACUCGUUCAAGAUCCUGACGCAUAAUUGGUCGUAUGAGAACCUAUACAUACUAACUAUGAAAUUCCCUUCUCGCAGGUGGAGCGGCUGAAUUCCGUCUUACUAAAGGAAACUAAAGUCAUAGUUUUUCUUGCUGUCGCUGUAGUGGAAGGUUCUGUCGUAGCCCUUGUUGCAGGAGAAGAAUUGAGUAUUCCGCUUAGGCACGGGUGUCCCGAGUGGAAGGAAUAUGUCCGAAAAGGCCAACAAUUCUUAGAUCGAAGGACAGACCCCAAAUCGCGAGGAUGCAGUUUUGAGCCAGAAGUCCAGUCCGCUUCAAGGUCACGCUUCGGUACCUCGAGCUAUGUAAGAGAAAGGGGAAAGCAGUGGUACGCUACUGUAGAUAAGAAUAACUUAGAGGGAGUGAACUAUUAGAUGCACAAGAAGAUCAGUUCCAAGAUUCCCAAGAAUAUCCCGUCCUUCGGACAGACGGGUUAAUAUGGAUAGGACUGAGGACCUGUCUGGCCUUCGUAGCUUAAUAAUGGGAUUUUGGAGGGAGCGAAAGUGUUAAAUAUUAUUCGCAUAUUUCAUUGCACCUUCGGACGGGAAAUUGCAACUGGAUGCAUUGUCCUAGGACAGGUAAAAGAAAUUCAUGUGAACUGGUUUCAGGUCCGGAUAAAUACAGGAUCAAGUGCUUUCACCGCUACGCUACGCUUCCGCUCCAAUCAAUGAACAAAGGCGCAAAGAAUAUUGCGAAAACGUAGGUUCAAAGAAUAUUGACUAGACUUAACAGGAGUCCGUAAGGACUAAGAAAUCUAGGAAUGAACUCCGUCUGAAAUCUAGCACAAAGAUGUCUGAAAUCUAGCACAAAUCAAUGAAUAUUGACAAUGAACAAGGCUCAAAGAAUUUGAGUCUGCUUUCAUUCUCGUUAAUGAGUGAAUUAUUCUUUUCUUUUCCGCUCCGUGGGCGUCUAUCAACUUCAUUCCCUAGCUUAGGAUCUUGUCGAGCAAGAGCAUUCUGAUCCGUCCGGAGGCGCAAAGAAUAUUGCCCUAUUUACUUCCCUUGAAAGUGCACUAUCUGCACCCUUGUUUUUGCAUUGAAUUUCAUACUAGGACUAAAGCUAUGCUAUGUAUGGGGAAUGCUAAAGGAAUCCUCCUGUGCCAAUUGAAGUAAUGAACUAGCGGAUCGCAUCACUAAAAAGAGGAAGAAAGUAGCCCACUGCGCGGUGUAGAGGAUCCAAGAAUUUGAGAAAGAAUAUUGACGCUCGACCCCCACUGGAAGAGGAUGAAAUUCUAGACAGGAUGAAGAGACUAAAAGAAAAGGAAGAGGCAGAGGACAGAGAGGAUAGGGUAUGAAAUAGGCGAGACUGAACUUAACCCCAGCAGAGGAUUUUUCUCAUGCAAGGCUCUUUGAAUUUGAGAAGAAGAGUUACGGCCGAGGGAAUCCGUACCAGUCCCAGUGAUGAAUCUGAAAUCUGAUUUCAGCCUCUGGUUGGAAGUCGCUAUGCAAGCUAGCCCUUCUCUUUCAGACUGGGAGAAAGAGAUAUGACCUGCCGUACCGACUUCUUAAGUAUAGAAUGAAGACGAAUGGGAAUAACUUAUGAAAAAAGGGAAUGGGAAUCAAUCCCAGCGAGAUCAAGAGGAAAAGGUCUUAAGGAAGAGCUUAUCAGUCGAGACCAGGACGGGGAGAACUCAGUCUUAGCUCAGUUAAUCAGUUUUUCAGAUUGAAAAGGUAAGACUUCGAGUGGGGGUGGCAUGUUUAAGGCGCAGGAGGCGGAUCGGUUUCAAAGCAAAGUAGGAACUGCUCCGUCUAACCUGUGCGAAGGGUGCGAUGAGCAAGGUUUGGUAGCGAUAGGAAGAAGUAGGACUGCGAAGAGAGGUGGAUGGGAUCUUAGCUCCCGAUACGCCGAAUGCCUAAUACCUUCCCGCCGGUCUUGGGUGGAGAUCUGCCCCAUGAAGGAUGCUCGGACUCCCCGAUUCUGUCUUCUUCUAGGCAGAGUAUCAACCGAUGGUUAAGACUUGAGUUACUUUCCGAUAUUCGUUUGGAAUCCUUCCAAUCUCGGCUAUGAUAGAAGAGAAAUGGAGGUUGAGCCGCUCCGCUUCUUUUCUUUGCUGAAAUCCAAAUUAGUAGAUUCACUCUCAAAGAAGAAAGCCGGGAGUACGAAAGGGAAAUUCGAAGCCCAUAAAGUAGGUCUUAUGAAUGAGGGAAGGAGAUUUAGAACUCUUUCGGAAGAAAUGCGAGACUGAGUUGACGAACGAAGGAUCGUAAGUAAGUUGGUGCGCUUUCAAGGGAAGAGAAGAGGGAUGAAAUAGCUCGACCGUAGGGAGAGGGAUGAAAUAGCUCGACCGUAGGGAGAGGGAUCCGUCCCAGGAUUAUGGCUUUCUGCUCGCCCCCUUUUGAAAGUUUCGAAUUUCAGAGUAAAUAGUAGCGGUUCUUUAUUCAAAAUAGCGUAAUGAUCAAUCUUGCUUAGUUUCGCCACCCAAGGAGAUUUGACAGUGGGAAAUCCUGAACAUUGGCGAGAGGAGAAGAACUGGAUUGACUGACCUGAUUUACCUACCUACUUUACCCCUACGUGGGUUGACCUAGGACCUGCCUGAUUUACCUGGUCGAUAUGGAUCAUACAUUAAGAACGGGUAUUCCUUAUUUGACGAAUAGGUUAUAGAUCUAUUCCCGAGACUGGAAAGGAUGGGUUACCGCUCUCGAACAGAGGAAGCAAGAGAAAUUAGUCUUCUUCCAAGUACUUGAACUUGAAUCUCUCCCAAUAGACCCAAUAGAGAUAGAGAGAGGCCUUGUGCCCGAGAAGGAAGGCGAUGGAAUUGAGCUCAACUCUAUCGAUGUGGAACCCGUACAGUCAUCCAGUCUGAAAGUAGCUCAUCCGGAUAACCUCAUCAUCCAAGAAGCUUGACUGAGUUGGAGAGGUAACCGUCAUAUUAUGAGAAGAUAGAAUCGGGGAAGAGGAAGACGGAGAAUUAGAAGUUAGCCCAGUCAGGUGCGAUUGAUUUAAGGAUGUUCCAAGGCCACCCAUAGCGAAAAGGAGUCAACCCCGCUUAUUUUGAGAUGAGAACAAGAAGAUGUCUUGAGUAAAGAGGGUAUUCUUUACAUAACUGAUGCAUGCGGCUGAGGCUGAGAGGGAAGUAGUCCUCCCCCUCCCAGUUGAAUAGGAAAGAUCGACCCUGAAGUGGAAAGAUCGAGCGUGGACGACCGAGAGGGCCAGUUAACCCGAGGGAUCGGACUCUUUACCCAUAUCCCGUAAAUCUGAUCAUCACGGUUCCGAGCAAUUCUCUGAAGUCAGGAGGAGAGAGAGGAGGAGUCGCUUUUCUUGCUUCCGCUUUCGCUGCAGAAGUAGUAGAAAGAGGGUAUGAGUUAGGCGUGAAUUGCCUUCUUUCAUUCUCGGAUUCUUCUGAAAAGCUAUAAAGCUCUUCUUCUUUUUCUCAAUUUCUUUAUACCGAUUGGGUAUUAAGAAGGAGUAAAUGGCACUCUGUAGGGCCGAGGUCAGAGAAUAUAUGAACAAAGAUUCCCCAUGAGAGAAAUACAUAAUCGAUUCCAAUACUCGGUAUGACACAGCAACCCCAAUCCCUUUCUUCAGAAGAAGUUGGAAGCUUCCGAAUGUAGGAUCUCAGCUGCUUUACUUACCAGAUAGCAAUCAGUCUGGCUCUAAGCAAGGGAAGAUAAAGAUAGUCUGUUUACGAAUCUUCGUUGACUCGGUAACCUCAUCGGUAAGGUAUCGGAUCCCGAAGAAGAAGGAAGACUGAGUCAGCGAGACCAGAGGAUCAAGGUGAACAAGUCAAUGAACAAGGCGCAAUGAAAUAUGCCUUGAAUGAAUGAAAAUGCUUCAAAAAAGAAGAAGAGGGCGCGUAGGCAAACUAAGACGCUGCGAUACGGGCAGCAGUUUCCGUCUCCGUUUCAGAGGCAGGAAUUAUAGAUAAGGAACUCUGGAAGAAGGGGAGGAUGCCUCAUCCGUAGCUGCUGAGGCGGUAGAAUAAGUAGUUGAAGUUGAAACAUUAUAUGCAUAAUUCACUUUGAAAUCAUCUCUAAAAUGAGAAAAGAUUCUCCAUCCCGAACCGAAGGAAAAGAAAGAUUCCAAACUAAUGAAAGAGGAAAGUCCACAUCGGGAAGUGGACGAGGCAGACGAGGCGACCCAAAGCAGAGGCACGCGCAGAGGCAUAUGUAAUCCGAAGGAAGUGUGUCCGAAUUCGAUGAAGAGGCGGAGGGCGCUGUCCCUGGAUCUCCGGCCCUUUGUUCAUUUUUUCGGUCCCAGUUGAGUGCGAAGAAGUUCGAGUUUCUAUAUAGAAGGAUCUCCUAGGUUUUACUUGGACGUCUUAGUUCUUCUUUAAGAAGUGGCCGUUUAUGCUCUUCCUCUUGAGGAUGCUGAUCGGAGAUCUCACAAGGCCUAAAAAGUCAAUUAUCCGGUCGUCCACGUAGCAAUGGUGAAAUGGAUCCUUACCUAUAAGUAUAAGACCACCCUGGAAAUCAGAGUGAAAUAACCGCCCCUUUACGAGUCACAAAUGAGUGAAAGGCCUUGAUUUUAGUAGUGAUCCGAUCGAUCCACGAUCGAAGAACUGAACCUGCAACUUCCACUUUCGAUUCAAGAGGGGAGGUUCAAAGAAUAUUGAGCAAGCCUAUCCUAUGCGACGGACUCUGAUUUUUCCACUACAAGGGAUGGUGGGGAAUCCUCACUAGCCACCGUUCUUGAAAGAGUUUCGGACGUAGCGGGAGUUGCUAGAAGUUGCAUUCUGAACUUCUGAAGAAGUAUGAUCCGGAAGCUCGUAGGAAGAAGUCGGCUGAUCGAAUGAUCCUCGGGGUUCAUUCCUUACCGCGUAGUGGGUCGUGGCUUUUAAGGCUUGCACUCCCGUAGAAGGAGUCGUCUUUGAUUCUUUUCUGAGAUAAAUGCGCUUCCCUUCGUCAAUAUUCUUUGAACCUCGUCUUCUGACUUUUAUUGCCUCCUCCUAAGACUUCUCUUUCCUUAUUCAUUGAUUGUAUAUUCAUUUGUCGGCGAAUACGUGGUUCGGCCCACUUCUAUCCGAUGCUCCGGAUCUUAUAGGCGGCGAAUCGCUUGCUUCUUUUCAGGUUUCCGGAUUUAGGCUUGACUUACCGUAACGGAGAAUAAGAGAGUUUGGCUUAGAAUAGGUUUCAUUCUCAAUUUCACUUUCUACUUUCUGACUUAGGCUUGAUUCUUGAAUUGCUUAAGACAAGGGGUUUUGCUUUCUGACUCGUAUGAGAUCUUGAAGUAGGUUUUUACAAAGUAUCAAACUCUGUUUUGAGAACCUCCUCGAUCAAGAAGUUGAAAAAGAAAGAAGGAGCAAUGACAAGAUAAAGAUAAGUUUUGAUAAAGCUCUUCUUUGAACUUUGAAUUGACUUUCUCUUGAUAUGAACUUCUAAUAUUUAAGGGGGCUAUCCUUGUUUUAGUGGAAUUCAUGUCCUCCUUUUCUAUAUAAUAUAAUAUAGUAUAGAAGAAAGCACUAAUUGGGAGCUCUGCUCGUGCGAGUGAGGGACUAAGCUCCUCACGUAGGAACUCAAGAAAGCAAAUACAAAAGUAGGAGGUUUGCGGAAAUGGAGUCUCUUUCGAAUUUUCUCUCAUCUCAAUUCCUCAAGUCUGUCUUAGUCACACCUAUCCGCCGCUCAAUAUUCUUUGAACCUUGACGUCAAACUUUAGUGAAUCAUGACUAAAAGGACUAAUCGCAACUAAAAGUACUAAGUUAGAAGGAAGUAGUAGUAGUAUUGGAAGAAGAGAGGCUUAUAGCAACCUUAUGGGCUUCCCUCUUCGGCCGCCUGCACUAUACCAGCGGAACUCGUAAGGGAUCCCCGCCUUAGAUAGAAUUCUCUACGCGGAAUAGAAGUGCCCGACCCGUCCUCCGUCCUCUUGAAUGAAAAAUCAAGCUCCAGAUGAGUUGACCUAUCCAUUAAACAAGUCCGGAGGACCAGUCUCGCCCUCAGUCCUAUCCAUUAGAAAGAAUGAGAAAGCCGUCAGUCCAAGAAAAAUCAGAGAAAAUGGACUUUUAGUUCCAUCGCUAUUUUGCAAGGUUUUGCUUUCUUUCCCCUUAUAUAAAAGAAAGCUCUCACUUUUUUCAGCCAUUUGAGACUACUAGGUAAAUCGCACAUUGAGUCACUUUUUCCCCGCAAGAAAGAAUGAAAAAAUGUCUCAGUCGAGCUACUAUGAAAGUUAUUAGAUCAAAGUCUCUAUUUACGCUAUUUUGAGUCAUUUUGCCGCAAUAUUCUUUGCUCUAGACCUUUGUUUUCAAAUAGUCAUUUUUCAGACUUUCAUGAAAGAUCAGGAGUCGCUAUGAAUUAGCCUUGCUAACGCACCUUUCUUCGCUUCGCACCUUUUCUACUAAAUAGUAAGACGCUCUUCUGAACGUCUUUAUAAAGCUCUUCUUUCCAUCUCACCGCUUUUAUUGAUCAGAAUCUUUUCAAGAAUAAGCUUGAAUCGACCCUUUCCCAUCUCGGCUACUAUUGAGUGGUUUGGGCUGCGGGCUUAGGCUUAAUACGAUCUUUCUAGAAUUUCUUCUUUUCUUCUUUUGGUCCUAGUCUUGUUUUCCCCCUUUCCCCUUCCCACUUCCCCUUUGUACUUUCCCUCCAGAAAGUCAGUCUUUCUCCUACUAAAUCAUUGAUUUCUUCCUUUUCCAAUCCAUUCCCAUUUUCUCUUUUCUUUUCUUGUUAAUAAGUUCAAUUGAAAGCUACUUAUUGAUUUGAUUAGCCGAGUUUCAAGUUCAAUUGAUCAUGACUAGGCUUUUUCUUAGCGUGAACCUACUUAAAUAAAAGGAAGAAGACGAGAGGGAGUGCAAGCGGUUAUUUUCUUUCAUGCUUUCAAGGGCCCGGUAAGUCAAAUCCCGCACCGCGCACCCUAGCGCUAUCGGUCUCAGGUUAAUUCCCCACGUAGCGGUAAAGAAGGUGGUCUGGUCUGUCUUCCAACUUCAAGAGAGACUGAUAAAAGCGAACCACCCCUAUUAGGGGCUUUCCCGAACGCUUGCUUCGUAAACAGACAAGGAAGGGAUGAAAUUCCAUGAAAUCAGUCCUCUCUUUUUUAUGGGCCUCCUGAUCUUAGUUCCCUUUCCGCGCGGAUCUAGCUGCCGACCAAAAAGAAGGGAGAGCUUCGUCUCGAGCUUCAACGGUUCCGACUUCUCCAACUUCUCUUUCCGAGUUCAGUGCCACAGCUGAAAUUCCAGAACUGAUCUGAUUCCUCCUCCUGGGGCCUCUCUCCCUCUGCCGGCACUGGGACUGGAACAAGUUGACUAUCUUACUCAUUCAUCGUAUAAAUGGCUUAAAAAGAAGGGACUCCAACAGGGCACAACAAGAAAGAGCAAGGAUGGCUCCAAGGGCACCCGCGCUAUUUGUCCACGCCUGCCUCUUUCAUUCUCUUGGCUUCAAGGUACCCCUUUAGCUUCGGAUCCUAAUAGUCAUGACGUCUCUUUGAGAUCUUUCUCUUUACCUGAUUAUUGACUGAAUUGCAUUCCCCACGAAAGUCUACCCUUUCAUUACACGUUUUCACCGUUCAAAGAUUGAUUUUCUUUGCCUCGAUACAAGCGGAAAGAAGGAUUUUCACCUUCGCUUGUCCUCAACCAGCAAUAAUCGAGUUCUUCCAUAAAUCAGUCCAGAAGAAGAUAUGGAACUCAAUCUGAUAAAUAAUAGUACUUUGUCUUUGUCUAAAAUAGUCCUUCGGACGACUCCGUCUCUCUUCUUUAUGGGGGUCCCAGUUACUAGAGAAGCCCACCAGCUAAGAUCCUGCUGAGGAAUUCGAUCUGUGGGGAGUACGAUCGGAAGAGUGAUAGCUCGACGUUUCGGAAUCGGGCGUCAGAGGCGCAAAGAAGCUCUUCUCUUAAGAUAAGAAGAGGGUAUGAAGGAAGCCACUCUUCUGUCAAGGAUUGGAUCGGGAACACCGAGUUAUCCUAUGACUGAGGAAAGCCGUUCCAAUACUACUUUAUCAGGUCAAUCAGGCCGCCGAGCUAGAAAGUUCCCAGGACUGAAUAAAGAGCUAGACAAGAGUCUCGCUACAAAGUCCCACUGACCUAUCCCUUGCUGGUGGAUAGAUAUCUUCAGAUAUGGUCCCCUAGGCUCGACCCUUUCUUCCUUCUAUCUUGUAAGUUGGUCGUAUUCGACCCGAGGAUAGGCUUUCUCUUGUUUCAAGAAUUCCACUUUCUAUUUGUUGGACGUACUAGAAGAUGUGAUUUAUGAGAUCUGAAGCUGGCAAGAGAUGAGAGCAGAGUGAAGACCACUACACUAAGCAAGAAGACCUUUUCUAAUCCCAAAGGAGGAGAUAGACUAGCACCUUCUCGGCUGAUUCUGUGCCCACCCUCAGAUCUCAUUACGGACCUGAGACUGCACUUCUUGCCAAUGGCUCCCUUCGAAAGACAGAAUUCUUCUUUAUAGAAUUCUCAGUCAUAUUCAAUCUCUCAAGACCUCCUUCUUCCCUCUUUCCUAGGCCCACUCACUCCCACGAUCAGGGAAAGGAGGAACUGAGGCGAGAAUCCCAUAAAGGAAGGUUAGAAUAUGCAAGACUCCCACGGGGCGGAGAGGUGCUCAGCUCUGCUUUUUCCCGAGAGAGGGUAUGAUCCCCUGGACUGGAAAGGAUAGGUAUUCAGUUCCCUAGUAUUUUGAUGAUAAAUAGAGAGAUUGAUGAAUAGAAUAAAUAAGAAUGAGAGAAGUUUCUGAAGAGAUCUCUUGGACUAUUUCAAGCCUUUGUUCAUUGAGGCUAGGCUUUCCUUCUCUAAGCUUUCUCUUGUUGGCCUUCUGGCCUUUCAACCUCACCCACGGAAAGCGACCCCGUUGGUUUGAAAACGGCCUCUAGCCCACCACGUUCCACAAAUCCCUCAGCCCCUUUCUCAACGGGCGUGUAGCCGUACUUUCGCGUCUUGGUUAAGGCUCGCUUCAAAAUAUCGAGCUUCUGCAGGGUUGGUAGCUCGUCGAUGCAGAACCAGAGGCGCUCUUGCUGAGAAUCGGCUCCAGAUGAAGCACGGCUUUGAUUGCUGUGUCGAUCCACAAGGACAAAGCCGGCUUCAGUCCUUCUCGCAUCUCUCCUCUCGCGCAGUGAUAAACAUCCAGGAUCUCCUCACUCACCCACUUGCGGAUGGAGAACAGAUCCCCCUUAUCCAUCCGGUCAAAAUCGAAAGGAUUCCAGCUGAUUCUGAACGGUCAUUUUUAGUGAGAUUCCCGUGCGCUCCGUCAUCGGGUCCACAUAGGCCGCACCAGCGGUGCCUUUCAGCAAGGCGUGCAUCUCCUCGAGAUUGCUCUUGGCAACGGCGUUGUAGAAAUCUCGGUUUGUGCGCCGCCCAUCUCUGCCUAGAACGGAGAUAACGUCCUUGAGCACCCUCCGGCCCGCCAAGGCCCAAAAGGUUAGAGUCAGAACUCUUGCUGGUCUGGGAUCAGGCCGUUGGCCAUAUUAUCGAAGUGGUAGUCCUUGGAGAUCGAAGCCCAGAUAUUCCAGUUCGGGCUACGGGCAUCCAGCGGGUUCAUCAGAAUGUCUUUACCUUCCCGGUAGAACGCUUGGGUAAACUCUCCGGUCUUUUCAUACACGACUAUACGCUUACCUCUUGCCCGAACCUCUUGCAUCAAGGCGAAAAACUGCUGGGAUUUCCCCGUGCCUUGUGCACCAGCAAAGAGCGGAUGCAGCGUCUCUGACUUCAUCCGCAUAGGCACACCGGCAAUCAGGGACUCGCUUCCCCCCCGACGCUUAAUGAGUCGUGCCAAUGCCUUUCCAGUGACCAGCCUGGCGCCCCGCAGCUGAUGAUCCUGCAUUCGUUCGCGUCCAUCUCCAUCCGUAUAGAAGAGCGAGGAAAACGAGACCGAUGGCACUCAGCACGCCGGCCCCAUUGCGCAACUUUCGCCAGCCAUCAGACGCAAUCUCCUCGGUCAAUGUGGCAACUCGCGACACGUCGAGCUGCUUGGCCCUUGACGUGCAAUUCCAUCUUACCGGCCGUCAUGUAGAGCGCUGAACGUGUGUGGGCCAGCACAUUGCGCGAGAGGGCAUACUUUGAAUCCGCUGUGGUCGACAACCAGAAGCAUGCAACCGUCACGAUCAGUCCAACUAAGAGAGAAGUCAGAAGAACCGUCCUAAGUGCCCCCAUCAACAGGCGAGCUUGGUGCGUCCAUAGUUCAGCACCACGAGAAAAAUGGUUGGUACUACCCCCUUCCUCUUUUUUAGCCACGCCCAACUUCUUUUCUGCAGCUUUGCUUUCGCGAUGUCCUGUGCUUCGUAGAGCUUUUGAACGUCCCUAGCCGAUACGAUGGCCGACAGCAUGGCCUCAGCGGUAAACACAGAUAGUCAGAAUGCCUCCGGAAUGGGCGUCGAAGCAUCAUCCUGUCCUCUGCUGUGGCGGAUGUCAUCCACGAGACUUCGCAGGCCUUGCUCGAUUUCCUGCACGUUUUCGGCAGCCCUGCACUAGCGUCUGACGCAAGUACUCUACGACGGUGAUCCCGUGCUCCUUUGCCUUCUGCCGAUAGAACCGUGCGGUGUCUUCAUCCAUCCGGAUAUUGAAUGAAAGGCUCCGACGAUGGUCUGCGCUGAUCUUUCUAGGCAUUUUUGACUACACAAGAACCACUUUUCAUGAACAAUUUCCUGUAGGUGUCGCCGAAAUGAAAUACAUGACAAGAAUUUCUCAGAAAUUCCUAAUUGCGUGGGGUGUGUGGCAAGAUUUUAGGGGAGCGGGGACCAAACGAGAAGGCUGUCCUGAUUCGGUGGGCUAGCAGUGGACGGCCAUGGAUGACCCACCUACGCCCAACGACUACAUUAUGCCAUUGAUUCAGAUUUUCUAGCUUCUAAGUUAGAACAGGAGGGUAUCAAGUUAGCCAAGGGAUAUUUUCUUGAGUGGAAGCGGAGGUAAACAUGAGCAAAGUGAAAGGUGCUGUCUCGCACCACGAACGAGAAUUGGCAGAAUGUAGUGCCGAUCGAGAACUAGCGGUGGAAUACCUAAAAGCUAAGAUGGAAUCGCGAGAGAGAUAAUCGCGCCUUAGGCCUGUUGGCGCUACGCACGAUAGCAGAAGCUUAUGGUGGAUUAGCUGCUAGAGGCUGCAGGUAUAAGCCGGGAAUCGUUGUACCGUAUGCUUUCCCCUAAAGGUAACCCCACGCUCAAGACGUUGCUAGCAGUACUUAAGACCGUUGGAAUGCGCUUGUCUGUCGAACUCGAGAAUUCCGUGCACGCUUGAUAUUCAGCUUUUGAAGUGCCUAUAUCCUCUGAAAGAUAUCAAGUUAUCAUCAAAUUUCUAUCUUGAUUCGGUCUUGUUCCCUACAUAGCAGACAGAUUGGUUUUGAUUUCCCUUGAAAAUCCCUGGCCAAAGGUUUCACAGCCGGGACGAAAUCCAGGCGCAGCAAAUGCAUAGCGAGGUCGAUGGCACCGCCUAGCCCUUCCCUUCUGAGCUCUGGUCUCGUACCAGACCGCUUAUCAACAGAAAAAUGACGCUGCUACCAAUCGAAAGAUCGCUCGGUAUGCUUAUCCUUAGCUUAGUCGGUCUGAAUCUCACCUUUCCAGUAAAUUCGAAGAAGAUCAAGGGCAAAGGCUGUUUAUGCUGCUGUCUCCGUCCCAUCAGUCCCAAGCAAGUAAGCGCUAGAAGCUCGAACCAUCUCUUGAAUCAGUACUAAACCGAGUGGUCGGGCCGAGAGCGGGAACAUGAAAAGAAAGUUUCAGAAAGCCCUAUCCGUUUUUAGUUCCUACUUUAGGGUAGAGGCUGCUGGUCCGAAGGCUAGGUUCAUACAGAUAGUCCGGAGGACGGUUAGUUGGAACUUUGCGACUGAGGGUCAAUGAAAUAUGAGAAAGGAUAGGCUUGAUUUAGUAGUCCUCUUUCAUUGAUCUAUUUUGAUGCCAGUUCAAGCAGCCUAGUGGAAGUGAGAGCAAUCCGAACUCCAUAAAAGGGCAAAGGUUAAGUUAUUUGAAUGAAGAAAAUCAAUGAAGAAGUCAAUGCCCACGUAGCGGGGAAAGUUUGAGUGGAAUCUUUGGAGAAUGAGGAGGUCUGGAGUGAUCAAGUCCUUCGUUCAAUGAACAUCCAUAAAGAAAUUGGGAUUCAAGUACAUACACCAAAUUCAAUGUGUUAAUCAAAUGAAAACCGAUCCUUAUCCACCAUGAAUGCCAAAACAAACCCAGCCUACGGCUUCUUAUUGCAGACUCCUUAUGGGGUUCAGACGAAGGCUCGACUGUAUGUAAGGAGAGGCUCAAUGCAAUUUGAGUUGCGAGACUGUCAAAAUCAAGCUCCAGAUGAGUUUCAGACUGUAAGGAGAGGCGGAGGAGGCGCAAAGAAUAUUGCGUAAAGGCUCGCCUUAGAUAGAGGGAGAGGAGCAAAGAAUUUGAGAAAGAGGAGUUGAGAGAAAGAAUUCACUCAUUAACGAGAAUGAAAGAAUAAUUCGGAUUUCAUCACCUUGUUUUUACGGAGGGAAAUACAAGAUUUUGCUAGGUUUUGGGCCUAUAAAGUAGCAAGAAAUCAUGAAAAUUCCUUCUUUUUCACUCAAUUAUCGUUAAAUAUCAAUAUGAGAUUUAGUCCUAUUUAGAAGCAAAAAAGCCGGGAAAUUGCAACUGGUCCAUUAGCAAAAUCUAGGGAAAAUCAAUGAACAGAGUUUUCUUAUGGUUUCUGGUCCGGAUACUGACGGGUCUAUUCUUGAUUCCCAAUGAACAAGGUUAUUCAAUCCUAAUUAUUCUUUCAUUCUCGUUAAUGAGCUGAUUUUCUUUUCUUUUUUCUUUCUGAAAGACCGACCAAUCGAUUCAAAAUCUAUAGUUACCUCCCCCGAUCCCACUCUGUCUCUUACCCGUCUGACUCAUUCCCUUGAGAAUAGUACUGAUGACUCUGGAUCCGAGACUUCAGACUCAAGAGGGAAUUCCCUUUACUGGGCCUCCUAACCUGGUCGAUCCCACCCACUACGCUACGCGGUGGAGCUACGAAACCUUGAUGUGAUGAAAGUGACCUCUAUUAAGUCCUAUGGGCUAGCUCCUUCUAUUCAAACCUACCUUUCUCGGCUUCUUCUUCCCUUUCUAAAGUGAGAUGAUUCCGAGAAAGGCGGGCUAACCGAUCCAAUUCAGAGUGAGAGCUUGAGCUGUCUGAUCCGACCUUCGUCGGUAAAGCCUAUAUCUACUAUACUACCCCUGGCUUCUUCUGAAACUAGGUAAAUCGGACAACUGUCUCGGUCAACUUAUGCCUCUUCCUAGCCCUCUCAACUGGGACUGAGUUCGCGCUUUUACUUGGUCCUCUCUCGAUCUUUCUUUUCUUGCUUGAAUAACUCCGGCUCCCUCAACUGGACAGUUCUUCUAUUUCUAGGGAAUAGAACUCGUAAACUCUUUCUUUUUCCCAUCCUGGAUGAGCUACUGAUAACCGAUCCCGGAUAGCUGACUGAAAGACCUGAAAAUAGCUGUCGUUGAAGUCCCACAGCCACUGACUUAGAAGUCCCCGCCGAAAGAGAGUUUGAAAGAGGAAAGAAUUCAGCCCGCGAAACUUCUGAUUAAGUAAUGAAAAUAGAAAUGGGUAAUUCAAGCUCUUCUAUUCAAUAAAUAAGUUGAACAUAAGAAGAGAAGUAAAUUCAAAGAAUGAGAAAUCUCACUUUCUUUCUUGCCUUUAUUAAGCGUACCCUGAUGGUUGAUCUAAUAAGAUAUAAGUCGAUAAGAAAGCUCUUUUCUCAUUUUCUAGACUAGAACGCCUUCCUACGAACUGAGAGUUCUCCAUCGUCUACUAUGCCAUAUCUUUACCGGCUUCGCAGGCACCUGUAUAUCGGCCUAUCAUGGCCUCGUGGGCGCUGGCCUUCGAAAAGAAGGUGGGAACAAGAAGAUCGAGAGAGAAAGCGGAAACUAUCUCAUACUCUGAAUUGAGUUCUUUUAUGAGGAUAAAAAGAAUGAGAAGUUUGUUCAGAGAGAUUCUUUACUUAAUUAUGAUGAGGCUUAUUAACAAGAGAAUCAAGAGAAGGCUGAAUGAAUAUGAGAAUGCCUUUAUUCUUUUCAAAAUUAUGACGUUAGCAAUUUAUGAUGAGGAAAUCCUAUUAUCAAUCUUAGUAAGAAAUCUAAUAUGAGAAGGGAAGAGGUUUUUUAUGAAAAUGAAAAGGAGUGCUCGACCGCAUACUAUGGAAUACUCUUGAAAUCUGAUCAAAACCCAUCCGUUGAGAGUCAAUCAUAAAUACGAAAUCAAAUAAUAAGGAAUCCAAAAUAGCGGUUUAUCAAGCUCUUAUAUCGGAAGCGAGACCGGUCCUCCGGACUCAAGGAUUCCACUAAAUAGCGCCUUCUUUUUGAAUUGAGCCUCUUGACGGGAAGAAGCGAAGAAAAAAGCCUAGGAGUCGAAAGAAGAAGAGAUUGCUACUUAUAUGUUCGUCAGAAAGAGAAAGCCUAUGAUUAUGACUUUUUCAGGGUUUUUAAUGACUUAAACCUGCUAUCUCAUAAGAUAACUCUUAUUGUCUUAGGCGGUAUUCUAUUUUGACGAAGACGGAAUAAGAGCUUGAUAAAAGAUAAAGCACUAUUUAUUGAAAGGAAAUAUGACUUGAGCAGUCCGGAGGCGCAAUUCAAUAUGCGACGUCCGAAGGUGAAAAGAAUAUUGAAUGAAUGAGUGAGUGAAUCAUAUUUUUUCCGAGGGAGGACGGGGAUAGAGUCCCAAACUUGACUCCCGUUUACUACCUCUUUCUACUCUCUUGUACCCGUCCGAAGGACUAUCAACCUAUUACUUCAAACUAAAAAUUGAAUGAAAAUCGGUCACUUCCGAACCCCUCCUUUCUCGUCUUCUCAUUCCAUAUAUGAGAUUUCCAGGUAGACUUUUGACUCAUAUGAGUGGAUCAUCUCGGUCCUCACCCUUAUUUAUUUCUGUCUACGAGCGCGUCUGCCUUCACGAACGUCUAGUAACUCACUAGCCCUAAACCAUAACUUCUUCACUCUUCCAACCCGCGCACCAUCCGCAGCAGCUAGGAAGGCGCAAAGAAUAUUGCUCGGAGUUGGAUCGGAAGAAGAAAGAGGAAGUUGAAGUACGAAAGGUUCAAAGUGGUUUUAGUGUACCAAAUACAAAGAGACCUCCGGACUAUCCCACGACGGAUCAAUUCAAUAUGAGAGGCGCAAAGAAUAUUGCGAUGCGAUUGCCUUCCACUAAAAAAGGACUUCGUCUGCAAGAAAAUAUGAUGAAUAGUCAAAAAUAGGGGAAGGACUUGUUCUCAAUCAUUGAUUGCUUCAUUCCAUAUUACUAGAUUCGCCGACAAAGAAGAAGAAGAUCGAGAUAGAAAGCUGAAACUAUCUGAAUCAUAUAGAUUCUCCAUCAACUCAUCUGGAGCUUGAUUUUUCAUUGAUCUCUUGACCACUGAAAACGAGAUUUAUAUACUUUGAUUUUACAUCUUGUCCACUCUCUACUCUUUUUUGACCUUUAUUUGACUGCAAAGAAAAAUGUGUCAGAUUUGACCUUAAAUAAUGGGACUGAUUUUGAUCCACAUAUUAACUUAUAAAGAAAUGGAAACCCUGUUCUUUGUCCUCAUCUUCAGUCGGGCGCAGAAUCCUCCGAGGAAGAGGCGCAAAGAAUAUUGCUCAGGCGCGAAGCGCAUUUAUCUAAGAAAAGAAGAAAGGCGCAAAGAAUAUUGCCGAGGUACUCGGCUUUCUAUUAAGGAGUGCAGGUUGAACCACUUCUAAACAUUGAGAUAAAGUAGGAGCAGCUUCUCAAAUUCUUUGACCACGCAAACCGCAAUAUUCUGCAUUGAGCCCGUAGUUAGGAGUAUUAAGACCGGAGGACCAUCCGUAAUUAACCGAAGUAGUCCGGAGGACUUUCCGUAAUUAACCGAACAUUGCACCUUGUUCAUUGAUUUUAGUAGGCUUUCUUCUUCUUCGCUUCGCUAGGCUUGAUCUUAGAAGAUCCAGUCCGGAGGCGCAAAGAAUAUUGCCCAUUAGAAGUGCUUUCUUUAUUUUGUUCAUUGAUCUCUUUGCCGCUGAUCUGACUGAACUUUCCUUUCAUCCGCCAAAUUCAUAAUUGAUCUGCCUUGUUCGCUAGGCUUUCUCUUUCUUUUCUGACUUUCUUUUUUCCAAUAUCCUAUGCCUCGCUGCCUCACUCUGAUCCUUUAUAUACCCGAUGGCAUAUACGGUUCUCGAUCCGGAAACCUUGAUUCUCGUGCGAGAUGUGACCUUUCUUAGGAUCUAAAUGUUGGCUAGGUAAGCGUCCUGUAGUAAGACUUUAUUCAUUGAUUCAUUGAUCUCUUUUAUUGAGGAAGUUGAGCCUCCUUAUGGUUUUUGAUUCUCCCUUUCCCGUCUCCUUCACCCCGUAGUUAGGAGCUUUGAAUAUUGCGUGGAACUUAUCUCAUUUUUUGCAUAGAAAAAGAAGAUGGAAUUCUUUCUUCCUUAUUCUUUCUUAUAUAAGAGAGUUGGUCCGAGUUAGUUCUAUAGAAGAAAUAGAGACCCAAAAAAGGGAUAGGGUUAACGAGAUGAAAAGAGAGUUCUUUCUGAUACAUAGGCUCCACGGGAGAAGCAAGGGUCCGUGUUCUUGCGCGUCCGGCAAAGCCUUCUCCUUCGGGAUAGACUUCUGGGUCUUCCCUUUCGUACUCAGCCAGAUCCCCUGGAUCUUACCUGUCAAAGCCCAAUGAUGUGCCAACUUAAAUGACUGAAAGAACAUAGUCCGGUCCCACGACUACUCUUCCCCGAUAUGGCCCCCACUCCGCGGUUCCCCGAUCUAGAUCUGAUGCAUUAUGGUGGGGAGUUCCUCCUUCCUCUAGUCUCGACUUCGUUCCAAAAGAAGAAAAUCACACACCACCGCUCCGUGGGAAGGGGGAUACUUCUUCGCCCUAAUCAAUAAAGGGGUCAAGCGCGGGUUCGACUGAACUUUCCACGUUCCACUCCCACCACGAAAGGUUUGGAUUUCAGCUUGAUUCAUGCUUUCUAUUUAUAUCGCUUCGAUCUACUCGGGUAAAGGCGCAUGGGGAAGAUUCAAGCUUCAGGGUGAGCGCAGGUCUUUCAUUAUCUUUUAGUUCAUGCAUAGAAAAUGGAUUAAUAAAGAGGAGGACGAAAAGCAGAAUCAAUCGGUCGAAGCAGUUCCGACUUCUCCGCCCGAUGGUAUGGGCGCAGGGGCGCGCGUGAGGGUACUGAAUUUCUCAACCUUCCUUGAUAAGUCAAUGAACAAAGGCUGCGGAGUCAGAUCGGUGUCUUGUUAACGAGACAAUUUGGAUUCGUUGCUAAAGCGGGACCCAGUUGACAGAAAGAACUCCUUUUGAGUAAGCAGGAGCUGUGUUUCGGCUCUCUCUUGUUCGUAAGGCCAAGGCAAAGAAAAAUCACUCUAUUAAAGGCUGAAUUCAAUUUUCGUAGAGGCGCAAAGAAUAUAUAGAGAAGGCGCAAAGAAUAUAUAGAGUAAGGCGCUUCUAAUCUCAAAUUCUUUGAGCCCGUAGUGCCAAAGAAAGGUCCAGGGUCCUACGUCCGCAGGAUUCUUAUCCGGAGUCCGGAGGAUUUAUCCGUAGGACCAUCCAUAUGGAAGGAAGUAGGACUAUCCAUAUGGAAGUAGGACCAUCCGUAAUUAACCGAAGGAGGACUCCCAGAAAGAAGAAGAAGGACUCUAAAACGGACUCGAAGAUUUCCGCUUUCUUUUAGCCGGAGAGGGAUCUCUUUUUCUUGCUUUACCUGGAGAAGAGGUCUGAGAUCAGAUGUCUUUCUUCUUUAUUAUCCCCCUCCGGUCCGGUCUGAAUUUGCAAAGAUGUCCUUAUCAUAUUUAAGCUACUGAGGCCCAAUGAAAUAUGCGAUUGAGAAGACAAAAAUCAGGCUGAAUUCAGAUCGUGGAUAAGGCUCGGUAUCCGGCAAUAUUCUUACAAUAUCCCGCUACGUGGGCCAUAGAUCUUUGCUCCUCGCUCUUUGCGCCUGGAAGUCUAGUCAAUAUUCUUUGAACCGGAGGCCCAUAUUGCCCAUUGCGUCUUUCCAUUGAAUUUCCGGAAAUAAGGCUCAAAGGAUAUUGAGAUGAGAUUCUUUCUUUUUAGCCUAGGCUUUUCACGCAUCAAAAUAGAAGUUGCGCUUUCUUGUUAUUGUUAGCGGAUAGGUUUCUUAUUUGGUUUAUCAAGUUCUUAUCUUCUCUUUCAUACAUCUCUAUCUUCUUUUCUGUCUUCGCAGACUAAUCUUUUCAAUAGUCUUUGAAAUCAUAAAAGACCUUGAUUCUUCUGAGUCAACCCCGCUUAUUUUGAGAAGGUAGCUUGCUUACUCUCAGCCGCUAGUUAGAGGGAAAUCCGUUGACUGAGUUUAUGUUGCAGUUAAUGGAGAAGCAUUGAGGCGGGCUAAGCUUCCAUUCUCAGUAGAGUUUCAGAUAGAGGAUUCGAUCUUGGACCUCUCGGGAUCCGGUUCGAGAAAAGGUCCGAUCCAUUAAUAUCAUGAUUGGGUCGACCAGGCCAGAUCGUCAGUGAAUAGAAAAUCUAAAACGUACAUAGCAGUCCCAGCUGAAAUACUUGGAAUAAUUCUACCACUUCUACUAGGAGUAGCCUUUUUAGUGCUAGCUGAACGUAAAGUAAUGGCUUUUGUGCAACGUCGAAAGGGUCCUGAUGUAGUGGGAUCGUUCGGAUUGUUACAACCUCUAGCAGAUGGUUUGAAAUUGAUGAUAAAAGAACCUCUUUCACCAAGUAGUGCUAAUUUCUCCCUUUUUAGAAUGGCUCCAGUGGCUACAUUUAUGUUAAGUCUGGUCGCUCGGGCCGUUGUACCUUUUGAUUAUGGUAUUGUAUUGUCAGAUCCGAACAUAGGGCUACUUUAUUUGUUUGCCAUAUCUUCGCUAGGUGUUUAUGGAAUUAUUAUAGCGGGUUGGUCUAGUAAUUAGGGGGCGGCCGUUCGGUCGCCUAUGAUACUAGGACCAAUAGGUCAAAAAUGGGUUUGUGCCGCAGGUGUUGAACGAUCUACUCUACACAGGUGUGGGCUUACAGGGCUAGGGCUCAGAAACCCUUUCUUUCAUUCAUCAAUAGGGCCCUGGCAAGGAACCUACUAAAAGUUAAUAUGGAUCAAAAUCAGUCCCACUAUUUAAAUAGGAUGAAUAGUCAUCUGGAUACUUUAUUUUGAACUAAAUAAAGGAUUUCUAGUCCGCUCUGAAUUUCAUAUGGAUUUCAUAAACAAGUCCCAUAUUAAGCUACUGAGGCCCAAAGCAAGCCCACUCCGUAUUAAUUGACUGGAUCUUGUAGGACUCAUUCAUUCCACAAAAUCAAGGCUCCAUAAGACAGGUCCGAAGGACUAUCCAUCAGGAAAAAAGAAAGCGGAAAAUCUUCUCAAAUACUUUGAGCCCGUAGUUAGGAGUAUUAAGACCGGAGGACCAUCAAAGAAAGGUCCAGGGUCCGGAGUCCGCAGGAUUUAUCCGGAGGACUAUCCAUAUGGAAGGAAGUCGGACUAUCCGUAAUUAACCGAAGGAGGACUUUCCGUAAUUAACCGAACUUUGAACCUUCGCCUCAAUGAAAAGUUCAGGGGUCAAAGAAUUAUCGAAGUGGAAGUCAUCAAAAAGAGAUCUUUCGAUUCGUACCGCUACGUGGGAUCGCUUGCUGGCCUAUAUAUAUUUCUAUUGCUAGAUCGCUGUCUUUUAACCGUCUCUUCUUCUUUGUCAACGCUACCUUGGACCUAAAGGAAAAGGCGCUACUUAGCCCUAGAUUUUUAGAAGUAAGCGGCUGAGUUAGCCUAGCCUACCCUCUAAAUGUAUUGUAUACGAGCGAGUUAGCGAAGACGCUUAGGCUAAUAGAUAAGAGAGCGUCGGUGCUACGCCUUCAUUCUACUACGCUACGCAAAGGUUACGAAUUAGCUCGACGUUAGGAGAGUCAAGUCAAGGGGGAAGGCCAUACCUACAUAGAAGAACUGCUGUUCGUUGACUUUCUAAGGUCUAACCUUUCGCUCCCCUACUGAAAAGGAGGAAAGCAGCUUGACUCUCUUUACUUUCAAGAGGCAGCCCACUACGCUAGAGAUCAGAAGAAAGAGAGUUUCAUGAGAUCUUCAUUCGAUCUUUGUCUUCUUUCUUGAGUUCUUCAUAUCCUCUUCUUUCUUGAGAGGAGCAAAGCAGCUUCGCACUACUUAAGAAAAAAUUCAAAAGGUCCUACUUAGUUUCGUAAGCCUUUUUCAUUGUCAGUCAACUAAGUAGGGCCUGAGGCCCCCUGCGAAUCCGUAAAUCUCAGGAGCAUGCCGCAACAAAAGGAUGGUCCCCUAUGCAUUUCAUUCUUUCCGGAAGGGAAAAAGAAGUACCCCCAUCAUGGUGAACCUCUCCUUGUGAUCGGGAUGAGGUAGAUGCCUCCCAGCCGGGGGGCGGAUCGAAUCGGAGUUUCCUUAGGUAGCCACCGACCUACAGUUAUCCUUAAACUUCCGUGCUUGGUGGAGAAGAAGCGAACAAAGGUAGGCUCGCUUCCUGUCUUGUUCUCUGCUGCGAACUGGGAUCGCUCGCCAGCUAGGUCAGAUUGGAGCAACCUUUUAUGAGAACAUAUUACCCUUAUUCGGGGACAAGGGGCGGAACGACCUCUCGAUCUACUUACAGCUGCCCAGGAAGAAUUCGUCUAGGCCUUCUUGCUCCGAUCUCCCCGUAGCCUAGGGCGUUGUCUGGGCCAAGAGCCAUAGUUAGUUGCUGUUUCCAUUUGCUUCUUUUUUUUUCUUGUUGUUGAUACCGGCAAGACCCAGCCAGAUGAUGUCUUCUGGUUGGUAGUGAGAGGACUUUUAGUACCUGCAUACCCAGGGGCGUCAAAAACAAGAAUUUGCUUUUUUUUCUUGCUCUCCCUUAGCAGCGGGGAAGGAGUCUAUCUAUCUGCCUAGCUUUGGUAGAUUUCCUCCAACGCAAUCCACAGAAAUGAAAGGAAUCCCUUGGUGGAUAAGAUAAGUCCGACGACGGAGCAGCAGUGCGGAAUGGACUUUCUCGUCUGGUGGAUCUGAUCUAUAGUUAGGGGGCAAUACAUACCAAAAGGUUCGAAGAAGGAAGGAAGAGGCGCAAUGAAAUAUGCGUUGAAGAAUGAACUCAUUCUCUUUCUACACUGACGACAUAUCCCGCCUCAGAAUAUUCCUUCCUGGGGUGGGACUCGCAUUGAUUGAAAUUGAUUGAAUCUUUCUUGAACUGAUGAGGCUUUCCAAGACGAGUAGACCGCUCCGUGGCCGCUUAUUGGGACCUGCAAGAAGCUGACUUUCUUUGCUUUCUUUCGUCGUCACAGUAGUUGGAAAAAGAAAAAGUCAAAGCAGCGGACCGCUUUUCAUCUGAAUAUCAGUCUAUUAAAGUGGUUCAUCAGCUUGAAACUGCGAAAGUGCUCAAGUAAGGAAAGAUAUGAAUCCUCGUUUAUAAAGCUCUGAUGAUCUUCUCUUUCCUCUAAGGCUUCGCACCUUUCUUUCGUCGAUUUCAGCUUCAAGACAGCGGAUCCCCAUAGAACCUAGGCCCCCUGAGGCCUGAGUUUCCCCUUCGUCAUCAGAUGCUAUUGGGAGCUGUGACCGCUAAAUUCAAUGGACCUAAUGGAUAGUCCGGAGGACUUCGGACGGAUGAAAGUAGCUACGUAGUCUUGUCUUCCCCGCUCCGUGGGCAUUGACUUCUUCAUUGAUUUGAUUUCAUCCUUCGAGAAUUCUUUGAGCCUUUGUUCAUUGAUCUUUACUGCUUUUCUUGGACUUUCUAGUGGUACUUUUCUCAGCAAAAAAGACGGCAAAUAGCCAAGUGAGAAAUCAAUGAACAAGGAUUAGCAUAUGCUUAGCACAUUCUCCAUUAGGAAAAAGACCUUCUCCUCUCGCGCGUAAACGAUGUUCCCUUCCCUUGAUUCUCUAAAUACGGCUUCGAUCACUCAUAUUACAUUGAGCCUUGCUUCCUAAUCCGAUUCUUAGACUGAGAAGACUUCGUCAUCGGCUUUUCAUGCUGUCCCAUUUAGAAAGUGCAGGACAAGAAGGAGUAUCUCCUUAGAGAAUUCUUCGGCCGAUCCAUCUGGAUACGGUAAGUAAUCUUCUUUCUAUUACUUAAUUACCUUGAAGAAUGAAAGAGCUGAAAGAGCUGCUGCAACUAAAGCCUCAGCUUCAAAACUUCAAAAAGCGAAUCAACUUCAUAAGGUCAAUCUGGCCUAGUAGCCCGAUUCCCCGACCUACCCCACCGCGUAGUGCGCUACCUCUCGCUGACUCAGGGAUUCUUUUUUGACUUCUCGUCCUCUCAAAUUCUUUGAGCCUUCUAUAUAUUCUUUGCACCAUCAAAGAAAGGUCCAGGGUCCGGAGUGCCAAAGAAAGGUCCAGGUGAUUUAUCCGUAGGACCAUCCAUAUGGAGGGAAGUAGUCCGCAGGAUUUAUCCGUAGGACCAUCCGUAAUUAACAGAAGUAGGACUAUCCGUAAUUAACCGAAGGAUAUAAGAGGAAAGCCAAAGGCGCGAAGCGAAGCGACUGAUCGAUGUUAUUGGCUGGAGAGGAGGACUCAAAAGAAAGAGAAACUGAUUAGCCGACUUAUACCGCGUAGUGGGCUUAUGAUAAGAAUUUGAGGCUUGUCGGCAGCUAAGGAUAUUCUUUCUUCCCGCGUAGUGCUUUCUUGAUUUUAUUAGUCGCAAAGUUCUUUAUAGAAGGCGCAAUUCAAUAUGCGUUGACAAGACUGAAUUCAUUGAGUGAAUCAGCGGAGGCGCAAAGAAUAUUGCGAUGAGUUGCGGGGCUAUUCUAAAAGAAAGAACUUAUUAUUAGAGUUAGACAGAAAUCAGAUCUUCUCCUUCUCUGCACCUACUAUUUAUUUGUCAGAAAGCCUAUCCUCGUCGAGCUGCAAGGGAUCCAUGAGGAAAGAGAUAGGCAUUUUUUUCACAUCCCAAAUUCAAAGAAGAAAAGAGAGAAUGAAAGAGGAUACCGAUCUCAGAACGGAUGAGGCAUCCUCAAGGGAUAAUGCUAACUGCACUCUUUCUAACCUACUUAAUGAUGACGAAAGAUUAUCAAAAACAAAUGUAUCGGUAUUAAUGAUUUUGAAAAAACUAUCCAAAAAAAAUGUAUCGGAGCGCAAACCUCCACCUCCUUCUACGUCCUACUUUAGUAAUCUUUUCAUAGUAAAGUCAAUCAUAAAAACCUCCUUCGUAGGGAUAUGAAAUUAGCCGCUCAUUAAUAUGAAGAGAAGAACCUAGCUUUUAUCAUAUUGAUUAUGAUAUGUCUAUAACUGGCUGAAGCAUCUAAAAAGGGAUGGGCUCUUUCCUGAUUUUUGAUUGUGAAAUACUCUUUUCACUCUGAUUUCAUGAUCCUGGGUUCAAGCGGUCGGUCCAUAGAAAUAAUAUGUGCUUAAUGAUUCUCGGAAAGAAAUGAAUGAAAUGAGGAUGCCGAAGCCUUUUGAAGUUAGUGGGACACGCCGAUACGACUUCUUUUACUCAAGGUUAGGAAAGAGAAGGCACCUCGCUCUUUGGGGGCUUCCAUCAAGACAAGAAGAGCCAGCGGCCCGGGUAGUAGAAGUAGCCUCACCUUUCAGGGGCAGCUGUGGCCUUUGAUGCCUCAGAUGUGACCGGAUCUCGCUUAUACGCAUGAGUUUAUUCGUGGCUUUUCAUGCGCCAUUAUAGAUCGUCCGUGGAUCGAUAGAGAAUGAGAUCGUAAGACCAGGGCCAAUAUAAAGCCCUUUCACAAGAUUAACUGGGAUAAAGAAGGUGAUUGAUUAGAGGAUCCAGAGAGAAAGAAGGACUGAUUUUAGCUGCCCAUGGAUUCAACCCCGCAAACUGCAGGUCGAAAGAAAAGGCCUUAUUGUACAUCUUUCACGCUCCAUCCCUCCUUCUACAUUACAUUUGCAGAUUCAAAGAAAAGUAGUGGGAAAGCAAAUCCAUUGUUUACGUGAAAAGUUGACGCUCAUGAAAUUUCAGAUUUGACCUUCUGGGGUGCAUUCUCAUCUAAAUCAUCUAAACUGGGGUCGGACCAGAGAAGGUUUAGGCGCCUCAAGCUCAAACUAAGAGGAAAGAGUAGGGGAGUCGGGAAUGAGAUCUUUCUCUUUCAUAAGCCUCCUCUCUCUCCUUAACUCUUCAGACUCAAUUAGAUCUCGCCUUUCAUCAGUCACUGAAAUCAGAAGAUUGAGUAGGGUGCGGAUUGAUCGGUUGCCGAAGGAAGAGAUCCUGAAUUCUUCCUUAAUCUUAAUGAGAUCUUUCCCAGUCAAGGAUGAAGAAAGAAGGCAGUGGCGCUAGAACAAAGGAGCUCGAAGACAAGAGUCAGAUUGCCUUCCCAGGGGAGAACCAGCUAGAACAAUGAUGAGGGUCGAAGGAGAGUUUCAGCUGAUCUUGUUUCAGGAGUAGCUGAGGCAGCUGCCCUUGAAAGAUGGGGGAGGGGCUGUGCCACCAGGUCUCAUCCUUCUUGCUGCUGUAGAAGUUGAAGUAGCCGCAUCCGUGGUUGUUGAGGAAGAAGUAGCUCUCCUUCGAAGAUGAAAGGGAUAGGCAGCGAGAAGUUAGUUCUUCCAUUGAAUAAGAAGGAUUCCCCAUUAGAAGCUCGAAUGAGUGAAGGAGCUGAGGAAGAGGAUAAGUAGCGUCAUGAAAGUGUCGGCGCUAGCUCUUGUUCUUGCAGAAGUAGGAGUUGAAAGGGAAGUAGUGGCUGUCGCGGUUGCAGCUCUUGUUGCAGAAAUAGCUGUCGCAGUAGUGGAAAGAGCAGUUGCUUAGUAGAAAGAAAGAUCGAUCGGGUAGGGAAUAUCAUAACUAAUGAGCAAGGAAAAGAGCUAGCCCUUUCAUCUCACUAUUUCCGAUUCCUCUUCGAGAAGAGAGCAAGCUGGAAGAACGAAAGCAACUGGAACAAGGAGAGGUGGGGUUGCUCGCGCGGACUGGAGCAUUUCUUCCCCAUCUGCAGUAGUUCCAUUAGAAGCAAGGAUAACUCAGAUUCAAGGGAAUACCGCGUACCUUUCUCUUCGAGUCGCGAGCAGCCUAAUCAAUUCCUCAACCUUUCUUCUGGGGACACUGGAAUUUCUUUCCAGAAAGAAGCUUUCUUCGCAACACAAAAAUACACAAAUAGAAGGUAUAGCUCAACCAAUUCAAGACAUCAAUGAACAAGGCUCAAAGAAUGAUCGAAGGAGAAAAGAAUUUGCGAAAGAGAAGUCCAUCAAUGAAAUGAAAUGAACAAGUCCUUCGCCUACUACAAUCAGUGGAAAGCGUCCCCGACUAAUUAAGCUAAUCUGGAGCCUUUCUUUCUCCUACGCGGAAGCGUAGCGGUUAAAGCUCAAUAUUCUUUGAGCCGUCCGGAGUCCGCAGGAUUCUUAUCCGGAGUCCGGAGGAUUUAUCCGUAGGACCAUCCGUAAUUAACCGAAGUAGUCCGGAGUCCGGAGGAUUCUUAUCCGUAGGACUAUCCAUAUGGAAGUAGGACCAUCCGUAAUUAACCGAAGCAGUCCGCAGGGCCAAAGAAAGGUCCAGGUGAUUUAUCCGUAGGACCAUCCAUAUGGAGGGAAGUAGUCCUACGUCCGCAGUCCGCAGGAUUUAUCCGUAGGACUAUCCAUUAGAAGUAGUCCGGAGGAUUUAUCCGUAGGACCAUCCGUAAUUAACCGAAGGAGUGGGCAGUCUAGUCAACGCAUAUUUCAUUGCGCCGGAGGACAGGUGGAAAUCUCAAAUUAAGGCUCAAGACGACCCCUUUAUUUAUGGAUGUUCAUUAAAUAGUGGGACUGAUUUUGAUCCAUAUUCAUGAACCGAAGGCGCAAAGAAUAUUGCGAAUCCGGAGGAGCAAUAAGACAGGGAUAUUGAUUUCCACUAAAUUCUCUCUUUAUUUUGAGUCCUACAAUUAGACGUGAGAGAUGAGGCCCACAACUUAUCCAGCAACGGACCCAAUUCGCCCUAUUCUCCCCUGUCCUGAGACUAAUAGAAAAAAGUACGGAUGGUUCUGACUCUUGUUGUCGAGCGGUAACCUAUCCUGUGUCUCGGGAAAGAAAAAUACCCUCUUUCAGAUAUACUAGAAUACCUAGUAGUGGGCUUCGUCAAAAUACCAGAAUAACGAGUAAUCCUACAUCCUAGACCCGUAACUCUUGAGCGGGCCACUCUACUCUCCCUAAUUCAACCGACUUCCUCUUUCAGUUCUAGGUCGAUACAGUUACCAGAAAAAAGAUAGGGUUCACACGGAUCGUAUUAUUUGUAUGUAAGCCGCUGAGAUCCAUAUCGUCUUGGUCGAUCCCAUUCCUAUCCCUCCCCUACAGUAAAAAGAGAUUCUGCUUUCUCUUCUUUCGAUAAUUCUUUGAUCCUCCUUAACUGCGCCCCACAUUUUAGCCUUACAGUCGAGCCGCUUUCGCUCCUAACUAGUGGUCUAAUCAAUUGAUUAAGAAGGCAUAUUCCUCGGAUCCGCUACGUGGGCUGGAGCUUUUCUUUUUGGAGUCGAAAUUCAACUCAUAUUAGAUCUCGCCUUCCUUCCGUCUCGACUUCCAAGGUAUGAAUAGGCUAACUGGAAAGGUGUGAAGCUGCUGAUGAGUUGGAGUUUGACAGGUAAUUACCAGUGGAAUCAGUAAGAUCAAUAGGAAUACAGAAAAUAGGAAGAAAUGAAUAACCGUCUUCUUGCAGCGGAGGCAUCCGUAUCCGUCUCUGCUUCCUUACUAUUCUCUUGAUUCAAUCGGAACUUUGCUUCAACCCCGUAAAUAGGGGAGAGAGAACUUGCUUCCCGAACGAAGAGGGACGCCGCCCCUUGCAGCUCGACCAGAUUGAGUAUUAGUAGUAGGAGUGGUAGAGGCAUUCUCUCGGCUCAUAGGUUACUAGUGUAGAGAGAGCUUAUUAGUCUCGACCAAAUGUUGCGGAACCCGUUGAGGAAGAAGGAAGGAAGAAAUUCUCUUUCAAGCUAGGGAAAAGACAGAGGAAUGGGAAUUGAAUUGUUCUCAACAUAGAAUGAGAGGAGCCUGCCUGGAAAGAAAGAGGACCAAGGCGAAUUCUCAGUGUCGGCGGAGUCAGUUUAGGAAGUGGCUGCCCUUGCUCUUGAAUGAGAUAGUCUAAGGAGUCAAAGUCGAGACUGGCAAGCAAAGAGGUCCAAGGCAUCACGCAAUAUUCUUUGCUCCACUAGGCUGCUUGAUAUUUGGACGCUCCGAAGGCCUCCGUAGGCCUCCUCUUGAGCUCUUUUCUGUCUUCCCGCUCCCUCCCGCUCCGUGGGAAUUGAACCGCUCCGUCGGUCCUAGUCUGAAAACCUUUGCCUUUUUAUUCGCUACGUGGGCUUCCGUUCGGAUUGCUCGAACCUAUUUAUUUUAGGUUUAGGAGUUCAAAGCCUCGCGCUAAGGUGGUAGUCUCGCAUCUUUCCCCUACCCGAUCUCAGACCUUCCCCCAGCUGCCCUUCCUUAUCCCCUGUCGAAACUGAGACAGUCUGGGUCUUAGCCGAAGCGAGACCAAGGGUUGAAUGUGCGACUUGUGCGAUUUCCCAUCACUCUACUCUGCGGUCAAAUCUUCUUUUUCCCACUAGUCAGAAUCACUCUACUCCGCAGUUUUGGGCUAUGCUAGCUGAAAGAUUUUUCAUAAAAUCAGCCCUAGAUUUUCAUCUAUUAUUUUUUAUACGCUCUCAAAUCGACUUUUCCCGCGAAAUGAAGCAAGGGAAUGAAGAUGCUCCAAACAAAGUCUGAAACCCUACUCAAUCCAAAGGAGGACUCUGAAGAAAGAUCAAGCCUAGCGAAGCCAACUCCAAAGGUGUUGAUGAGCGCAAAGAAGACGACUUUCGCCUAUUUUUUGGUCUCAUUGACUUCUAAUGGAUAGUCAUCUGGACCUUUCUUCUUUGACCGCCUUGAUUUUGCUGAACUUUGAAUGAAUAUGGAUAGUCCUACGCCUUAAUAGUCCUUCGGACCUGUCUUAUGGAGCAUCGACCGACUUGAUUCUCUUCUUUGAUUUACAAUAAGGCGAAACCUGAAACAAGGGUUUCACAUUCCAAAAAGUAUAUGAUCCCUCCCACUGGCAGCAGCAAGGCGGUAUGAGAUCUCUCAUUCUAAGGUGCAUCCGUUUCCGGAAUUGAAUUUGGAUCGGUAUUCAUAGGCUUUCCCGCCGGGUUAAUUAGUAGGGUCGUAGGGACCAUUCGCUAGGGCAUGAUCUCUUUCCCUUUCAGAAUAUAGGGUUCGGGGAAGUAGCUCUCCCGUUGCAGGAAAGGGAAUUCUCUUAAUAGGGUCUUGCUUUCUUUCGUUAUACAGUGGGAUCAAUGGGCAUCCAUCUUGAUAAGGGAAUGAGACCGCCAUAAAAAAAAGAUAGGGGGGGUUGAGGCUACUUAUCUUUAUUAGAGAAGGAUGGUAGGUAGAUAAAAAGACAAGACGGCUAUGAAGAGUGAGAGAUUGAAAGAUGGGAAAAGAAGCGAAAGCAAUUGCAAGAAGAAGGUUCACCACUGAAAGAACUAAAGCAAGAGCGCGAGUGAGGUUGGGGAUUUGAAAGAGUAUUCCACCCUUAACCUUUUCUUGAAAAGAUUAUUAUCAAUAUCAAGAGCGCUUUCCGGGUCAGACACCGAUCGGCAUAUCUUUUGACAGUGAGGUAAACUUCUUUCAUUUUUGGAAAGGCGUAUGAGAUUAUCAAUCUCAUUUCAUGAUUUGACUGCCGGGCGAUUUCCCAUUCAAUCUUCCAUGAAAACCAUACCCAAAUGGGGAAGGUCAACCAUUUGGUGUCCAUUUUUCACAUCUCUUUUCCCGUGCGGAGGUUCUGAUAGGACGCUGCUUGACUAAGAAGAGAGGAGGUUGCUUGGGGCUGUGGAAGUUGCUUCCUUUCGGUAAGCUGAAAGAUGUGAUCUGGCCCUCGGCCUUGGACUCCCAAGAGAAGAAAUCCAAACAAAGAUGAUAAGAUAAAUGGAAUCAACCCCUCGUUCUACCCGUGGGGACGGUUGAGCUGACCAUAGGAAAGAGCUCUUCCGACCGGUCACCUGGACCCUUCUUUUUAAAGAAGAAGAAAUUCAAUUGAAUUUCAUAGUAAUUUCUUUUCAAUCAUCAGGCUCAAAGAAUUUGAGAAAGAGUAUUCCAAAGAUUACUAUCUGCUGCUCUGAAUUUCAAUAUAUAUAUAAGAAAGUAUUCCUUUAUCAAGCUCGAAUAUGAAAUAAAUAAGUUGAAGAAGAAAAAUAAUAAGUUGAAAGAAGAAGAAGAAAGCCCACCUUCCAACUAGGGAGCAUCUGGACCCUUUCGUCAUUGAGUAGUAAUUCAGCCUUUUCUUCUUCUUAGUUUGGAAUACUUAAAAGAUAAAAACCGCGAAAUCCAAUAAUAAGGAAAAAGAAUGGGCUUCCCAGUCCCUUCCAUUAUACUUGUCCAGCCUGAUACUCGACUCAAUGAAUUCAGCGAAUCUGAAUAGGAUUUCCUCAUCAUAAAUCUUCUAUAGCUCAAAGAAUGAUCGAAGAAUAAUGAAAAAAUUGCUCUUUCUCUUAGAUUCCAGAAGAGGUAUUUUGAUCUUUUAGAAAGAGAAGAAUUACUUAAUUAUGAUCGCCUUUGUUCAUUACUACGAAUGUGCGGGGCUCUAAAUAAGAGUCAUUUUCGAUAUCGUAUAUCAGAUUUCCUGAAUCCCGGGACAAGACCUAGGGGAUCCGUCCCUACAUUUUUCUCUUUCAUUCUUUCUGUGAGUCUGAGAUGAGGCAUUCUUUCUCUGGUUAAGUGAAAAUUAUUGAGGAAGAGGAAGAAUUCCGAUAGUAUGAAAGGUACCGCUACGUGGGCAUUCCCAGCUAGGGAAGAGAAAGAGAGAGAGAAGAGGCCGGGCAAGGAGAAGAAUUCCAACGAUUAUUAUACCGGAAUAUCCUAUCCAUUUUUUUCUUGUAAUCUGAAUCUUCCCUUUAUUAUUUGAUCCGACCCUCUCCUUCUAGAACCUAUAAACUCGAAUCGCUGAGUACAGUUUUUGUUCAUUAAAAACCUGCGAGACUGGUAAUAAAUAGUUAGAAGGGAAUGCGCAUCCUCGUAGCCGAUUGACUUCUCUUGAUCUUUUAUAAGUCAACUCUUUCUUAUCAUAUGGAAUCGCACGAGAUCUCACCUCCUACGCAGAGUCAAAAAAUAGGAUUUGUAAAUUGGGUUUCGGUCAAUUAUGAUUCUGGCAUUCCAGACUAAAUCAUCAAAAUCUCCGCGCUUUGCUGUCGAAACUAAGACAAAGACUGGUAUUUCAGCGCUCGGCGGACUUGGCGGAUUGGGAUGGACUUCUUAACCUCCAUUCGUCUUGAUCUCCACCUACGAGUGUGGGAACUGAAUAAGACCUAAUACUGACUACUACCGCGAUUGAGGAAGAGGAGAAUAUUCCUUCAGUUAUCAAAUUCAUUGAAUUCCAGGCAAUCUUCGAAGUGCGCGUAUAAAGAGCAAGGUAAGAAGUCCUCGAGGUUUCGUUCUCAUAUGAAUUCAGCCUAUCCAAGGCAAGUGGUCAUUGUCUGGUCACACCCGUGGAAAGGUUAUUGGCCUCUGUGAAUUGAUGCUCAGUCGAUCCGGGGCAUAAUAGGUUUCUGGUCGCCGACUAGCUCUCUGUAUCAGCACCUUGUGAUCUGAUCUUUUCUCAUUACGAGCCCUCUCCGCUCCGUGGGGUCCUACGAAGAGCUAAGCAAAUUCUCCCCAACGAAUCCUUCUAAGUCGCAAUAUUCUUUGCGCCUCUCAAAUUUCAUUCUCACGCAUAUUUCAUUGCGCCUCCAAAGUCAAAUUCUCUAAUGGAUAGGCCUUGGCAAUAUUCUUUGCGCCUUCUGGAAAUCUUCUUUGAACCGGAGGACCGUCCGAAGGACUGAUUUUGAUCCAUAUGAAUGAGGCGGAGGACGCCUAUUUUUUGGAAAGAAGAAAGCAUUAUGUUCCUUACAAUAUCCCUGUCUUAUGGAGCCUUGUCGAGCUUCGAUAAUUCUUUCUUUUAAAGGAAGAUGAACCGUCAAAGAAAGGUCCAGGCGCAAAGAAUUUGCGGGUCCAUAUUAACCUCUUUGCGCCUCCGGACUUCUUUAUCCAUUGAAUUUAACCUAACUACGGCUCCUCUUCAGUCGUUUUCUACCCCGCUAGAAAUCCUUUGUUUUUGGAGCACGUAGAAGGAGGCUGAAUUCAUAUGAGUUUAAAAGACCGCUCCAGGCGCAAAGCAUAUUGCGUGAGAUUCCACUAACUAAUAUUCCGACCGCUCCAACUAACCUCUGCGGUCAGUCCUUCGGACCAGCUUGCUAUGAAUCAUAUUGUCAAAUAAGCCUUUGUGGACUCCUCCUACGCUCAAUAUUCUUUGAGCCUCCAGGACGUCGUCUGGACCCUUAUUUCCAUAUGAAUUUGUGCAUCUUUGCUUAGCUUAAUGAGCUCAUUUUCUUUUCUUUACGUAAAGUCUUCGCCCCAAUGAAUAUGGGGAUCGUUGGAAUAAGACUCGUCCGGAGCCGUAGUUAGGGGCAAAGAAUAUUGCGAAAACGUAGGCGCAAAGAAUAUUGCGGAGAAGAAGAUUUCCAAGACUGGUCCGUCCUCCUUACUCAAGGAUUCCGCUAAAGUGCGAGGCGCAAAGCAUAUUGCGUGAGAAAUCCCGUCCUCAGUCCUAUCCAUAUUAAGCUGUCUGUCCUUCGGACCUGUGGUCUAAUCAAUUGAUUAAGAAUCGAUAAUUCAGGCUCAAGACGAUCUCCAUGGGCUCGCUUUCUUUGGAUGGACGGAGGAGAGGCGCGUAGCGCGUAAAAGAAAAGAGGUCUUUAUCUUUCUACGUUGAGGCGCAGCAGUUGACUGGACAUCUAGGGGUAAAGCACUCUUUCGGUGCGGGCCGCGAGAGCGGUACCAGCAAACUCUGAAUACUAGAUAUGAUCUCAAAAUAACAGGGGUCAAGGUCGGCCAGUGAGACGAUGGGGGAUAAGCUUCAUCGUCGAGAGGGAAAGAGCCCGGAUCACCAGCUAAGGAACCUACCCCUAAAUGACCGCUCAGUGAUAAAGAUAAAGGAGGUAGGGGUGCAGAGACAGCCAGGAGGUUUGCCUAGAAGGAGCCACCCUUGAAAGAGUGCGUAAUAGCUCACUGAUCGAGCGCUCUUGCGCCGAAGAUGAACGGGGCUAAGCGAUCUGCCGAAGCUGUGGGAUGUAAGCAUCGGUAGGGGAGCGUUCCGCCUUAGAGGGAAGCACCUGCGCGAGCAGUUGUGGACGAAGCGGAAGCGAGAAUGUCGGCUUGAGUAAGGCAAAGAUUGGUGAGAAUCCAAUGCCCCGAAAACCGCGUAGUGGGGGUUCCUCCGCAAGGUUCGUCCACGGAGGGUGAGUCAGGGCCUAAGAUCAGGCCGAAAGGCGUAGUCGAUGGACAAGAGGUUCAUAUUCCAGUACUACCCCUUGUUGGUCCCGAGGGACGGAGGAGGCUAGGUUAGCCGAAAGAUGGUUAUCGGUUCAAGGACGCAAGGUGCCCCUGUUUUUUUAGGCUAAGAAGGGGUAGAGAAAAUACCUCGAGCCAAUGUUCGAGUACCAGGCGCUACGGCGCUGAAGUAAGCCAUGCCAUACUCCCAGGAAAAGCUCGAAGGACUUCUUUAUCCAUUGAAUUAGGCGACUUGUCUUCAGACGAGUCAAUGAAAAGUGAAAAAAGGAAAACUCUCAUUGUGAUCGCCAUUCUCUUCUUUCCGUCGGAGGCGAAGGACCAAUCUUUUUUUACCGCUCCCUCCGCUCGUCUUGAGCCUUAAUUUGAUCCCCCUACGUGGGCGAGAAAUAUCCGGUGAAGGCGCAAAGAAAGAAGCUCAUUAACGAUAAUGAAAGCAGAAUGAACUCAUUAACGAGAAUGAAAGAAGCUCAAAAUGGGAAUGAAAGAAUCCGAUCAUUCUUUGAGCCUUGUUUUUACGGAGUGAAAUAAAGAAUAGACCCGUAUUUCUCCGGACCAGAAACUAGAAGUUUGAACAAACUAUGUGAAUUUCUUAUCCCUUUAUGAUUCUUUCAUUGCUAUUUCCCGGCUUUUUUGCUUCUAAAUAGGACUUUUUCGACUUUUCUUAUCUAACGAAAAUAGAUCAAAAAUGACAGAUUUUUCAUGAUUUCUUGCUACUUUAUAGGCCCAAAACCUAGCAAAAUCUUGUAUUUCCCUCCGUAAAAACAAGGUUAUUCAAUCCGAAUUAUUCUUUCAUUCUCGUUAAUGAGUGAAUUAUUCUUUUCUUUGAUUGACUUUGAACAGGCGCAAAGAAUUUGCGAAGAAGGACUAUCCAUUAGGGAACGUGAGAAAGAAUAUUGCGUGAGAGAGAGGGAGCUAUUUCCCAAGGCAAUUAAUAUCAAGGCAUAAAUCAAAGACAAAGAAGCUUCUCGACCUGGUACGAAGCGAGAGCUAUCAGAAUCUGAAGAAUGAAAAUGAAGCUCUCAAAAGAAAGAGGGACUUGCUCAACGGAGGGACGGACGCUCCACGCUCCACAGCGGGAGGACGCGCCUAAUUCAUCGGGUUAUGCUUAGGUUCGGUUCGGAAAGGAGCUCGCUCAGUCAUUCCAUUAGCAUCAGAAGGUGAAAAGAAUAUUGACAGGACCACCAGGCCUAUUCAAGUGCAAAAAGAAAGGUCCAGGCGCAAAGAAUAUUGCGAAUAGCUAUUACUUUAUUUGGAGGACGAGACGGAGUGAACGAAGUCGAUUACAUAGUGGCUCGCCCCACGGAGCGGUUACGAGCGUUCUAAUGGAUAGUCCGGAGGACCACGGAGCGGUCAUGAGCGAGAGGAUCCAGGCUCGACACCAGUAGUAGCAAUUGUUGAGGAGACAGGCUCGGCCGGUUAAAUGGAUAGGACCCACGGAGCGGUGCAAAGAAUAUAUAGAAGGCGCAAUUCAAUAUGCGAGGUCCAGAUGAGUAAGAAAGAUUUCCUUAACUCCUAACGUCUGCGACUCAAAGUAAUAGCUAUAAUGAGUCCUCCCUCCUUUAGGAGUCUUCUUCAUAGUCCUCCCUCUCAAAAUGGGGAUGAAUAGUCCGGAGGACCAUCUGGACCCGUCCGGAGGACUGAUUAAUGGAAGCAAAAGAGUCAUGAUCCCUUAUAAAGCAGUUUCAGACGUUAGGAGCAAAGAAUAUUGCGAAAGAGUCAUGAUCCCUUACAGACUUAGGAUCAAUGAAAUUUGAUGAGUCAUGAUCCACUAGGUGCAAAUCUUGUUAUAGAUUAUGCUGAUUAAUAUGGAUAGUCCUUCGCAAAUUCUUUGCGCGGAGGGCUCAAAGAAUCCAAAAAGAAAGGUCCAGGCGCAAAGAAUAUUGCGUUCGUAGCCAUUAUCGAAGAAAAAUCCGUAAAUAAUAAGGCUCGGCUCGUGUGCAGGACAAAGGCCCCAAGAGAGGCAGAAUCAAAACCCCACCAGGGAUCGGAUCUAUGGAAAGAAAGGUCUCAAUCGCGGGUCAGGAAAACUAAGACGCUUAGAGAGCCACGGGCUCUUUCCGUCUACGAAGGAAGCCACCGCCCUCCUCAGAAGUUGAUCUUGCGUCCGAGGUAGAGGUCCUUUUCCCUCUUUCUUUGGAAGUGGAGUAUGACUUCGGUAGUAGAUUGAAUAAACUGCUAGCUCCCUUCUUUCGAGGUGGGAAGCCGCUGUCAGUCUUGAGUCAGACUUCGUUAUUAGUUCGUGGAAUCUGAACUAAGAUCGGUGCGGGUAAGACCUCAGGCAGAGUUUCAGUUUCAAUCCAUCACUCCACUCGGACGAAAGGGAAAGAGUACAAACCCACCUAUCCAUUAUUAGGGGUCUUAGCAUCUCCACAUCAAGGGGCUAAGGCUUGAUUAUUUCAUGGAAUGUGUCUCAUAAUCGUAAGAUAAAAGAGAAGGUACCCUAGAAGUAAUAGCGCGACCAGAGUCAGAAGCUGCUAGCUAGGCGCCCUAGAUCUGAGAGGCGAAAGGGUCGAGUGAGUUCUAGAACGAGAGAGAAAGAGACCUGAGGCAUCCAUGCCCUGCUUUUUUUUGUUUACCCAAUAUCCCUUGAAUAGGAAAGGAAUGAGCCCUAGCUUUAUGCCAGAACCCACGGAGCGGUGAGGACCGACUUUCAUAAUUCUCGCAAUCGCCUAUCCAUUUUCUAUAGGAUAGACUGGAGCUCACCCGAGGGAAGAAGUACUGUAUCGGGGAAUGGGACCCCACGGGGCCUCCAGCUCGACCUUCCCCAGUGGGCGUAAUUAAGGAAAGGAGACCCCCUCCCUUAUAAUUGAACCGUUAAGCCCACUCCUCCUUCAGCAUAAUCUACGAAGCGCAUUUAUUAAAGAAGAAAGGCUCCUUUCAUAUUGAGAAUAUUGCUGGAAGAUUUGCACUGGGGGAUAUUGAUUUGUUGGAACUAAAAACCGAUGUCAUUGACUCUUAGGCGGAGGACCUAGAAUAUCCCUGUCUUAUGGAGCCUCCUCCUACGCGUCCAGAUCCCCAUAUGAAUUAGGCGAAGGACUGAUUAAUUCCACUAAUAUUUCUCCGGACCAUUAAGAAAGAAUGUCCUUCUGACUAUUCGUCCUAUUUCUUUAGAAGGACGAUCUAUCUCUUGAUUUUCUUUUGGGGAAGAUCUUCCUCUUCUUUCAGAUUCCCGCCGGCAUAUAUGAGGGAGGGAUGGGAAUUGGGCCUCAGCCUCAGAGCUCUUGUAUCAGACAGAGGGGGAAAAGACCUAGUGCACAUUACCGAGUCCGGGAUAGAGGCCGCCCGCCCAAAGAUCACUUCUUGGGAUAUCUGGUCUAGCCAUUGGUCUUACCGACUCCCGUUUCGCCUUUGCCUGGGCCUAGGUGAUCGCUCAUAAGCAUCUGCUUGGACAGCCCGAGUGGUCCCACUUUGAUCUUACCCAUGAAACCUACUCAGACGGGACUCAAAAAUCAGCCCUUGCUUUCUCUUUGUUUAUUGAUUUCAUUCUAGGGAAGGAAUCCAGGCCUCGUUUUCAUCCAUUUCUGACUUGUUCAUAGAAUAGAAUAAUUGCUUAAAAAGAAACUUCCACAGGUCCGAAAAUCAAUGAACUCUGCGGGUAGAUUUCAGACUACGACUGAGGUCUAAAUAUAGAAAGUCUUUUUUUGAAUCAGACUCGUCCUUCCGCGGUUCUGAACAUGAAUAUGGGGAUCGUUGGGGAAUCAAUUGAUAAGGAAUCUUCUCAUAUUCAUUCAGCCUCAAGACUCAACAAUAUCCCCCAACUACGUUGCCUCAGUCGCAGCUUCAAGUUCCAGGCAAUAUUCUUUGCUCCUAACCUUUGCGGUCAGUCCUUCGGACCAGCUGACUAUCCAACCUAAAUAGGAAGGAGUCUUAGAGCGGACGUCGCAAUAUUCUUUCUCAUAUUUCGGCAAUAUUCUUUCUCUGGGUUAAUAUGGAUAGGACUGAGGACGGGGGAUGUGAGUUGCUCAAAGAAUCCCACACCUCUCACGGUAGACGAAGAGAUAAUGACUAUUUAUACCGGAACUAAUGGUUAUCUUGAUUCAUUCGAAAUUGGACAAGUAAUGAAAUAUUCUUUUUUUCCUUGAGUUAGGCGAAUAAACCGCCUCAAUGAACAAAGGGUGGGGUUCCUCUUCCUCUUUUUGUAGUUAUUCCGAUCCGCCAUAAAAAGAGAUAGGGCUUUCUUCUUCCUAUGAAACUCAUGAAAGAGCUUUUUUCCUAUACCUCUGACUCAAGAUGGAUUCCUCUUACCCCUCCGAUCCCGAGAAAGAAAGCGGAAAUCUUCUUUUCACCUCUGCCGCUGGUCGAGUCCUUUGCCCCUGGAUAGCUGCUUUUCCUACUUAUUCGUCAUCCUUAGUUUGCAUGAUAAAGGGUUUAUUCAAUUCACGUCAAAUCCUUUUCCUGGGAAAGAUGUCAAAAAGUCAGGUUUCGCCUAUGGAUAGGGGCAUUCUUUCUAGUUAGAUCAAUGGAAUGGCUAGUCAAGACCAGGAAAAACCUGUGCUGCCCACACCAGGGAGGGGGCAGAGGCCAAGACUCAUAAUAUCCGAGAGGGCGACCACUUUACCUGCUUUCCUCUUGAGCGCCCUACUUAUGAUAAUGGGUUCAUUCACUCAAUUCCAUCUCGCCUGCCUUUGAAUUUCAGGUAAUUUGAUUGAAAGCCUUGCCCGAGAAUGCUUGGGAGCACCUUGGUUUAAACCAUAGGCGAGCCCUAUAAUAAAGAAUUUGGUUGACUACCCCCUUCCGCUGGAUUGAAAAAUCAUCCUUUGGUCCAGCAGUCAAAGAACUGACUUUUUUUGAGUGCUUGCUCGACCUACUCCUAAAAGCAUACAUCAGUCCGAAAUUCCCCUAUUGGAAGCAGAGUGAACUAGAGGAGCUCCUAUCUUUUAUGGCAGAUAGGCGGAUAGAAGGAUUUUCCUACAAAAAGAACUCGCUAAUGAAAGAAUUGAAUAUGGAUUGACGCCUGGUAAGGAUAGGUUUGAAUCAGCGGAACUAGGCUCAAAGUAACAAGUCAGAGCUAUCCCUUAUUAUUGAGGGCUUUGACCCGCGCAAAGAAUUUGCGAAAGCUGCGACCCACUACGCUCCCUGAUGGAUAGUCCGGAGGACCACUACGCGGGAAGAAAGAAUAUCCUUAGCUGCCGUGAGACAGGGAUAUUGUGAAAAAACAAGGCUCCGAAGUGAUCAAAAAAGUUCAGACUCCUUUUGAUAGGCUUUCUUUUCAGUCCUCAGGUUAAUAUAGUGGAAUUCUUUGAACGUCCAGAUCCCCAUAUUCAGUAGGCGAAGGACUUUGACUUAGUGGAUAAGAGAGGUCCUUCGGACUGGUAAAAUGCUAUUUUUCAUCUAUCAAUAUCCGAAGUAUUAGGCGCAAAGAAUAUUGCGAGAAGGAGAGGGAUGAAAUAGCGAGACCGUAGGGAGAGGGAUGACUCUCAUCUCAAAUUUCUAAUACCUCAUAUCAUGGAAAUAUGGAGGUCAUUGAAUAAUGGCAUCCAAAAAUGCAGAUUUGAAGCAAAGAAAAAAGACCGCUUCGGGGAUCGCAUAUGAAGAUCCUGAUCUCACCAUCUCGGGAGAUCGACUCUGUCCCCUCUUGGUCUAGCUCGUCGUCAACUCGGCUUAGCGUGAUAGGCAUUCUCUUCAAUACUCGUUUACUCUUAUGUAUGAAAGAGAAUUCUUCUAGGCCGACCAAGCGGGUCCUAUCUUUGAGUGAAGAAAAAGCUAAUAGGUCAUGCGCGGGCGCGCCCGCCGAAUCAGUCUUGACGCUUGGAAUCCUUAUACUUCUUCUCCUUCGAGAUAGAGAAGAUCAUGAACUCUUAUAUAUAUAUGAGUGAAUAUACUAUCUGCCGCUUUUAAGAAAAGAAAGAAGAACUUCUGCUACGGAAACGGCGGCUCGAGCGGACUCAGUCUGGCGACCCGACUAAAGAGAGUUUUGAAGCACAAGUUCACCUUAUCAAUGAGUUAAAGAAUAUAGACAAAGAAAGGAGGCAAGGAAUGAAGCAAUCAAUGAUUGAGAACAACUCCUUCGGAGCGCUCCUACUCCGUCUUAUGUAGUGUAGUGCCGUAGGUCUUUUCAUGCGAAAAUGAACUAUUUGACCUCUCCUUUUGACUCCUCCUCCGGACGUAGAAGGCGCAUAUUGCGAGAAGGUUGAGGUCAUUUUUUCUAAGAAAGAAGAGGGACAUAAGAAGAAAAGUCAAUGAACAAAUCAGCCACGCGAUUAGCCUGACGAUCGAGCCGAUCCACGGAUGAGGUCUCUUUCUUCAAGAAGAUCGGAAACUGGAGCCUCAGAUGCCACAGCCACUAUCUUCAGAGCGGGUUUAUUAAGAGUGAACAAUGAAAGAGAAGUGUAGACCCCAGCAAUGGUUGAACUAUGGGGGCACCCUCAUUCCAGCUUCAAAAGUACUAAUUAGUGGAAGGCAUCUUUGCGCCUCCGGACUAUCCAUAUUAAGAAAGAGUGAGAAAGAAUAAUCCCACGAGCGACUCUAGCUUGGACAUAAGCUCUGGCGGAGAAGAGAGAGAUUUGUCUUAUCUUUCGUCCCUAGCGCCUUAUUGACAGGGUCGAUUCCUCUCCGCAAUAUUCUUUGCGCCUCCGUCUAGAAUUUCAUUCCUCUUUAGUUUUAGUUUAGUCUCGCAACUGCAUUCCUUAGUAAGGAGUUUGGAAUGCUUCCACUUCUUCUCCUUCAAGAACCCGAACGGAUAAUGUGUCUGAGCGGAACGAUUUACGUCAAUCAAAGUACAAAUCAGCCACGCGAUUAGCCUGACGAUCGAGUCCCUGAACUAGCAAAAGUUCCAUAAAUCAGUCAAGAGGAUCAAUGAAAUUUGAUGAUGAUGACAGGCGCAAAGAAUUUGCGAAGAAGGACUAUCCAUCAGGGAGGUGCAAAGAAUAUUGCGCUAAAGGUCUAUCAAAUGCAUUCCUCUCCGAGCUUCCUCUUCCCCUAUUUCCUAUUAUAUAAGGCGAGCCUAUUUCCUCUCUUUUCCCUUUGAGCAAUAUUCUUUGCGCCUCUUCCUUUCUUUCUCGACUGGGACACUGCAAUUUCUUCUUUUCAACGACUUAUAUCUUUUUCUAUAAAAGAAGCUUGAUUUGCCCUUCUAUAAAGAAGGUAUAGCUCAACCCACGUAGCGGUAAGGUAGGUCUGCUGAUCUGUCUUCCGACUGAGAUAUGACCAUAUCCCGGUUUCGGUCGGGUCAAUCCAGUCGCCUAUCUGCUUCGCUUACUAGAUGGAGUCUUUCUUUUAGAGUACUGAGAAUACGAACUGCAAGCUGCUCGGACUAACCCAGCCGAUCAAAGAGUGGCUUUCCACGAACCAUGUUUUGAAGUGCAAACUCUUUUCCCAUGGAAGAUCUGAAUUGGUGGACCUCUGUACGAUUAGGGCGAAGUCCACCCGUGCAAGAAUCCCUUUGUUUUGGGUUCCCCAUGUGCUUUUUAUUAGUGCGAAUGCACAAAUCCCCACGGUUUUUUAUGACUUACUCAACUCUGAAUCACUCUACGGAGCUGUUUUGACAUAGGGAAAGUAUAAGAAGUUCAGUAAAGAACAAAGAAGAAUGAGAAGAGAAGAAGACUUUUUCAAAGUAUGAAAGGAUCAGAUCUAAAGUAGAGAGAACCAAUAUUACUUGAGCAGGUGCGAAGCCUUAGAGGGAAAGAGAAGAUCAGAAAUCAAAGCACUAUUUUAAGCUUAUGAACUGAGUCUUACUUGAGCAGUUCUUGUUCAACUUAUUGAAUUUCAUAGAAUUGACUUAAUUAUGACUUAGAUUUCAUAGAUUCUUAUUAAAUAAUCUUUCGCACUUUCUUGAUGAUGAGGCGAUCAGAAUGAUCGGAGUGCAAGUGCAUUAGAAAUCCCAUUGUGCACAUUUACCCUCUAUUCUAAAACCUCUUUUACGGGAUUCGGACAAGUCUAGUCUGGAAUACGAACUGAUCCUUCUCCUUCUCAAAUUCUUUGAUCCUUUACUCAUUAGUGAUUUUGAAUACGGAAUAAUCCACCCUAAAAAGUAGGAGGAUACCGAUUCUGGCUUCGCCCCUCUUUCCUCCUAUUCGGGCGGUCCUAUUCACACCCGAUCCCGUCUCCCUCUCACUCUCCGCCCCGUGGGUUUCAUCGACCGUACUCUGACUCUUACUCAAGACUAACCUCCUUGACUCAAGACUAACCCUCUCCUUUCCAGUCGAGUUCUUUCGCACCGCUACGUGGGCUUUCCAGUCCUCUACCCGAACCUGUCCCACUACACAAUAUCCCCUCAUACCUUCUCUCUCAAUUUCUUCUUCAAUCGAUGAAUAUCCGCAAAAGAAAAGGUACUCAGAAAAAGGAAUGAAUAAGAGAAAAGCUAGCCUGAUGGGCCGCUUAGUCGGUCCUUCGAACCAGCCCUUGAAAGAGCACUCCCCUAUUAUAUUAAGUCAAGCUUUUUCUCCCUUCUUCUUUCUUCUUUCACAUGGUUUCCGAAUCAGAAUGAAUGAGCGGCUAAUAUCCCUACGACCAAGAGCAAGCAAACUCAUAAAGUAGGGGAGGAAGGUAAUCAUGGGGCAGGAGGUUUCUUAUUAAAUAGAAUAAGAGCUUUCCGUCUUUCUCUUCAAUACCGUCAAAAAAAGACCGUCGAAGUAUGCGCUUCCUCUCUUCUCGCCCUAUGCGCCUUCUUCUUCUGUUCCCACUCUGCGGUACGGAAUCUUCCUUUGGCGCAGUGCUAUGGAGCAUUUCCCUUUCCCACCGGUCAUACACCGAAACCAUUGUAACCAUUGUCUUAAGCAUAGCCUGUCCUUAUCGUCCAUUCAAACUUGAAAGAAUUGCAUUCAUGAUCGAAUUACUAUACAGAUUACAAGGAAUCAAAGUCCUCCCCAUCCAUCAUUCAUAGCACAAGUCCGACUAUCCUACUAGGGGGCACAAACUCCCCACCAUAAGAAGAGGCUUAGGCGCCCCCAUAGCGUGGAUCGGUAUCGGUCGACCCUACAUUCCUAUGAAAGAGCUGAUUUUGCUCUUUGGGGGGAGAAGAGGAAGCCGCUUAUCGAGCCACAGUUUAGGCUCUUUCCGUCUCAGUUCUUUAGGCAGGAAUGCGAGACCGGUCAUUUGUUGAGGAUGCACCACCAUCCUACUCGGUUGAAGCUUUUCUUCUUGAGGAAGAGGUCCUGGCUGAAAAGGAAUCAAUCGCCCCAGUGGCUGGCAGGAUCUCUUUGUCUGACUUUCUUUUCUGUUUAUGUACAAGUCGUUCUUUCAUAAAGAGAAGUUGUAGGGCAUAUCUCUCUUUCCUCACGCGAAAGGAUUCUUUCUGUACUUUUACAUGUCAAUGUAUUGACUUUGACAAGGAAGAAGAAGAGAAAGUUCAGUCAGCCCACGUAGCGGUAAAGGAGAGGCAUAAUAUAAGGAUAGGAGGCAAGGCUCUUUGAAUUUGAGAAGAAGCGAAGCUAGGCUUCAUAGGAGAAAGUUCAGUCAGGCGCAAAGAAUAUUGCGUGAUUGAUGCAAUUCAAUUCCUCUCAUCAAAAACCUAGAAAAGUAAUAGGAUGAAUAGUCAGAAGGUGCAAAGAAUAUUGCGGAGUUUGGUCCUCCGCCUUACAAUAUCCCUGUCUCAAAUUAAGGAUCUGGACCUUGAUUUUUCAUGGAUCUUUUUUGAUGCAUCUGGACACUACACAAUAUCCCCUCGCAAAUUCUUUGCUCCUCCUCUCAGUCGAGCUCCUUCUCGCAAUAUUCUUUGCGCCUCCCUGUCUCCUCCUAAUGGAUAGUCCUACUUCGGUUAAUUACGGAUGGUCCUACGGAUAAAUCACCUGGACCUUUCUUUGGCCCUGCGGACUCCGGACGUAGGACCUGUCUUUAUCAGGAGCGUAGCGAACAGCCGUCAACUACUUUCUAUUUAUCCUAUCCUUUCUUUCGGAGUAGCUCCAGCGUAGCGUAGCGGUGAAAGCUCAAAUUGCAUUGAGCCUGUUCAAAGUCAAUCAAAGAAAAUCCGUUCAUUAACGAUAAUGAAAGAAGAAAAAAAGCAAAUUCAUCUGCUAGAUUUCAGACAUCUUUGCUUAAUGAAGACGGAGUGAAUUCCAUGAUUUUGCUAGGUUUUGCCCAUAGGAAGUAGCAAGAAAAGACAAAAAAUCAGUCAAAAAAGUACUUUUAUCGUUAAAUAUCAAUAUGAGAAAAAGUAUGAAAAAGAAGCAAAAAAGCCGGGAAAUAGCAACUGGUCCAUUAUCAAAAUCUAGGUCAAAGAAAUUCUCAGUUCUAGUUUGAGUUUCUGGUCCGGAUACUGACGGGUCUAUUCUGGAUUCCGCUCCUCCGUUCUAAUGGCGCAAAGAAUAUUGCGGUCAUGAUUCCCAAGGCUAAUAUGGAUAGUCCUUGCACUCCGUCCUCUUGACUCGUUUUCUCUUCUUAGAUAAAUGCGCUUCGCUUCGCGCAUCUGGACCCCUUAUAUCCGGAGGAGGAGUUUUCUACCUUUGAAAAGGAGUCUUAUUCCACUAAAAAAUUAGUUAGGAGCAAAGAUGACAGGCGCAAAGAAUAUUGCGAGACCGGAGGACUAUCCAUUAGAAAUCUGGAAACUUCGGUUCAAUUAUUUUGGAGGGGUCUCAUUGAUAAGGACAUAUUAAUCUGUGGAUGCUACUUGAUUAAUGGGGUGAUGAGCAAUUAUUAAGGAGAAGGACGUUCAAAGAAUAUUGAAUCUACCUUUCUGACUGAACUUUUUUGAUUGCUUUCUUCCUUUUAUUAGUAGGCCAAAAGUAUAGGGCACGAGCUCAAUCUGGUCUAACCGCACCCGCAAGACCCUUGUUUGGGGUAGAAGAAAUGUGAACAAAGAAUGAGCACUGCUCUUCCGAUUUCAGAUGAUAAUGUCACAGACUUAACGGAGAAUUACCGCUCCGUGGGUGAUUCAAGAGCUGAAAGAGCAGCCUCAGCAUCUGCCGAAAGAUCUCUUUCUUCCUCUAAGAACCGCUACGAUCUUCCUUAUUGAAAGGUAGAUUCAAUAUUCUUCUCCGUCCGGAGGACCUAACGGUCAAUGAAAUAUGAGAAGAAGAUUUCUCAAGAAUAUUGAGGCUGAAUGAAUUGAGAUUCUUUAUAUAUUGAUUCUUUCGUAGGUUCUAAAGGAAGAAAGAGAAAGCCUAGGUCCGCUACGCUUUCUGAAUAGAAGGCCUUACCAAUCCAACUCGCUCAAAGAAAGCCAAACCCGUUACAGUAUAGAUAGAAAGAAGCUCUUUGUUUCCAGGCGCCAUUGAAUCAGACUAGGGACAAACUCCCCCGAUCUCGGGAACCUCAAUCACUGCACUGGUCGGAAGCAAGCCGGGCCACUCUUUCCUUUCAGUAUUUCAGUAUCCCUUUUUUCUCUUGCGAUUUCCCAACCAAGGAAAAUAGAUAGAUAAGGCCUCAGCCCAAGCCGAUCUACUGUCCUCUUAAGGAAUUCAGUUGUUGAAUCUGUGAAUUCACUCUCAAUUAGUUGCUCGCCCCAGACCCCCAUUUCCGGCUGAGAUGUCCAGAUCAGGCUAUUUUCGCUUUCGUCAGGCUUGGGAUUGAAGAGAAUUCAGUAAAUACUAGUUCCACAUCCCUAACUUGUUGAAAGAGGGACAAACUAACUAGACAAAGAGGGACACAGUUGUGAGACCUACUACAGUCCAAGAUUCAAUCAAAGGCGCUCAACAGCGGUUACGAGGCCUGGUGGCUAAGAAGAUUAAUUGAGUCGACCUGGUUUAGUUUAGUGAGCACUCUGCCUUUCCGAGAAGAGGUGCGGAUUGAGAAGUUUCCGUUCUUGAAGCUCUAGUGGAAAGAGAGCUUUUCUUCUUUAUAAGAAAAUAUUCUUAUCCAUCGUUAAUUCACUUUUCUCAGAAAGAAAAUGGAUUCAGUCUACGGUUUUCUAAUCAAUCCUAUAUUAGUUAUGGGACAACCACACCAACAAAUAGCUCAUACGGUCCCCCUGCUUCUGACUUGAAAGGACCCGGGAGAGCUCCUCUUGAUCGAUCCGACGAGAUGAUAACUGCACUUAUUCAAUGGAAGAACUUCUCGCUUCCUUUUUUUUUGAGUGCGCUCGGCGGGGGCCACAAAGUGUUGACAACUAUUUCUCAUUUCUCUUCUCUUUCUGGAGUAUCUCACUUUUGUCUCAUUUUGCGGAUCGCCAUUGAGGAAGGAAGGAUCGGAAGAGGUCGUCCCAGUUUCCUCAGUUGCUUAGGCACACCGUGGGGAGGUGGACCAAAGAAAUGAUAGUUGCGCAACCUUUAUUAAUAAAGUAGCAGCGGAUGCGAGAAUUUGAGAAGGCAUUAGAGCUCAAUUUCAUCGACCCUCUUCCGAGACAGAAACUCUUAUUGCACUGAACUUGUCUUCUUUCAUUGGCACGCGAACGGUGGUAUACCGCCUCAAUGAACAAGGGCCCGAUUCCGCCUCGAGAUCUUCCCUUGAGAAAAGAGAUCCUGAUCUAGGUUCUAGCGCUAGUCCCGUAAAAAGAGUUCAUUGCCUUGUUCUUUCUUGUCAAGCAUUUCAUACCCGUCCUUUGGACCAAGUCCUCCUACUACGUCUUAUUCCUUUAAGAAGGUUCCCAGUCGCUUCGCAUGCCAUGCUAAUAUUGAGAAAAGCCUUGUAAACUUCAUAUGGAUAAGUCCAAAAACAAAGGUCCAGAUGAGACGUAGAAGAAAAAUCAAGCUCCAGAUGACAUCACGCAAUAUUCUCAAUCUUCUGAUCGCCAUUCUCUUCUUUCUUUCUUCUUUGCACCUCUGAAUUUCAUGCUCCUCAAAUUCUGAUCGCCAUUCUCUUCUUUCUUCUUUGCGCCGGAGUUAGGCGAAUAUUGCUACUAUUCUUUAUAUAUUGAUUAGACCGCGUAGAAGGUGAAAAGAAUAUUUCAUUGCGCUCCUCUUAAAUAAAAGCCUUUCUAAUCAUCAACACCGAAUAUAGGGGAAGGACUUGUCCUCAAUCAUUGAUUGCUUCAUUCCAUAAUUCUGAUCUUCUUUGAAAUCUCGCCCACAUUUGUAAAUCAUCAAAACCUUUUCUGUCUUCUUGUCUGCAGAUUCAGGGGAGAGCCCUAAAGACGGAUGAGUUCUUAUGAUGGAGAUUGAGGCUUCUUAUAAAACAUCAUUUGACCUUGAUUCUCGUUCAAGGAUUCCCAUUCGAGCAUAAUUGGUCGUAUGAAGAUGGAAGAUUAACUUCUUCCUCUCCUUUAGCUUCGCUUUAGCUCUUUUCUCUUUAAUACCUCUUCUCAUUGCUUAGCUUCUGAAACUGACUCAGACUCAACCGCUACGUGGGCUUCAACGGCUCCUAUCCGAUCCCUCUUCACCCUACCAGAAACUACCUUCUCGUUCAUGAAGUUACCUUCGUCCCACUCUUAAUCUUGAGUUCUAGCUGACUCUGGAAGUCGAGCUGCUUCAUACCUAUCCUUUAGAGCUUCUUCGACCCUCUGAUUCAAGAUAGCCAUCUCUGAUGAUGGGUGUGUGUGGGCCUAGCCUCUGGCGGAUGCCUCUACUGACUCUGAGUUCUAGCUGACUCUUCGCGAGGCUAGUCCUCACCGCGUAGUGGGUUCUCGUUCUACAACUCUUAAGAGCUCCUUCUAGCCUAUCCCUAGGAGUGGGGAACGGACUGAAGAUCUUGUUCGCGGGAUCCUGAGAAUUCCUUUCUCUUUUUUAUACUCCAUUUAGGCUAGUCACUUCUCGUUCUCGAUCCGAUGAGUGGGAGUUUUGUCCCAGAACUAUGAAUUUACGGAUUUCUGAAUCAGUGAGCUCAUCUCUCUCCCGCUACGGUAAAAUAAAGCGGAAAUCUUCUCUGGGUUAAUAUGGGCAAUAUUCUUUGCGCAUCUGGACCCCUUAUAAUUGGGCCAUAGAUCUUUGCGCCUUGUUCUUACUUGUUCAUCCUAAUGUUCAUAAUAAUGGCUUUGCCACAACUCAAGAAAAAAAGGGGUACGAUCCAAGGAUUUCAGUGUGACUACUACCACUUUCCUUUUCUUAUCAUUUUUUGUCUUAAUCAAGACCUGUCCAAAACUUUCAAACUUGGCUAUUUCCUGCACUUGCACUCCGAUCAUUCUGAUCGCCUCAUCAUCAAGAAAGUGCGAAAGAUUAUUUAAGUUGAUAUUCGAAAAUGGCCCACGUAGCGGUAAUCUUGGCUCUUCCAUCGACUCUGCGAAAGUGCUCAAUAGUUCUUGAUCUUAACUUCUCUUCUAAUAAGUGGUGCAAGAAAUUCAUAUAUAAAGACUUCUAAGUCCUAAUUAAUGUCUUAUUCCCGCUCCCUCCUUUGUUGAGCAUAUUUAUUCCUCUUACCGAAGGACUACAAUAUCCCUGUCUUAUGGAACCUUAAAUCACUUUGCGACUGAGGACGGCUCCGCUUUCAUAUGAAUAUGGAUUUCUGAGUGAAUCAAUAUAUAAAGAAUAGUCUAUAUAUUCUUUGCUCCUUACUAAUGGUAAAGGGUAGAUUCAAUAUUCUUUUCACCUCCUACGCUAUAUACUCUGAAGGACCUUUGCAAUAUUCUUUGCGCCUUGUUUAUCCACUAAUAUUCUUGUCUUAGGAAAUAGGUUCUUUGUUCUUAGGGUUAAGAUUCUUUCCUUGGUAUUUUGAUCUGCCCUUGCAGCAGUAACUAGACACCAUUCCCACUCGAGUAAAGGCAAUCAAAAAUCGCAAUAUUCUUGAGAUAAUUCUUUGAUCCUCCGUCCUUAGUCGUUCUUUAUAUCCAUAUUAGCUUAGCUUUCUUUCUUUGCGCUGCGCCUCAGUCGCAAUGACGAAAGGGAUCCAGAUGAGGAGCAAAGAUCAUUGAUAAGGAAGAUUAGAAGGAAGCGGAGAGCCAUCAGAUCUUUCUUCUUCGGUCAGGUGCUUUUCCCGGAGGCCGGCGAUUAGGAGGUUAGUGCCGGUUGUACUUUGUGCAGGACCUGGAUCGGGUACGUGAGUAUGCUUGGGGAGCUGCUUUGCUAGCAUACACGUACCGUGCUUUGUACACUCGAACUCAUGUGGAUAGUAGCUCCACGUUCAGGACUUAUAUGCUUCGUCCCUUUGAUUCAGGUAAUCACGGUCAAAGAAUUCUGCCCCUAGCCCUUGUAUUUUCGAUUCUUCUUGACGGGUCUUGCAAUGGUGGCUCUGGGAGCAUAUCGAUGUUGGGCGUCCUCGUCGAGCAGAGGUUGAUCUGACUUUCUUUCCUCGGAGCCGUACUUGGAGUGUACGGGAGUCUCAGGGCGACAUGCUUCGUCGUCUUCAUUACUUCCGUAAUCAGUUCGAGAUCCUCCGGUCUGUAUAGUAAUCAUAUCAUCGACCGCCUUGAUUUUCUCUUAAGACUCCUUUCUAUUUAGGGCAAUAAGAAGCCGGAAAAUCAAGAAUGUCAUCUUGACUCAAAUUUCAUUGAGCCAGAAAUUCAAUGGUUAAUAUGGAUAGUCCGGAGGCUCAAAGAAUUUGAGGAGCAUGAAAUCAAUGAACAAGGGGCGCAAAGAAUAUUGCGAGACAGGUCCGAAGGACUAUCCAUCAGGUCCAUAUUAACCUGAUUCCACUGAAACUUAUGGGCCUUCUACGCCAUAACAUGAAAGUUCCAUUAUCAGACUCCGCUCUGCUUCAUUUGCGGGUGAGGAUUAGGGUGAUUUUUCAGUUCAUAACAUGUAAAGCAAGGUGAAAAGAAUAUUGACCAACUGCUUCCCCCCUUCGUCGCUUCCGGCUAAGCAUCUUGAGGCGGAGGCGACUAGUCGCUUCUGGCGAAGCUGCGAGUGAAUUAGCAAGUGAAUGAACGAGCCAUGUUCCUAAAAGGACCUCUUUCUUUUAUUCCCUUCCCCUAUCCUUUCCCAUAGGUUGGGCGCUCCCGCUUUACUAAUAGUUUCGAAAUGCUCUUCUUAUUUCUUGAGAGGUGCGAAGCAGCUCGCCUACCCUGAUCGAGCCUACUUAAAUAGCUUACGCUUACCAAGUCUAGUCUACAAAAAGAGGGCUAGAGCAAGCAAGCUUUCCCCCUUUGUUUGUUGUGGGUCGCGCCUCACCGCAGGCACUGAAUGAAUGAAAUGAGUGGAGAUCUUCCUUCCCCCUUCUGAAUUACCAAGAAGUUGCCACUAGUUUAGAAGAAAAUUUCGACCAUCCCACCCAGAGCCUAAACUAAAGAGAAGAGAGUUCAGUCUACAAGAAGCUGGCAGAGCUUUAGCCAUUGGACUACAUCCAGAUACCUAAAUCGUCACCCUUUUUUUGCUUUUCGUUCUUUAGUGGAGACAAAUUCCUUUCGGCGAAGAUACUACUUCAGUCUUCCCUCUCCUCUGAAGUCGACCCUAAGAAUUGAAGGAAGCAAGUGAACCUAUACGAGAGUGAGGAAGAUUCACCAACAACUUCCCACUCCCACGAUUCUUCCCGUUUAGAAGUCCAAAAACAAAGGCGAGAAGACAGGCGCAAAGAAUUUGCGAAAGAAGGCGUCACAGGUCCGAAGGACUAUCCAUUAGGGAAUAUUGCGUGAGGCUCGACUGAAAGGAGAGGCGUUGAGGUGCGGUAUCUAAUCUUUCAGCCUUGCACUCCGUCCUCUUGACUCGUUUUCUCUUCUUAGAUAAAUGCGCUUCGCUUCGCGCCUCCGGUUCAAUGCCCACUCCGCGGUCGAGUCUGAACUUUUUUGAGUUCAUUGAUUAUCUUCCGCUCCGUUUUCUUGAAUCUCAAUGAAAACCCGCGUAGUGCUUUCUUUCCUUAUUCAUUGAUCUAUUUUGAUGCCAAGUUUCACUCGCCUAGUAAACAAAAAAAGCUUUGUAGAGAGACGAGAGAGGUGCAAAGAAUAUUGCGGAGAGAGAUCAUGCCCUUUCUUAUCGUACUGCUGGGACAACCUCUGCCUCAAGUUAGACGGAGAUCGAUCCCUCUCAGAUAAAAAGACCGAAAGAACUAAAGAGAAGAGAGUAGGCCUUGCUCCUCUUUUGAUUGAUGUUACACCCUAAAAGACAUAAAAUAGGAUAAGUUCCAGUUCUCGCAAUAUUCUUUGCGCCUCACAACUAAUGGAUAAAGAAGUCCUUCGGACGGAGGCGCAAUUCAAUAUGCGACUUUGCACCUUGUUCAUUGAGGACCUUUCUUUUUGAAGAAGUUUGAGUCUCAUCUGGAGCUUGAUUUUUCGGAGGGGAUCCAGCUGAAGAAAGAUCUGAGGCUUACGAAAUAAAUGAGAAGACUUUGAAACCGGUAUACCCUGCGACACCCUACUCAAGAGGGUCAAUGAAAGAGGGUGCGGCUUCUUCAACUUCGAAUGCUACGGAUCCAGCUGAAGAAAGAGAUCAUCUAACCUCUCCCGCUCCGCGAAAGAAAGAAGAGGAUAUGAAGAACUUGCACUCCUUUCCAGUCGCUUCCGCCCUAGGCUUGAUCUUGAUGACUUGAUAGUGGAUAGGCAAUUCUUCCAAAUAGUAGGUUCUUCUUCGUCUUCUGACUUGGGAUUUUUUAGGCUUUCUCACGCAACAAUAUCCCUGUUUUCUCGCCUUCGGACCUGUCCUCCGUCCUUAGUCGUUCUUUAUAUCCAUAUUAGCUUAGCUUUCUGCGCCUUCGCUCAAUGUAAUAGCUAUGAGAGGGGUGUGCGCUCCUGAUUCAUGCAUAAGAGUAGAGGCAUCAUCGGGAAUAGAGUUUGGGGUAGAAGAAGAGCAAUGAGGCACUACGCGGUUUGAGCUAUAGGCGGCAUUCAAACUCUCUUUUCUCGGGGAUUGAGGAAAGGGGGACUAGCACUAUCACUAAGAAGAAUAUGAAGUUGGGUUCGGGAGCGGGUUCAGAGUAUUGAGCAGCGGUCCCUCUUAGCCCGAGAAGGGCGAAUCUCACUAAAUAAGGCCAGAAUCAAGGGAAGAGAAAGACUAAGAUGGAUCGAUCGGCCGAUAAAGAUAAAGAGGAAGACUAGUGAAAGAGGAAAUUGUCUGUAUCGUAAGGCAUUGUAUUCAUAGAAUAAGAGUUCGUCCCUUCGUAUUCAAAUAAGAAAGGGCACAUCUCCCACUCCGCGGUAGCAUCCAUUGGACUAGCCCUUUGCUAUCACUUUCUAAGGUGAGGACCUGCUGAGUCCAGCAAGAACGUCAAAGUAUGCUUGGAAGUCGGAAGAAAGGCUAUCAAAAGGGGCAAGCUAGCCGUUGCACACUGGGAGAAAAUAUGACCUGACCCUACCUCCUUCUAAAAGCUCUCACUCAAGGACUAGGAUUGAAGAAGAAGAUCGGCGAGCGCGAAGCCUGACAGCCUUGGAAGAGGAGAAUACGAUUUUGAUUCAAAUCCCAGUAAUUCGAGUUGUUCCAGUAUGGUCGAGCCACUUCUGCCUCUAAUGAAAGAGCUUUGUUGAUCCAAAGAUAUGGCACUCGCGGCCGCUACGGUCGGGUCCGGAUAUCAUCAUGGUUGUUGAAGUUGCUGAGGAAGAAAUGAUAUCCAGAGUUUACGAAAUCUGCUGACCCGACUAAUGAAUGAAACUCUGUCCUGCCUCUGACCAUACUUUUUUCUUGGAAGAUUGGAAAAUCGGACUUGAUCAUGUGAAAAUGAACUCCGGGGAAAGCAUGCAAUUCUUUUACCUUUUUCUUCUUUAGUUUACGAAAGAGAGGCAUUUCUGCCUCACUCCCACUCCGCGGUAGCAAGAGAUAGCAGAAGUAUUCUUAUAUAAAAGCUUAGAUUAUCUUAUCAAAAAUGAAGGAGAAAAUCAAUAAUAGAAGAAUGAAUAUCAUCCCAUUUUAUGGAGAAAUGCUGAACGAAAAAUUCUCUGUGGCCGUAGCUAUCUCACUUAUCUCGUCCGUGAGACCGGCAGUGAGGCAGUCUAAUAGAAGGAUCGGUCAUCUUCGCUAUAGGAAGGAUGCAAACUCAUCAAUCGGCGCCAGGUAAGAUGUUUGGCAGCUCGACUCUGUAGUCUAGGCUUAUUUCUCCAUUUCGUGGGAUAGUCGGCCCACGUAGCGGUAGCAGUAUAAGAUUCAUUCUCCCUUGCAUAAGAGGAAGCGUCAGCGCUUUCAUGAAUAAGUCAGAAGAAUGGGAAGACUUUCAUAAGACAAUCAAUGAACAAGGCUCAAAGAGGUUAAUAUGUCCUUAUCAAUGAGACGGAGGUUCAAUUUCAUAUUCAUGAAUUCAGGCCUAUCCAUUAGAGAAUUUGACUUGCGAUUUUUCUUUUUUUCGAGGCGGAGGUGCAAAGAAUAUUGCGUGGAGGAUAGCUCUGAUUUUGGUUGAGGCGUCUCCUUCACCUAUACCUAUGAUAGCAAUUCCACUAAUAUAUAGGACUUCGGACCACUAAAGGCCUUCUACGCCAUAAAGACCCGGUAAGCAAGUAGUACGUCUUUCCACCAAAUAGGGAGGAGCUCAUCACCAUGGGGCAAGUCCUAUUCUUUUGGAUUUGAGAAAGAAGAACUUGUCAAAGGAAUUGGGCAUUUACGAAGAAAGAGAAGAAAGAAGAGUGGGGCUCCAUAGGAAAAGAGGAGCUUCUGCUUACUUAAAAAAGCUCUUUCAUGAGAUAGACUCCUAGGAUGAAAUAGCGGGCACAAAGGCCCCGGGCACGAGGCACACAGUAAGGAGAGAGGACGGACUCGACCAUAGGUCGAGGGACGAGGCCGACGAACCGCACUAAAGAUCGGGCGCAUAAUUAGCUCUUUCCAAAGUGGCAUUCUAUUGAUAAGAUGUUUCGGCAGAUGAAUGAGUGCAGUUUCCGCUUGGGGUUGGACGCACCCUUAAAUAAUAGAGUGAGUCAGCGAAGAAGGAAGAUCAGAAUCAAGGUCAGACGGAGGCGCGAUAGGGGAAAAAAUUGGCUGAAGAUGAGUGCAAGAGGGGGAAUCAAAGGACUGGAAAGCGGAGUGGGAUUCCUUCUUUAUUAGUGCGAAUGUGAAGUUCAUGAACUUUUGACCCUAGGGUAGAUUCAAGAAAAGACGUCCAAUCACCGCUUUGAUAGUUAUAGAAUUUCUCAAAAAAGUAGAGAUUUACGAACAAAUGGUACAUUUGGAAGCCAAAAAGACGGAGCGGAGCCAAGUUCGAACUAAUAGGAGGAGUCCUUUCUUCUGCUUCUGAUAUGAAGAACUCAAGAAGAAGAUAAGAAAGCUCUUCUUCUCUUUCCCGCUCCGUCCGAAGGCGCAAUGAAAUAUGCGUUGAAGAGUUGCGUUCGAAAGAAAUCCAUGAUUUUUCCUGUGGAUAAAAGAGGUCCGGAGUCAAAUAUUAGUGGAAUGAAUGAGUCCUCCGGUUCAUUCUAGUGGAUAAAAACAAGUCCGGAGGACGGUCUCGCUCCUUCUUUUUGACUCAGCUGGAACUGGAAGUCUAGUUGUCGACUUUCUUCCUUCUCUCUCCGGUCUCGCUCAUCCCUUAGAAUUGGGAUUUGACUCCUUCAUAUCAACAAAGAUAUUUCAUGGCUUUCAGAACCGCUACGUGGGUAGAGCCACUGACUAAAGCUCUAGCUUUUGAGCUAAUUGAAGGAGAACGAGAGAAGGCUACUUCUGCUCUUUCAACUAAAGCGACUGCCUUUAGAAUAGCCGCAAUAUUCUUUGGGCCUCCGUAGCUUAAUAUGGGAAAUCUUGUUGAAGACGACCCCCUCCGCGGUCCCAUAAGACAGGUCCGAAGGACUAUCCAUCAGGGAGGCGCAAAGCAAGCCCACUACACGGGAAGAACUUAUCCACGAUCUUUGCGCCUGGACCUUUCUUUGACAGGUCUCGACCUUUCAUUUCAAGUCUAUAAUUUCUCCUUCUCCGAUCCUCGGUAACCCCAGCCCUUUAAAGUCAAGCCUGCUGAUCGACCGGUCGUCUUCGCCCGAUCUUUCUACUUUCGGACUCUUCCUCUAGCGCCUCUUAGUCUUUCCUUUUGAUCCGACGAGAAGAGUUACCUGUCUGCGUCCCCGCGCCGCGUAGUGGGCAGGGAGACUCUAACUCUUCCGAGACGGAUUCAACUCUCAGUUCCCCCUCUUCCGAUACAGUCUAUGAAGACCCUAACCACCCUAUAAUGAGGAGUUCUCGCUUCGCUGUUCUAGCUUUAGGCUCCAACUCUCCUUACCUCCCUCCGAUCCUUCUGGGGACUCAAAUAACUCGUCGGAGUCAAGCUGAUAACCUCUCCUGUGCCCCCAACCUGAAAGAUAAGAUCCCGAGCCGAGCCUCUUUCUUUGAUAAAGAGAAAAGAGAUCCCUGUCUGAAGGGGACCCUACUAACUUCCUUGUUCCCCACUCCUCUCCCUCCUCUGGGCGAGCUGACUCUUGGGGACUUUCUCGUCUACGAUACGAGUCUAAUCUUGGGACUUUUUCCCCCUAUACUUCAUCCCUUCCUGAGCAAUAUUCUUUGCACCUCCUUCAUUCAAUCUAUGAAUAAUGGCUUUUCAUCUUCGCUAUCUUUCCACUACAGCCCUUGAAAGGGGUACUGCCUCUGAGGAAAAGAAAGAGGAAAUCUGAGCAAUAUUCUUAGCGCCUCUAUUAUAUUCUGGACUAGAACUCUCUCUCUCCUUUGAUUGAAUCUUGGACUCCCGUAGGUCAACUUACUUCGUCCCGCCACCAGGCCUCGGUAAACUCGGUCUCUCUCCUGAAUUCCUCAACUGGUCGAGCCUAAUAAGGGGAGGAGAAUGCUCCUGAAAGUAGAAAGUAGUACGCUCCUUCUAUCCUAUACAGGAAAGCAUAAGGGGUUAGCUCAUACCUAUCUGCGCCAACUGAUCGAUCAUACGAACUCCCGACUCGCUCCUUACCCACCCAGUUUCUAAGUGGUUGACACACCGGAAAGAGCUGGAUUUCCUGCUAGAGCUGCUUUCCCGUCAAGGCUCCAUAAGAAAGGGGGAUAUUGUAGACCGCUUAUUUCAGUUAUUUCACUGCUUUUUUAUCGGCUAUUUAAUCAGACUUUUGAGAAAUCUUCUUUGAGCCUAGCGGAGGGGUCUAUAUAUGAACAGGUUAAUAUGGAUAGGACUGAGGACGGGAUUUCAUCCUUGCACUCCGUCCUCUUGACUCGUUUUCUCUUCUUAGAUAAAUGCGCUUGUCAAUAUUCUUCUCAUAUUCAUUCAUCCUACGCGCGGAUAUUAUUUCCAUUUCCACGCAACGCAAUAUUCAAAGUUUUCAUUCUUUCUUUUUUUUGGAACGCAUAUUUGAGCAAAUCAUAUUAAGCUACGGAGGCGCAAUGAAAUAUGCGAUUGAGAAAUCCAUAUUCAGUCUUAUGGAUCCUAACUACGGAUCCAUGAAAUUUGAUGAACUAGAGAAAAAAUAGAAUAUGUGACCGUCCGAAGGCGCCAUAAGACAGGUCCGAAGGACUAUCCAUUAGGGGAUUUCCGCUUUCUUUUUGUUUGCUGCGACUGAGGCAACGUAGUUGGGGGAUAUUGUUGAGUCUUGAGGGUCAAAGAUGAUGUAUCCUUGAAUGAUCUAUAUUAUUAAUGAAUCCGUAGAAUAGAUACUCAUACAAAUUCAUGAUGUGCCGAGAAAACCAGAUUUGAACUGGUGACACGAGGAUUUUCAGUCCUCUGCUCUACCAACUGAGCUAUCCCGGCCAUUUCCGACAAAUUCUCCUUCUUUUCAUCGAUUUGGUCUAUUUCAUCGAUUUGGUCUAUUAAGAAGAAAGAGAUAAAAGGCGCAAUUCAAUAUGCGUUGCGAAAAAGAAGGACGCAGAUGCGCAAAGAAUAGAAUAUGGAUAGUCCUUCGGACUGGCACAAAAGUCAAGAAAAGCAGAAUUCACUCAUUAACGAUAAUGAAAGAAGCUCAUUAACGAUAAUGAAAGAAGCUCAUUAACGAUAAUGAAAGAAGCUCAUUAACGAUAAUGAAAGAAUCAUUAUGAUUUCAUAACUCGAAUGAAAGAAUCAUUAUGAAUCUGCUAGAUUUCAGAUGAAUCCGCGGAGGGAAAUGCUAGGUUUUGGGCUCGACUGAUAAGGAGAGCUGAAAAGAAAUAGUAGAAAGAAAUCAUGAAAAAUCAGUCAUUUUUGAUCUAUUUUCGUGAAAUAGAAAUAUGAGAAAAAGUCCUAUUUAGAAGCAAAAAAGCCGGGAAAACGCAAUGAAAGAAGAACUCCUAGGAAAGGGAUAAGAAAUUCACAUAGUUUGAUUCUUGUUUGAGUUUCUUUUCCGGAGAAAGAGAGGUCUAUUCUUUAUUUCACUCCAGGUUAUGAAAGAAAAAUGAUGAUUUCAUUCUCGUUAAUGAGCUUCUUUUCUUGACUUUUCACAGGUCCGAAGGACUAUCCAUAUUUUUCUGUCUGUCCGAAAAGAAUAUUGCGAGGACGGAGGACGGGGAAUAGUGAGAAGCGGAUCUUGAAAAAAAGAAGCGGAUAUAGAAAGACUUUAUUUGGCCCUUUUUCGCACUUUUAGGCGCCUCAACGUAUAUUUCAUUUAUAGGAGGAUAGGCUUUCUUUUCUUAUGAGAACUCUGAUGUAGAAAAGAUUCCACUAAUAUGUUCGGGAAUAUUUAUAUAUUUGAUUUUCUUGUCUUCUUUUUCUGACUUUCCUUCCUCCUCUCCUUUCAGUCGAGCCUGAUUUUUCUUUUCUUUCUCCUUUCACCGCCUCAAUGGAUCUGGCUUUCUCCUAUUCAGCCUAGCGAAGCGAUUCUUCUUCUUUAUCUUUUUCAAUACCGAAUAGCGAAGCGAGCGGGAGAGUAAGGAGCGCAAAGAAGACGACUCCGGACUCUUAUCGACUUAUAUCUGAUUAUUUCUUUCCCUUGUUCAUUGAUCUUUCUUCUUAUUUCAUGAGCCGGCUCUCAGAAAUUGAGUCGAUCUUGUGCAAGGUUCUAGAACGAGAUAGAAAAGUGCAAAAUCAGAAGAUAUGAACAUAGGCUUUCUCUUUUCAUUUACUUAUUAACCCCUCUCUCCUUUCUGAGGAUAUGAAGAACUAAGAAAAAGAUAAGAAAGUCAGACCUUGUUCAUUGACUUUCUUCCUUCCUCUUUCUCUCCAACACGAGCCGUCAACUCAUCUGGAGCCUUUGUUUUGCAACAAGAGUCGGUUAUAGAAUAGUCUUUUGGUCAGCUUUCCCGUUCUUUCAGACUUUCUUUCUGGCCGGUAGUCAAUUCCUAGAGAGAGAAGUAGGGAUCUGAAUCUCAUUCAUUCCUUUUUGACCUUGCUUCCGAGACUCCUCCUAUUCUUCUUCGCCGACCGGGAUCCUUCGUCUUCCUUUCUGUCUAAUAUACUUCAUGUAGUUAGGGUUCGCCCGAGCAGACAAGACAGACUUUUCCACCGCUGGCCAAAAGAAAAGACAGAGAGCUAAACUCAAUAUUCUUUGACCUCGUCUAAAAAAAGAAAAGCGCUCAAUUGCGCUACUGCACCAUUCUACAUCCGUUGAACUUCAAACCACCGUCCCGGGCGCAGCCACUUUAAAUAGAAAAGAUUUGUAGUUUCAAGAAAUUAAUAAGGAAAGGCCUACGGCUUAGGCCUCCGCCCAGAGGUGGCUCCGGAUGGAAGCAGCUACGCUGAACUUACUUCAUUACGUAAAAAAGGCGGAAAACUAAAAUGCCAGACUCUCCAUUUACAGAGGUUUAGCGACUAGCUGCCGAGAGAUUCGAAGGAAAGAAAGAUAGUUCCCAUGCAGCACGAUCACAUCAGGAGGUUCAUCCUCAUUUGUCUCAAUCCGGGAGAGGAGAAAGGAAGAACGUCCAGCCCCCGUAGUUAGGAGAAAAGAAUUUGAUAAGGAGUGAAAAGAAUAUUGACAAGACUUCCAGGUGCGAAGGCCUAUCCAUUAGAGAAUUUGACUUUGGAGGAGGAGCAAAGAUCGUGGCCCACGGAGCGGCGCAAAGAAUAUUGCGUGAUCGAUAGCUAUUACUUUUCAGACAAAGAAGGACCUCUUUUAUCCACUGAUUGUAGUAGGCCGAAGGACUUGUUUAUAUCCAUGUAAAUAGUGGUCCGGAGGACUAUUAGAAUGUAGGCCGAAGGACUGAUUAAUGGAACUAACGAAGGACUUCUUUCAGUUCCAUAAUACUCCUAGCGUCAAAUAAGAAGCCUACGCUUUAAUUUAAUGGAUUUCUCAUAUUACAUUGAGCCUUAACAGUCUCGCAUAUUUCAUUGCGCCGGAGUCCGGAGUCCGCAGUCCGCAGGAUUUAUCCGUAGUCCGGAGUCCUACGUCCGCAGGAUUUAUCCGUAGUCCGGAGUCCGGAGGAUUCUUAUCCGUAGGACUAUCCAUUAGAAGUAGGACCAUCCAUAUGGAGGGAAGUAGUCCGGAGGAUUUAUCCGUAGGACCAUCCGUAAUUAACCGAAGUAGGACCAUCCGUAAUUAACCGAAGUAGGACCAUCCGUAAUUAACCGACUGAGGACGGGGAAUCUUGCGUUCGAAAGAAUAUUGGCGACUAUUCUUUAUAUAUUGAUUAGCUGACUGAACUUUCUUUUAGCAAGCUUUCUCGAAAGUUUAGAUCCAAUCCAGAGAGUUCG